UUAUCUUUGGAGUCUGUUUCUCCAGUUUUAAUUUAGCCUUGGUAAUUCUGCCUGAUCUCAGGAACUGCUAUUGCACUUGCUGGAGUUUUUCUGUAUUCCAGAGCCAAGAGAAUCAAACCAAAUAAAAAACUUUCAUAGUCAUACAAUCGAGAUGCCUGGACGAGGACCUAGUUCGAUCUCAAGUGCUUGAAUCCAAUCGAGUGUAAUGAUUGGAUCUUUUCGAGAAUAUACUGAAAUUCUGGUACAAAAUGGUCAAUUGUAUGAUAUUACGAGUUGAGCAAAAUGAAGACUAAAUACAUUAUAUAUAAAUUUUUAAAUUUCAUACUUGGUUCAAUCCAUGUGCAUGUGGAAUGAAGUUAAGUAAUAUCACUGCACAAAAUAAGAGCUGUAAGUAAUCUCUUUGUAAUUACCAAAUGAAUAGUUAACUUGAAACUCGUUGAUAAAUUUGACUCUACAUUGCUUGUAUAUUUGUUCUUGGUUGUCUGCACAUAGCUCUCAUUGGUAGGUGAAGUGUUGGAAAGAUAUUUAUUUAAUUAUGUGAGAAAAUUUUGUUGAAAGUAUGUAGGUAACCAAGAAGACAUUUGGAUAGUCUUCUAUGUUUUGGAUAUUCAUUGAUGGUAUUUAAUUAUUUUUUUAAAAUAAAUAAAUGAAAGUUAUUUAAUUUUAUGAGAAAGUUUUGUCGAAAAUACUUUGGUAAGAAGACAUUUGGAAAGUCUUCAAAGUUUUGGAAAUUCAUCGAUGGUAUUUAAUUAUUUUUUUAAAAAUAAACAAAUAAAAAUUUAUCGAAUAAUCUGCAAAUAAAAUAGCAUAAAUUAUACAAAAAAUGGGUUAAUUUCACAAACGGUCACUGAACUUACAGAAAAAUUACAAAACGGUCACAGAAGUUUAAAACUUUCAGUAACGGCCACUUAAGUAUUGGGACGCUUUCAAAAACGGUCACCGAAGUUUAAAAAGUUUCUGAAACGAAAACACUUUUUUAGUUUUUUUGGUUACAUUUGCGACAAUUUUUCGGCUACUUCCAACCACCGAUACCAUCGAAUUUUGAUACCGUUGGAAAGAUCACAACGUCCUCUUCAAUUACCACUGAAAAUCUCUUCGUAAUACCAAAGAAUUUGACCAAAAAAUCACCGCAAAAGUUGGCCCAAAAAAUCUGAAAAUCUGCCUAGAUUUUCAGAUUUUUGGGCGACUUUUACGGCAAUUUUCCAGCGACUUUCGACCACCAAGACCGUCGGAUUUUGAUACCGUUGGAAAGCCCACAAUGUCCUACUCAAUUACCAUCCAAAAUCUCCCCCAAACUCCAUAGGAUUUGGCCGGAAUAAACCCGCAAAGUUGGCGUCCCAAAAAGGUGAAAAUAUGGGAUGCUAACUUUGUGAGUUUAUUCCGGCCGAAUCCUUUGGAGUUUUGGGAGAUUUUGAAUGAUAAUUAAAGAGGACAUUGUGGGCUUUCCAACAGUAUCAAAAUUUGGCUAUUUUGGUGGUCGGAAGUUGUCAAAAAAUCGCCGCAAAAGUCCAACAAAAAUCUGAAAAUUUGGGCAGAUUUUUGCCGUUUCGGGUAGCCAACUUUGUAGGUUUAUUCCAGCCAAAUUCUUUGGAAUUUGGGGGAGAUUUUUUGUUGUAAUUGAAGAGAACAUUGUAGGCUUUCCAACGGUAUCAAAAUCCGGUGGUAUCGGUGGUCGGAAGUGGUUGAAAAAUUGCUGCAAAAGUAGCUCAAAAAUUUUUAAACUUCAGUGACCAUUUUUAAAAGCGUCCCAAUACUUAAGUGACCCUUAAUGAAAGUUUUAAACUUCAGUGACCGUUUUGUAAUUUUUCUGUAAGUUCAGUGACCGUUUGUGAAAUUAACCCUACAAAAAAUUAUAUCAUACAAUAGUUCCAAUAGGAUCUGAAAAAUUAUAAAAAAAAUUUAGCACUAUUUUUGCACGUGGUAAUGAAAUGCGCAUAAAAAUUAUAUGCAUAGAGAAGGAUCUUUAUAUUGAAUAUUAAAAGAUUAUAUCAUGUUUCCAAGCAAUCUCCUACCAUUUUCGUACUCCAAGCUUCUCCAUCAACGACAUCAAUAAUCUAUCUAUUAAUCUAGCACAUAGACGUGUGGAAAUAAGAGAAAUAUUAUUGGACAACAAAAAUCUUACAAAUAUUACAAAAUUAUAUUCAACUUGAAGUUUCUAUCCUUAACAUAUCACAAUUUUUCAACCACUAAUUUAUUUCAAAAAUGCAUUAUACCAAAACUCAUUUUCAACCACACAUUCUUCUAUAAAAUAAUUAUACACGUAUUUCAAAAAUUUUUCCUUACUUUUUAACUACACAUUCUCCCAAAAAAAAAAAAAAUUACUAUCCCAUAAUGCAUUUUAUCCCAAAAAUGAGAAUCGAACAGAGGCUAAAUAUAGUUCUCAAUUGGAAGACACUGAGAAGAUUUUAUUUUCUUCAAAUUUGAAAGUGGAUACAAAAGUGAACAGUUUGACUUCCAAUAAAUAGAUAAAUUAGUAAAUUUUCAAUUAAUUAUUGAUAAGUUUGAUACACAGAUAAAGAAAGAAGGUAAAAAUUAUAAUAUUUUUCUUUAUAUGUUUUACAACAAUUUGUGUCCACAUUUAUAGGUGAAAAUUUAAGAUUUACGUGGUAAAUAUAAUCCGCGAAGAAAAUAAUCUGUAAAUGGAAAACAUUGAUUUUUGGGGACGUGUACUAUAAUUGCUCCUUGUAAUUGUUGGUAUGCUAUAACACUCUCCCACAAGUUGGAGCAUGAAGAUCCAUAAUGCCUAACUUUGAUUGAAAGAAGACAAAUAUUUCUCUUCCCAAUUGUUUAGUGAAAAUAUCAGAUUCUUGUUGAGAGCUUGAAACAUAGGAGGUAGUAAGAAGAUCGGAUUUGAUUUUCUCAUGAACAAGAUGGCAAUCUAAUUCAAUGUGUUUGAUUUGUUCAUGGAAAAUCGGAUUGUGAGCAAUGUGGAUGGCAUCUUGAUAGUCACAGUGAAGCAAAAUAGGUUGUGGAUGGGACACAGUGAGUUUUUAUAAUUAGAGACGAAGCCAGACAAGUUCACAAGUUGUAGUGGCCAUCGCACAAUAUUCAGCUUCAGCAGAAGAGCGAAAGACAGUAGUUUGUCUCUUAGUGCUCCAAGAGAUAGGGCUAUCACCCAAUUUGGUAAUGAAGCUAGCUAUGGAAUGUCAUGUGAGUUGAUAACUCACCCAAUCAUAGUCACAGAAGACAGAUAUCCGAGAACUACAGUUGGAUGAGAAAAAUAGACCAUAACCUAGAGUAGUUCUCAAAUAGUGGGGCAAACGGUGAGUAACAUGAAGAUGAGGCUUGCGAGGAGUGCGUAUGAACUGACUUAAAAUGUUGAUAGCAAAGGUUAUAUCCGAGCGAGAGAUGGUUAAGUAGAUCAAAUGACCAACCAAUCGUCCAUAUAAGUUAGGAUCAUCGAGAAGAUCACCAUCCUGGUCAUUAAGUUUGCAAUAUUGUUCCAUGGGAAAAUAAGACGCGCGAGAGCCAAGUUGACCAGAAUCAGAAAGAAUGUCCAAAGUAUAUUUCCUCUGAUUGAUAAAGAUGCCUUUAGGAGAUCGAGCAACUUCAAUCCCUAGGACAUAUUUGAGAUCACCAAGAUCUUUGAUUUUGAAGGUCUAUGCAAGAUGUCGUUUGAUAGAAUUAACUACAACGAUGUCAUUACUAGCAAUAAUAAUAUCAUCAACAUAGACAAGAAUGGCAGUAAAUGUUCUACCCUCGAUCUUAGUAAAAAGACUGUGAUCAGCUACAGAGUGACUAAAACCUAUAAGGAUGAGAACAUGAGAUAAUUUCAAAUACCGAUGAUGUGAGGCUUGUUUGAGGCCAUAUAAUGAUUUGCAGAGACGGCAUACUUGUGUCUCCCCCUUACGACAAUAUCCUAGUGGUGGCCUCAUGUAUACUUUCUUAUCAAGAUCACCAUGGAGGAAAGCAUUAUGAACAUCUAAUUGGUGAAUAAUCUAAUGUUUGGUUGUAGCCAUAGCAAGAAGACAACAAACAAUAACAAGUUUAGCCACAUGAGCAAAGGUGUCAUUGUAAUCCAGACCUUUUACCUGAGUGAAACCCAUGGCAACUAAACGAGCUUUAUAAUGUUCGAUGGAACCACUUGCACGAAAUUUUAUUUUAUAAACCCAUUUACAACCAAUAACUUUCUUAUCAGGAGAGAGAUGCACAAGGGUUCAUAUGUGAUUGGCUUUAAGCUUUAAGGGCUUAAAUCUUAGAAGUCAUAGCCCGUUGCCAAUUAGGCUACAAGAUUUCUUAAGAGUAAAGGAUAGGGUUCUGAACAUUUUUGGAGAUAGAAGAGAGGAAAGCAUAAUGUUUUGGACUAAAGAAAUGAUAAGAAAGAAAAUUAGGUAAAGAGUGAACUGUACCUGAGAAAGAUUGGGAAUGAGAUGAUGAACGUGGUCACUCUGGAGGUAGAUCUGAGCAAAUGUAAUCCUGAAGAUAUGUGGGGUGAGUGAUUGUGUGUCAAGGUCUAGGUGAUGGGGAUGUAACAAUGAUGGGUUCUGAUGAACUGGUAGGUUCAUCAUCAUUUGAUGGUGUUGGUAUACUUGGUUCAGUUUUUGGUGGGGAUGGUGCUUGGGGAGGUAUAGCAUGGGUGUCAUGUGUAUCAUGGGUUGAAGGUAAGGUAGUAUGAUUUAUAUCGUGAGACUGUGUGGUGUCUGGUAUGGUAUAUAUAUUAUAACAAGACAUCCGAAGGUUGCAUGGUAGUAGUAAAUAGAAAGAUAGAUUCUACAAAGCGGACAUCACGAGAUAGGAAUAUCUUCUUGGUUUGCAAGUCAUAAACACGAUAGGUAUGUGAAGUUUGAGAGUAGCCUAGGAAUACGCAUGGUGUGCUACAAGGAGAGAACUUGUCUCGUUGAACACUUAAAGUGUGUGCAUGGCAAAGACAUCCAAAGAUACGAAGAUGAUUAUCGGUAGAAGGCUUGUUGAAAAGGUCAUAAACAGUUUUUUUUUUCAUUAAGAAAGGGGGUUGGUAUGCGGUUAAUUAAAUAAGUAGCAUUAAAUAUGCAUUCGUCCCAAAAGAAAAUAGGUAAAUAUGUAUAAAAGUGAAGACAUUGAGCCACAUUUAACAAGUACAAUGCUUUCGUUUAGCUAUACCAUUUUGCAAGGGUGUUUCAACACAAGUACGUUCCUAAAUGACGCCAUGGUAGAGGAAGAAUUGUUGCAUACGAUGAAAAAGAAAUUCUUGACCAUUAUCGGAUCGAACAUGUUUGAUGGGACAAUUGAACUGUGUGUGGAUCAUGCUAAUGAAUGUGGUAAAAAAAGUAAAUGCUUCAGAUUAAAACGCAUGAAGUAGACCUAAGUAACACAUGAAAAAUCGUCGAUAAUUGUAAGAAAGUAGUGUGCAUUAUUAUAGAGGGUGUGGAAUAUCUGCCCAAAUGCCACAAUAAAUUCAGCUAAAGAUAAAAGAGCUUUUAUUUUCGAUCAAUUUAAAGGGAAGGCGUGUAUGUUUGCCUCGAAUACAACUGUCACAAUUUCUAAUUUUAUUCAAAUCACAUAGAAUUUUCGGAAUGCAAGAAUUCGAAAGAUGACCUAAACGAAAAUAAUUGUAAGAAAGUAGUGUGCAUUAUUAUAGAGGGUGUGGAAUAUCUGCCCAAAUGCCACAAUAAAUUCAGCUAAAGAUAAAAGAGCUUUUAUUUUCGACCAAUUUAAAGGGAAGGCGUGUAUGUUUGCCUCGAAUACAACUGUCACAAUUUCUAAUUUUAUUCAAAUCACAUAGAAUUUUCGGAAUGCAAGAAUUCGAAAGAUGACCUAAACGAAAAUGCCAUAGGUCUGGUAUGGAUAUAGGGUUUGCUAUGAUAUGAAGCGCAGCUUGAUUUAAUGGUUGAAAAUGGUAGAGGUCUCCACAUUUUUCACCAUCCAAAUCAGCUUCCUUGGGUAUUGGUCUUGAAAUAAACAAAUAGACAGAGAAAAUAUGAUAAUACAAUUAGACGAUUUAGUGAGUUCACUAAUGGAAAUUAAGUUGUAAUGAAAAUAGAGGACGAAAAUAAAAUUAUAAAGACAUAGUUGAUGAGAAAUAUAAAUGUGACCAAUAUGCGUGACUUGGGCAUUAGACCCUAUAGGUAAUGUAAGAGAUUUAUUAUGGGCUCAAAUUUGUGUGGCUUUGGGCAAAUUAGAAAGAGAGGAAAUAUGGGUUGAAGCCCCACUAUCAAUUAUCCAAGGGAUUGGGGCAUUGAGAGAGUUGAGUGGGGUAUACCAGAGAAGGUAAAGGCUGUGUUGGUGUUGGGUUGCAAAAGUUCCAUCAAUUGUUGGUAUUGCACUCGUCAGUCAGACUAGGGAUUACACUCGACAUUGAAACAAUUAAUGUAUUAGACACCAUGUUUACUGUGGGUGGCCCCCAAAUCGUGUGGCCGAAUUUGGAUAGGAGCUAAUGACAAAGGAUGCUUUGGCUUGUUGGUGUUCAAUGAACUAGGUAACCAGUAAUCUCGAAGCAAGAGGACACUAAAUGGCUGUCCUUUCCAUAUUUGGUGCAUUUCUUUCCACUGCGAGGUCGAGAUCCAUGAGUGAUUGGAGGGUGUAUACAUGCGACGGCCAUGGCGGUGGUUUUGGGAUUGGGUAGUAAGGAGGCGUUGGGUUUCUUCUUGGGGUAUGGUGGCAUAUGUUUUGGAGAUUGUGGGAAGAGGCUCCAUAGCUAGGAUUUAGCUUCGGAUAUUGGAGAAGAAAUCAUUGAGGCCCAUGAGAAAUUGGAACAAUCGUUCAAUGUUGAUUGUUCAUUCGACCUUUUUACGGGCAUCACAAAUGUAGGUAUUGGGUUCGGUUAAGGCAGUGAGUUCAUCCCAUAGCCCUUUGAUUGUAUUGCAAUAUGUGGCGAUGGACGUGGUGCCUUACUUGAGGUUCACCACGUCAUGAUGAAAGCGACAAAGACAAGGGUGGUUACUUUGAGAGAAAUGAUUGUCCAAGUUAAUCCAAACAUCAAAAGGCUGGGUGCAGUAAAUUAAGCUUUGUCAAAGGGUUUUGUCGAUAGAUUUCAAGAGCCAUGAGAGAACUAUAUCGCUGCAUCGGUUCUAGAGACUAGCAACUUCGGGCGUCCGAUGGUUUCUUUAGAGUACCAUCAACAAAUGCAAAUUUAUUUUUGGAAUUAAGUGCCACACGCAUCGAGCAUUUUCAAGUGGCAUAGUUUUCUCCAAUAAAAAGGUCUGGUACUAAUACGGCACUAGGAUUGUCGGUAAGGGUCAGAAGGUACGGAGACUUGAGUUCAUUGAUUAAUUUUGAGGGGGUGGAAUCAGACAUCAUGGUAGUGAGGUGAUUGUUGUUUUAAUGUUUGCGGAAGUCAAAAAGGUCUAGGAGAGAUCACAACGAAAGAAUCGGUUUGAUACCAUGAUAAGUUUGAUACGGAGAUGAAGAAAGAAGGUAAAAACUAUAAUAUUUUUCUUCAUAUGUUUUACAAUGAUUUGUGUCCACAUUUAUAGGUGAAAAUUUAAGCUUUACACAGUAAAUACAAUCUGUGAAGGAAAUAAUCCGUAAAUGGAAAACAUUGAUUUAUAGGACUUGUGCUGUGAUUGCUCCUUGUAAUUGUUGGUAUGCUAUAAUAAGCACAUUCAAUGCAUUUGUAACUAUGAUUUUUGUGACACAUCGUGCACAUUUCCUGGCUUGUUUGCUUUCGAGGUUGAAAUUGUAACAGCUAAGAAGAAACACAUAUCUAUCUAUCUAUAAUAUUUAAAAGGGUGAUUAUAUUACCACUACAAAUAUUAUUUUUUACACCACAUUAUAAUUACACUUCAAAUAAAUCUUAUUUUUGAUAAAUACACCACAUUAAUUUUACAAUUAUAGUCCUAAUCAAAGUAAAAAUUAAAAGAUCGUGGUGUACACCCCUUAUCAAUCAUUUUAUUCAUUCUUUCUCUCCCUCUCAUACCAUUCUAAUUUUGCCCCAUGGAAAAUACUUCCCUCCUCCUCUACCACCAGUAAUUCUCCCAACCCCAAUUAAUUUUGUCUAGAAAAAGGUGAAAAACUUCUCCCAUCCACCUACGAAACCCCCAUUUUCUAAUCUGUCCAAAAAUUCUCUCUCACCUGUAAGCCCUACUCUCAACCCCGUUUCUAAUUUCUGUCACACAGAUUUUACCCACCGACCCUGCUCAUCGUGAAUUAACUAUUAGAAGUACAAAAUCAUCACAAUUUAUAUGCAUUACAAGAUCAUAAUAAAAAGAACAGGUGUCGUGAGGGAAAAAUAAAUACUGCCGAUGACUUGGGACGGAUUCAAGAUUUGAUUCUUUUUAGCAUAACAUGCUUGAAACAUAAACAUCACUAAAAGAAGUAUUUAUAUGAACUACAUUCUUUAGCUCAGGAAAUUCCCGAGCAAGGUGACACAGCACUUGACAUUUGAAGUAUUUCAGCUUGCUAUUAUGUUUCUUCUUUCCAAACCAUUUACCCCCCUUUUUUUUUAAGGUCCCUGACCAGUUUUUUUCCUUUCCUUUCCUACCUUUGAAACAGUUCUUCUUACGCUUAAGCCUGAAGUUUUUCCAAAACUAGAUUCAGCCACAAAAGCUUGUCCCAGAGAUUUAGCUGCAACAAGGCGCUCAUCCUCUAGUUCCACAUGGCAGGUAGCAUCAGCAAAAGUUUUUAAUGUUAUCAUUGUGAGUUGGAUUGACUUUCAGAUGUUCCCAGUUAUUAUGAAUGGGAUGGAUCAAAACCUAAACUUGUUGUUCAUUAGAGAGUGUGUGACCAGUUGACUUUCGCUCCCUAAUCAUAGUAGACAUAGUCCCACAUGCUAUGUGAUGUUGUGAAUAAGAUGUUUCUUGUUAAUUGUCAACUACCUCAGUCUAGUCACACUAGUACCACUAUAUUUCUCUCUCAAAUAUGUCCAGAUGUCAUGAGCAGUCGGGAACUGCUCACACUAGUAAAUGAGAUUGUCCGCCACAGAACUUACGAGAAUUACACAAAUAAUGGAAUCUUUCUUUUUCCAUGUAUUGUAAGUUUCCUGAUCCCUUCUCUGUUGAGUAGUUUGACCUACCCUUGGGUCUUUCAUCACGUGGUUAACGUCCCUCAAGGCAAUCUUGUUCCUCUAACGCAUACCAAAUUUUAUAGCGCCAAAUGUUAUAGUUAUCGCCAUUCAAUUUGUCACCCUUAUUAAGGUUAACUAUGAUAUUCUUAAAUGCCAUGAUCUUUCAAAAUUUUAGAAAAUAAUUAUAUAAAUAUCCAUUUGUGCACACAUCAUUUUGCGCUCAUGUAAAUUAAGUUUUAUGAUAAUUUCACACUAGACACGGAGUUGAAAGUUCAUUAAGUUCCCAAUCAUCGUCCAUUAUCCUAAUGUUUACAUUAUCAAAAAAUUAAUUUAAUAGUGCAAAAUCAUAGGUUCUAGGUUAGAAUUACUUAAACUCUUUUAACCUUAGAACUCCCACUAAAUUAAAACAUUAAUCAUGUACAAAAUAAGCAAAACAUUUUGGCUAUAUGAGAUAAAUAUAAUACAUAUAUAUAAAUCUCGAAAUGUCAAAUGUACAUGCAAUCAUAUUUAGCUUCUUUAAACAACUAUUAAACAUGAAAAAAAUAAAAUUUUACAUAGAUAUUGUUUGACAAUUUGAACUAACCACACUUAUCUAAAUUAAUUAUAAAAUUCUCAUUUUUUGAAUUCCAUUUCUUGAUUGAGAUCUUGAUCAAAUAAUUGUAGCGUAAAGGUGGCGAAUUAUCCAAAAUUUCAAUAGCAACAUCAUGCCAAUGUUUAGGAAAGCGUCCUCAUAUGACAAUACAUAAUUUCCACCUCGCAUAUAGGCUGUCCUAAAUGUAUCACUUCUUGACACAUUGCUUUGAGAUAUUUUAUGUAUUCAUAGCCCUUGCUCUACUAGCUUCUUCUCUAAGAAUGCAAAAAGUGCACAUUAAUCCAGCUAUAUCUUAUCAAACACAAGAAUUGAGAACUAGUCACAAUAGAUUGCACAACCUAAUCAAGACCCAUACAACUCAUGAACGUAUGUAAAACUUGAUAUUUUGAAUACUUUCGGAGUAUUUUUAUUUUAAAAAAAAUGAGAGCACUAAAAAAAAAAAAUAAUAAAUAAAUAACUCCCAAUAGGAGAAUACCACUUAACAAAUAUUCUUGAUUUUUAUAAAAGAAUUUUUUUUAAUCAAGUCCCAAAAUAUUUAAAAUAUUUAUAAAUUUAAUUCAAUAAAAUAAAAAUUAUUUUUAAUUAUCUGAAAAUUAUUUUUAAUUUCAUAUAAAAAUAAAGAAUAUUUUAGGGACCUUGCUGCAAUUUUCCAAAAUGGAUUUGGAAUUCACGUGCCACAAUAGGUUUCUGUUUCCUUUUAUCAUUUUUUUAAAUAUUAAAACAAAACUAGGGAGCAUUAGUGUCUCUGCACAGCGGUGGCGCGUGGUGCAAUUCGAUCGCCGAACAAGUUUUUUCGUUUCGUCUUUUCAAUUAAUUUUGACAUUCUGAAUUCAUCUGUGUGGUCAGAUUUCACAAUCUCAUUCUUUAAGGCUGUGUUUGGAAUACAGACAGACCUGGCCAAGACUGAAAUUUAAAAAAAAAAUGUUACUGUUCAUCAUCUCCACAAAAUCGACUGUUUUUAAGAUUUUUCUUAAAAUUUUGGAAGGCUGUAAUUUUUUCAAUUUAAGGCCAAAAUGUAUGUACUUUAUUGUGUGGAAGGUCUCAAGAAGAUCUAUCCAACUAUAUAAAAUAGACAGUGUGAAGCAUAACGUUCAAGAAGUUAUCACUCGAUCAAGUUUCAAUUUUCUCAACUAGGGCCCUAUUUUAAUCCCAGAAUAUUGAGCCAAAUCAUAUGAAAUUUUGUAGACAUGUUGUACAGAAUAUCAUGAGCAUAUAGUAUAAGUCUCAUGAAUGUAUAUGGAAUACAUGAAAAGUAGCCAUUAACAACAUUCAAGCUUUGAAAGAAAACAAGAAUGCAUGUAUUUCAAUCAUGCUAAAACAUUUUCAACAUGUAUUUAAACAAGAAAACAAUUUACUUAGGCUCUAAUGCCAAUGUAAAAAUGUGCUUGCAUGCUUUUAACCGAAUUUAAGUUCUAAAACUUAUUUGAAAGUCCCAAAAUGAGGUUGAAUUACUUGCCUAUUGAUUGCUUGCCUUCAACAUUGUCUAGUAUCCACUUCUUGAUCUAAAACUCGAUCACGCAGGAAGAAGUUUGUUGUUCACAAUCCAAGAAUCCAAUUUGAUUCCCAAAAAUCAAGCCUCCACCGACAUCUAUUUUUUCACUCUUUAAAGGAAUCCAAAUUUUUGCAUGUGUGUUGGUUUUGGAAGUUAUUGACUGAGGGAGGUAAACUUUCAAAUUUAAUUUUCGACACCUCUCUUCAAAAUUCAUUUCCAUACAAAUUAGGUUGGGUCAACUCACAUGGGCGAUCCAUUUUCUUCCAACAAGUAGAAACCCAAGCAACAGAGUUUUCCAUAGCCGAAGUUGUGGUGUUGAGUCAGGUCACAACGGCUUAGCCACUUUAGAUUCAUCAGAGAACCAUCAUUUCUCCAACCACACUAAACCAUAAGUCCAGAUCACGCAUUUGUUCAUUUUUUCAGUCCAAGUCAUUUGUUUUGUUUCCUCACUUUCCCCCCAAACCCAAAAUUGUGCUUUAAUUAACGGUGGUCAAUUAUUCUCUUUGUUCAUUUAUCACCACAGGAUUAUGAUGCUCUUUUUAGCUAACAAAACUAGGCACAGAUCAAGAUCAGUUACACUAUUUUCACCCUUUUCUUUAACGGGAAUGUUUGAUCUCUUCUUUGUAUAAUCAAGUACUCUUUUUGUGCUAGAUUUUGAUUGCCGACUAGAGAAUCGUGUUACAUAAAUUAGAAUACCGGUAAAAAGUGACGGAGGAUCUAAGGAACAUUGCAGCAUACAGUACUCGGAAGACAAUGUCGGGUCAUAUGACAGUGAAAUGGUCAUCAUCAAAAGCUUCUACUUCAUUUUCAACUGAUCAAUGGAGCCAUAAUCGAGAUCAUUUCAUGAAUGAAUUCAAUGUUCUUGUGCCUAUAGGCUGAAAAGUCUGUUUAAUGUACUACAUGGUACCAAAUAUGAUUCAGGAUCGCCACUUAAUUUAGUGUACAUGUUGUAAUUAUAGGUAAAAUCCAAACUUAGAACAAUUACAUUCCUGUCUUUGACCAUCUUCAUGUUGAUGAUUACUUUGUAGACUUAAUGUUCUCUGCAUUUUGAUACCUUGAUUUUUAUUCUCAGAGUUGUGAAACCAAGUCAAUUUUUUGAAAUUCAUUCUUAAAUAUUUUAUGGUAUUUCCAUCUUCUAUUUGUCUUCCAGAAAAUUAUACUACAUUUCACUAUAUUAAACAGUCACUAGUAACAUAGUUGAGAUUUUCAUUCAAGAACGAAUUGCUUGACAUGAUGAACUCGUGUCUAACAGACGCUGCCUGUACAAGCAAUGCACACACAUGCUUCACUUACUGGGCACACGUGGUGAACAUAUUUGAAAAAAAAAAAUUAUAAUUUUCUCUCCAAAACUGAAUUUUUUUACGAUAAAUUUCACGGUGGUCCUGCAAAAUUUCCAAUUUGUAAAAAUAUUGUUUCCAUUCCAUUUUUACCUCCUCCCCCCUAAACCUUUCAUUAAGGAAAAUGGCACUUUCCAUUCCAAAAAAUGUAAGUGUGUGUUUAAUUGUCAAUAUUUUUCUUGAAAAAUGUCAUUUUUCAUCCAAAUUCCUACUUUUGUGCUAUCUGAUUGAUUGAUUUUAUUUUCUUUUUUUUCAUGGAAAUUUGUUUCCUAUUUUUUUUCACCUGACCAUAUUUUCUUUGAAAACAAGUAUAUUAUUUUCUUUAAGGCAAGUAAGUUUUUAUUUUCCAGGUAAUUCACUUUCUUUCUUUCUCAUCUACUCAUUCUCUCUCUCAUCUACCUACCAAUAAAAAAUGUACAAAUAUAACAUUUUCUAAGUUGAAAAUAAAAUCAAUCAAACGCAUUUAAUUGACAAUUUUCACACAAAUAAUUUCUAGAAUUCAUUUUCUUUCCAUGUAAAUUACAUAUUUGCAAUCAAACGCACCCAUAUGUUAUUUCCACCAUUCUACAAUAUAUUUUAUGCUUAUCACUUUCAUUCACGAAUUGUACUCAUGGGCGAAAAUUCGAUAUCCGAGCUGAAAGUUAUGCUUAUUUUAAUCCAUGCUGCUCGCUUUCCAUUUCUUUUCCAAAACAUUGAAUCCAGCGCACCAAACAUGAUUUCACCUUCAAGACCAAGAUAUAAAUUGUUAUUUGGCUUGUUAACUUCAAUAUUUUGUACUCCAUAGUUCGAUGAAGUAAUUGAACGACUUUAUUGGCUCUUAGAGGUCUCGAACUUAGCUUGAUUCUUGGUCUUAGCUCCUUAUCAACAUGCGCCGAGUCCUUAAGCUUCUUAAUAAUUUUUCACCCCUCUCCUUGGAUCACAUCAUUCCCUCUUUCUGCAAAAAGAUUCGACCUCGAAUCCAAACCCAAGUUAUAGCGCUUGUUUCCAAUCAAUGCAUAACAUGAAAUGGUCCAUCUCCUCUAGGAUGCAAUUUUGACCACUUUUGAAUUCGAAUCUGGUUCCUGUGUAUCUAAACUCAAUCACCUUCACAAUGAUCAAAGUGCGUAUGUUUCAAUGUCUUCCUCUUGCAAGUAUGUGAUGCUCUAAGAAUAAUUUCAAUUGAUAAAUCACCAUGCACUCUCCUUCCUUUGCUUGGCCUAGGCAAUUGUAGCAGUGUCGCUUUAAAUGGAUGCAUGUUUGCCUACAUAUCACCUUGGUAUUUCAAUCCACUGCAUUUGAAUUCAUUCCACGAUCUUUGAAACUCCUUUACCUCCUUGGGAAUUACAAAGUUAACCUCCGAUAAAUAAGAUAUUUCCAAGCUAAGAUGAGGUUGUUGAUUAGUUCCAACAGGAUUGAUUUCCAAAUCGAUGCUCAAUUCUUGGGUUAGGUGGUAUUCCAACAUGAUUGGUUUCUAGAAUUGAGUCUUCAUUAACAUACAAAACAGAAAUAGCUAAACUAGGGAGGGAAUUGUUAGUUAUCACCAAAGCCUUUUCAACUUCUCGUUCCGUUUCACAUAGGCUCACCUCCAACUCCUCCUUUCUCUCCAAAUACUCUUAUUCAUUUUCCUCUUGUAGCACCAUUUCUAUUUUAACCACUUCUCCCUUUUCAAGUUCACUCUUGACUACCCUUUCACUCUUUUUCAGCUCUUCUCCUUUUUUUCUCACAAUCAACCACCUCAUUAUUAUUUCUCAUUGUCCUCUCAUUCUCACCUUUUACUUUGAGUUGAUCUUCAUACAUUUGUUGCGGUGUCAACGACAUAAGAACAAUAUGUGACCUAAUGAUUGACUUCUCAUUUUGAUUAUCACAAACAAAUUGCGUUUAAUUCUAACAAAUUGACUUUAAGUGUUGAUAGUGUUUAUCGUGAAAUUAACAAACAAUGAAGACACAAGAAUCGAGAACAAAAAUCACACAUAUGGACGAAUGUUUGGAGCCUAACGACCAACAUAUAGGCAAGAUUGAAAGUUGACGAAUGUGGAAAUAGAAAUCGAGCCUUCACAUAAAAAAUUGUACUGGAAGAAGAGAUAGAAGACUUUAGCUAUAGAUGCGUUUUUUAACUUAAAUGUAAAGGUAAAACACUUUAAUAUUUUAUAUCGAUUAUAGUUCAAAAAAUUUUUAUGCACGAGACACUUUUACGACAAAUAAUACUUGCAUAAAAAUUACCUUCAAAAGACAAGUAUCUCGAUUUUCAAGAUUAAAUAUUUACAAAAUACUUAUCUAUAAAAUAUAAAUAAGAAAAUCCUUCAAGUACCUACAUGAAAAUUUCAUCACAAAGGAGAAAGUUCAUAGGGCCAUAACACUUUUGGACAUCUGAAUGGACCUCCAACUGUCAUUUUAUUGACCGUUUUUCAAACAGCUAGUUACCCGUCUAGAUCCCAAGUGGACGUUGGGAUCUAGUGUCUGAAUUGUCAGAUUUUUAACCAUUUGAAAGCUAUAGGGUAUCUUUCUACCUCAUUUAAAAACACAAUUUUUGAGCAUUAAAUUGAAGCAUUUAUUGAUCUUUUCUACUUUAGUUUUCAAUUCUUAAAAGAUCAAAUCAUUUAAUUUUUGAAAAACUUUUUGAGUGAUCAACAACUUGCGAAAAUCAUUUAUAUCAAUUAAAGUUUUUCAACCAACACUUGAGCUAUUUUUUUGCAAUCUAUUAAAUUGUUGUACCUACUUCUUUCUUGAUACAUAAUUGAGUUUAUAUAAUUUAUUAAGAGAGAAGCUUCACUUGUAACUUUUCAUUUUCUUGUUUUUUGAUUGUGGGUCGUGUUGAGGUCUCAGAAAGCUCAACAUUGUAAAACAAUCGGUGCUCCUUGAUUGUAAGUCACCGAAAGCAUUGUAAAGGUUCUACCAUAAGUCAAUCAACAAUAGUGGAAAAGGCAUUGCUCGUGGCUGAGAGCUUAGUAACGAGGGAUGUAGAUCGUUGAUUGAAUCAAACCUUUAUAACAUAUCAUUUGUGCCUUCUUUUCCAUUUCUCUUGUUAUUUUUGUGUUAUCUUACUUGCUUAUUAUCUUAUUAGAUAAUUAAGUUAAAAUUUGCACUUAUUCUAGAAAAUAUUUUAGAUAACCAAUUCACCCACCUCUUGGUUAGCCAUUGUUGGGCUUUCAAUUGGUAUCAAAGCAAGGUACUCACUUUCAAAAGAUUUUACAAUCUUGAGUAAUGGCUAGCCAAGUAUUUCAAACUCUCGAGGGACACUCCAUGAACCGACCCCCUUUCUUUGACGGCACACACUAUAAUUAUUGGAAGGCCAGGAUGAUGAUAUAUGUGCAAUCUAUUGAUUAUAACUUCUUGGAAGUUAUUGAAUAUGGUCCAUAUGGUCCUACCAAGACUAUUAAAAUAGAUGGUAGACCAAACCAAACUUUACCUAAAUCUAGGGAAGAGUAUAAUGGAGAAGAUAAGAGAAAAUUAUCUUUAAAUGCCAAGGCUAAAUAUUUACUUUAUUGUGCACUAGUUAGAAAUGAAUUUAAUCGAAUAAGCAAAUGUGAAUCAGCAUAUGAUAUUUGGCAUGCACUUGAAGUUACUCAUGUUGGCACAAGUAAAGUUAAGGAAAAAAAAAUUUGUUAAUUAAAGAAUUUGAAAAUUUCUUCAUGAAACAAAAUGAGCCUAUUGUUGACAUCAAAAAAUAAAAAUAAAAAAUAAAUGAAAUAAAAUGGAUUGGUUCGAUUUAAAUCAUUAGCCCAAUUAAACUUUAAGUCUACUAAAGUUCAUAAAAUCCAAAUGCCCACAUAACAUUUUAAAAUGAACAAACAAAUAAAUAAACAAGUAAACAAAAUCAUAAUUACUCAAUUAUUCAUUUUAAUUAAAUAUAAUUGAGUAAUUACCAAAAUUAGCACGAAUUUCUCCCCCAUAAAUAGGACCAAAUGGUCCAUAAGAUAGGGGUAGAAGAAGAAAAAGGUGAAAGCUGAAGCAAGAAAGAAAGCAGAGAACGCAAUCACAAAGUGUUGAAGAAAUUUCAAGGCCGGAGGGAGGGAAGGAAUCCUCUCAAACCUAAACUCGGUGAACUCCAAGAAGAUCAAAAUCUCCUUUGAAUCAAGCAGGUUCAUGCCAAGUCCAAGAAGAUCAAAGUCUUCUUCAAAUCAAAUCAAAUUCAAGUUCAAGUUUAAGCCCCGAAAUUCAAGUAUCGAAUAAGUGAAGUCUUAAAAAUCAAAAUUUCAAUAAAUUCUCGAAGAUCAGGAUUCAAGCCAUGUGGCCCCUCAUCUUCAAAUAUUCAGAUAAUUAAUUAGAAGAUUUUUGCAAUUUUACAAUUACAAGAAGUUUAACAUUACUUGUAUUUUAUCAAAAUACAAUUUUUAAUUAUUUCUGUAUUUUAAUACACGAAAUUUCGUCUUCAGUGAUUAUACUUUUCAUCGAUAUUGUAAAUGAUCUUAAAGGUUUUGAUCGAAAAUUUACUAAUGACGAACUUGUUAGAAAAAUGCUCAGGUCCUCGUCCGAGGAAUGGAGCCCGUUGAGGAUAUUGAUCGAGAAUACCAAGGAUAUAAAUACAUAUCCCUUAAAGAAGCUCUACGGCACAUUAAUGACCUACGAGCUAAAGAAUGCCGAAGUUAAGGAGAAGACAAGAAAAAGCAAUGAGGAAUCAAAGGAGCCUCCCAAAUGACAAAUUGCCUUAAAAUUGAAAAUUGAAGAAUUUGCCCCAAAGGAAAACAUGAGCAGUAAAGAGCUCGAUGACUUGGUUCUUCUUGUUAAGAAAUGGAGAGGUCUUUGCAAUAAUCAAAGAUUUCAAAAGAAUGAGGAAAAUAGUGAAGAAAGAAGCAAAAAGAUUAUUUGCUAUGAUUGUGAUAAGUCCGGACACAAGAGAACUGAGUGCCCUAAGAAAAAGAAUAAUUUCAAGAAAAAGGUACUCUAAGCCACAGGGAUGAUAGCAACGAUGAAGAACAAAAUGGGAAUGUGUUCGUUAAAGCUUCAAACACUAUAUGUCGUUUUUGUAACAAAAAUGGACAUAUGGCCUUUAAUUGUGUAGCUAAAAAGAAGCUAUUUUUUUUUUUAAACAAGCAUAAGUGGAUUCAAGAGUCCACUAAAGCUAACAAUCAAGGACCCAAGUUUGUGUGAGUUCCAAAAAUCAAAUCUUGAUUUUUUUUGUAGGAACCGAAGAAAACUAAAAGCAAAUGGUUCUUGGAUAGUGGUUGUUCAAAGUACAUGACCGAAGAUCGAUCCUUGCUAUCAAACUUCAAAGAGAAGAUUGGAGGACAUAUAACCUUUGAAGACAACACCGAUGAUAAAAUUAUUGGUAUUGGAAACAUUGGUAACACACAUCCCCCUCUAUUGAAAAUGUUUUACUAAUUGAUAACCUUAAAUAUAAUUUACUAAGUAUUAGUCAAUUAUGUGAUAAAGGUUAUAACAUAAAAUUCAAUUCGUCAAAAUACCUUAUUAAGGAUGCUAAAUCAAAAGAAGAAAUUUUCAUAGGAAGCUGAAGUAAAGAUGUUUAUAUCAUUAAAAAUAGAAUUUGAAGAUAAUGAAAAUUGUUUGCUUAGCGUGAAAAGAAUCAUGGCUAUGGCAUAGAAGAUUAGGCUAUGUUAAUAUGGAUCUUCUUUCAAAAAUUUCCAAAAAAUUGUGUUGUAAAAGGAUUAUCGAAUUUGAAAUUUGAAAAUGAUAAAAUUUUUGAUGCAUUUCAAUUUGGAAAACAAGUGAAAAUUUCUUUCAAGUGAAAACUUUAUGCUUCAACUACAAAAUCAUUACAACUUAUCCACAUGGAUCUUUUUGGACCUUCUAGGAUGACUAGCUUAGGAGGUAAAUAUUAUACCUUUGUUAUAGUAGACGAUUUUUCAAGAUUUACUUGGGUUAUAUUUUUAAGUUUGAAAGAAAAAGCCUUAAAAGCUUUUAAACACUUUUGUAAGAAAGUUGAAAAUGAAAAAUGUUAUUAAAUUACAACCAUUAAAAGUGACCAUGGUGGAGAAUUUGAUAAUGUUAGUUUUGAUGAUUUUUGUAAUGAACACGGAUAUGAACAUAAUAUUCGACUCCUAGAACUUCUCAAGGAAAUUGUGUAUUAGAAAUGAAGAAUCGUACAUUGUAAGAAAUGGGUCAGACCAUGCUAAAUGGAAAUAAUCUAUCAAAAUAUUUUUGGGUCGAGGCCGUUAACACCGCUUGCUACAUUGUCAAUAGAGUUCUCGUAAACAAAAAGAAAACUAAAGCUCCUUAUGAACUUUGGAAAAAUAGAAUUUUGAACAUUAACUAUUUCAAAGGUUUUGGAUGUAAAUGUUUUAUUUUGAAUACAAAAGACAUUUCGGGAAAAUUUGCUUCAAAAUCCGAUGUGGGAAUUUUCCUAGGAUAUUCAUUGACUAGCAAAGCAUAUAAAGUCCAUGCAUAUUACUUGUAAUGACGAUGUAGGCUUGGAAGCUCCAUUUGAACAAAUGAAGAUUCAAGAUCAAAGCAAGGAGGCUCCAAAUGAAGAAGAAAAAGAGGAAUCAAAUAAAGAAAAACAAGUCGAAGCACAAAGAGAUCGUUUGCUCCAUCUCAUCCCAAAGAACUUAUCAUAGGUGACCCAUCGAAAGGUAUCACUACUAGAACCUCUUAUAAAAAUUAUCUCAGUAGUUGUACAUUUAUUUCUCAAAUCGAAUCUAAAAAUUUCAAAGAAGCCGAGUUCGAUGAAUUUUAGAUUCUAGCAAUGCAAGAAGAAUUAAAUCAAUUUGAAAGAAAUCAUGUUUAGGACUUAGUUGCUAGACCAAACCAUCAAACUAUUAUUGGUACUAAAUGGGUUUUUGGAAACAAAAGAGAUGAAAAUAGAAUAAUUUUGCGUAACACACUAGAUUAGUCGUCCAAGAUUACAAUCAAGAAAAAGGUAUUGACUUUGAAGAAACAAAUGGAGCUUAAUUGCUAGACCAAACCAUUCACAUGCUUCUUGCAUUUGGAUAUAUUUUCUGCUCGUUUUUCCAUAUAUCUUCCAAAACAUUGAAUCCAAUGCACCAAACAUGAUUCCACCUUCAAGACCAAGAUAUAAGUUGUUAUUUGGCUUGUUAACUUCAACAUUUUGUACUCCAUAGCUCGAUCAAGUCAUUAGAAGACUUUAUUGGCUCUUCUAGGUCUCGAACUUAGCUUGAUUCUUGGUUCCUUAUCAACAUGCGCAGAGUCCUUAAGCUUCUUAAUAAUUUUUGACCCCCUCCCCUCGGGAUCACAUCACGACAUGAAAAUGAGGAUGGAGCAACACAAUUCAGGAACUCAUUCCAUUUAAUGAAAUAUGAAAACUAAAAAUAAAAAUAAAAUAAAAUGGAGCAUUGUGAUGACUUUGUUGACUUAAUAAAAGUAAGUUUACUUUUAUAUUCAUAUAAGGUGCUAUACAAUCUUGGAGUUAUUGCACAACUCUCUUUGGCCAUCUUCAUCUUGGUGAUUGCUUUCCUUUUCAUUUGGAUAACUUGAUUUUUCAUUCUCAUAGUAAUGAAAACAUAUUAAUUUUUUAAGUUCAUUUGUAACUAUUUUAAGGUUAAUAAAUCAUUCACGAUUAUAUACAUAUCCUCAUUCUAUUUAUCCACUAGAAGAUAAUAAUUCUUUUCAUUAUACUAAACGUUCAUUCGAAAUAUAAUUAUGAUUAUCCCAAGAAUAUGCUUCACUCAUGAUGCACACACGCUUCAAAAAUGUGAAAUUUUUUCAUUCUAAGAUUUUGCCUCCAAAUUUUAUUUAUUUAUUUAUUUUUUGCAGGAAAAAUUUUACUAUGGGUCCCCAACAUUUGGAAUUUGUAACAAUUCCGGCUCUAUUCAAUUUUUAUCCCAUUCCGUCCCCAACCUUUCAUUAAGGGAAAUGUCACUUUCUAUCACCAACAUUUGCGUUAUGUUACUAGUAGAUCCUCAACUUUUUCGGCACCAGAUCUAGCAUUUUUUUAUUUUUACUUUUGCUAAAAGUUCACCUUUAUUCAGGGCUUGUUUGUGCGCCUUUAAUUUCAAAAAGUGUAUUAUGGAAUAGUGAUUGAUGUUGAAAUGUGUGGUCAAAAAAGAAGGAAAAGUUUUUAAUUUAUCUAUAAUAUUAUUUUAAUGAAGAAUGUGUAGUUGAAAAUGAGUAUUGUAGAAAAAAUAAUGUAGUAGAAUGGUUGACAAACAAAUGCUUAAUUGUGGUUAAUUAUUAUCUCUAUGCUCAUUUAUCUGCACUGUGUUUUGAUGCCUUUUUUAUCCAAUAAAUACAUGCUCGGAUAAAGAUCAAUUGUAUUAUUUUUGCCCUUUUCUUGAAAAGUAAUCUUUAAUCUCUUCUCCAUAUAAUCAAGAAUUCUUCUGUGUGCAAGAUUUCGAUUGCAAACUCGUGAAUCUAUUACAAGAAUUGGAAGGUAGAUAGAAAAGUGAAGGAAGAUCCAAGGAACAUUAUAGCAUACAAAGACAUUUGGUGGAUUGUAUGACCAUGAAAGUGAUAUCAUGAGAAUCUUCAACUUAGCAAGGUAGUUUCAAGGCCGGUCCUGUGAUUGUCGCGGCUAGAGGUGAAGUCCAUAAAUUAGGCCUUCGAUGAAAUCAACGUAAAUACAAAAUUCUAUGGCAUAUUAUGCAACCUAUUGCUAACGUAAAAUAUACGGCCACAUGUUAACCAAUGUCCAAUAACCAAUUAAACAUGUAUUGCACAAGCUGAUAAGCCAAACUUAUGGUGGAAAUAAGUAAGUAACAAUCAGUAGCAGUUUGCAUGAGACCAACUUGGUAAAAUGACCCUAAAAUUUUCAACGUAAGUGCAUCUCGACUGCAUGAAUAAGUUAAACUGUUAAGCUUAGAUUAUUUGUUUCUAAAUAAAUAUUAUAAGGCUAGUGAAUAGAAGGCAGAAACUUCAAUGGAUUUUUCUAAUUUUAAUGUUUAAGAUAGAUGUUUAUCAAUACUACAAACUGUUGCGAGUUCAUAAUUUCUGUUUUUAUUUUUUGCCCAUUUGAGAAUCUCUAUUUCAUCUAAUUCCCCAAGCAACCACAUUUCCAGAAAACUGCUUUCCACAACAUAUUAGAAUUGCAAACUUCUCUCUGUUCACUAAUAUUUUAAUCUUUUCGUUCUUAGCAACGCUUUCAUAGAAAAUAAACUGGAAUGAGGAAUCUAAAAUUUAAAACUAACACUGAUUUUGAUUCUCCUUUACUCCAUUCAAUUUUUCUUUCAGGAACCAGAAAAAUAACUACAUCUUCGCAAAGUAAGAGGGCAAACUCAACUGCUCACCUUCUUCUCAAGGAACCAUCGCCUGUGCCUGUGAUUGAAGAGUCACGAGAAGUCGAGCAGGCCCUAGGAAAAAUGGGAUUCUGGAUUUGGAAUUUCAGAUUUGGGAAAUUUUAUUUUGGGUAAAUGGAUAUUAUGGAUUGUGUGAUAUAUAAGUUAGGUUGGGAAAAUGUUGAUUGUUGCUCUUGGGUCAUUGGCAAUUGGGUCUGGACAUGAGGCCUUUUUUAAUAAAAAAAAUACUUUGGCCAAAAAUAGGCCCCCUUGGUUCUUGGGCAUGAGGCGCAUGCCUCAUUAGCCUCGCCUCAGGACCGAGCCUGGGUAGUUUCAUGGAUGACUUCCACGUACUUGUGGCUACAAGAUGCAAAGGGUCUUUAAUUUACUUCAUGGAGCCAAACACACUCAGGAUUGCUAUUUAAUUUAGCACAAAUAUUGUAAUUGUAGGUAAAACCCGGACUUAGAGGAAAAUAUGUACUCGUGCAUCUCUUUGGGAAGGAUAGACCUAACAUAAUACAAGCUGAAUCAAUACUGGCCAUACAUUCUGUCUAUUGUUCUUUAAAAUCUCCUCAUAUCUUGAAAUUCAAAUUAUUUACUUACAAGUUCUAUUGAAUCACGACAUCAUUAUUGAAGCUUAUAUAGAGUGUCCCUAUGCCAGAAUCAAUCAAGAUACAAAUAGGCACUUUAUAUAUUAAAUAUUCAUGUGGGUACAUGUGAAACUUAAAGUAUUAUCUUCCAUGCACUUGGUGUGUGAGAAAAUUGCACAAAGUCCAUCAACAUGUUGGCAGAAGACAAGCAUGGCCAAUUUCCAAUACAUGGUGGUUUUGUUAAAAGUUCUAGAGUAAUUUGUAAUCUUCAUCUAGACCAAUUCAAAAUUGGAAACUUCAAUAACAAAAGAAGAUUCAAAGAGUUCAAAUCCAAAUUGAAUACUUCAACCAAGAAAGGCUUUAUUCAUUGAGUGGUCAAAUGAUAAGAUUUUCAAUUCAAGUUGUAUACUCAACUUAUGCAAGCUGGAAAUUAACAAAGACAGCAGCCAUGAAAUGUUAUGGAAUCUGAAAAUAAACAUUGUAAUUGUAGGGAAUUAGUAAGACUAGUUUACUCAAUGUUUUCUAUAAAUAGGGAGGUAUCCAUCAAGUGUUAUGUUUGUGGAAAAGUGAGAAAAAUCUCUUUAAAAAAUUAGAAAGAGUGUACUGUAGUAACUCCUUUGUAAUUCCUCAAAUUUCACAAGAAAAUUUUCAUAUUUCUUUUACCUAUUUCCUUCUACACCUAACAAAUUUUGGUAUUAGAGCUUAGGCAAAAUACAUAAACCAAAUCCUAUCAAAAGUUGAAACAAAAUCAGCCUCAAAACCACCAUAGUAGCAACAAAUUUUUAAUAGAAACUAGGCAGUUGUGGCAACAAAUUUAACAGCCUCCUUGUUCACUUAGUCACCAAGCCAAGUACCAAUCUUUGAAGGUAAGCACUAUAAAUAUUGGAGUAGUCAAAUACGAACUUUCUUCAUCUCUUUAGAUUUAUGGGAUGUCAUUGAAGAUGAUGAGGUGAUAGAAGAUUUGACCGAAGGAGAUGGAGAAUAUCCAAAGUUACAAAAGGAAUAUAAAAGGAAAGAUGCAAUGGCGUUGUGAUAUAUUCAACAAGGAGUUGGAAAAUUAAUUUUUCCUCGUAUAUUUGGUGUUAAAAAAGUUAAAGAUGUAUGGAAAAUUUUAAAUCAAGAAUUUCAAGUUUCAGAGAAAACUAUGGCCUUGAAACUUCAAUCUUUAUGGAAAGAUUUUGACAAUCUCAAAAUGGAAGCACAAGAGUCGGUUCGUGAUUUCUCUUCACAAGUUUCGGAGAUUUUAAACCAAAUCAAAAGUUGUGGAGAUACAAUUAAAGGCAAAAUAAUUAUUGAGAAAGUGUUUCGAUAUCUCCCUUCAAAAUUUGACCAUGUAGUAGUUGCAAUUGAAGAAUCAAAGAAUUUGUCUAAGAUGAACAUGUACGAGUUGACCGGAUCACUUCUUGUACAUGAGCAAAGAAUAAAUCGUUCGGCUAGUCAACCAACCGAACAAGCUUUCCAAUCAAAGCAAGUAUUAAAAAUAAGUUCAAGCAAUCAUGGAGGUUCAAAAAACAAGAAGGGAAAGUUAAGCAAGUAGAGUCAAAAUGAAAAGCAAAGCAAUUGGAAAGCCAAUGCUCAAUCUUGCAUUAUUUGCAAAAAGAACAAUCAUGAACCAAAAGAUUGCUAUUUUACAUGCAAAAGAUGCAAAGUUCCUAAUCAUUCUCAAAAGGAUUUUUGGUUUCAAAAUAAGGAGAAAAAUGAAGAUACGGCAAAAUUUUUAAAAGAAAAUGAAGGUGAAAUUCUAUUUUAUUCUCAUCAAAAUAUUGACUUUGAAUCCAAGAAUCAAUGGUAUUUGGAUAGUGGUGUUAGCAAUCACAUGAUAGGAAAUAAAAAUAUCUUUGUAGAGAUUAAUCCAAAUAUGACCUCUCAAAUUAUUUUUGGAGAUAGAAUACAAAGAAGCGCAGAAGGAUAAGGCAUCAUUGCAGUCCAAAAAAAAGGAGGUAACAGAGAACUGAUUAUUGAUGUUCUUUAUAUGCCAAAUCUUUCAUAUAAUCUCUUAAGUAUUGGGCAACUCUUACAAAAGAAUUUUUCAGUACACUUUGAUGAUGAAAGAUGCAAGAUCUUUAAUAAAAAGAAAAAUGUCACAGAGGCAAAUGUUGAAAUGAAAAACAAAACCUUUUGUUUCAUGUUACCACUGACAACAAUUAUGCACUUAAAGUUGAAAAUACAGAUUUCUCACAUCUAUGUCAUUUACGAUAUGGUCAUUUAAAUGGCAAAGGUCUUCAUUGCUUAAGGAGAAAAUUAUGGUGAUUAGGCUUCCUAAAAUUCAAAUGACAGACAAAGCGUGUGAAGGCUGUGUAUACGGGAAAAUGCAUAAGCUUCCAUUUCCUAAAACUUCAUGGCAAGCAAAAAUGCCAUUGGAGCUUGUCUAUUCAGAUAUUUGUGGACCAAUGCAAACUUCCAUUCUUGGGAGCAAGAGAUAUUCAUUCUCGUAGUUGAUGAUUACACAAGGAUGAUGUGGAUUUUCUUUCUCAAUCAAAAAUCUCAAGCAUUCUCUACUUUUCUUCAGUUUACAGCACUUGCAGAAAGACAAAGUGGAUUUCUAAUAAAGACGUUGAUGACUGAUCAUGGAGGAGAAUUUCUUACAAUCCCUUCAUUGAAUAUUGCAAAGAUACUGGCAUUCAAAGGUAGUUGACAGUUAGCAAAACUCCACAACAAAAUGGAGUAGCUGAGAGAAAGAAUCGCACCAUUGUUGAAAUGGCAAGAAGCAUGCUAAAAGGCAAAGGAAUUCCAAAUCUUUAUUGGGCAGAAGCUGUAAACAUGGCAGUAUAUAUUCUCAAUCAAUUUCCUACAAAAGCUGUUACAAAUAAAAUUCCUUUCGAGGCAUGGCACAAAAAAGUAGCCAAAGAUUGACCACUUAAAAAUUUUCGGUAGCAUUGCCUAUGCCUUCAUUCCAUCACAAAACAGAGAAAAGUUUGAUGAGAAAGGACAAAAACUUCUAUUCAUUGGGUAUAACGAGUCUAAAGAAUAUCGUUUACUAAAUCCAGAGACAAAUAAAAUAACUAUUUUCCGAGAUGUUGGGUUCGAUGAAAAUACAACUUAUGAUUGGAAGGGAAAGCUAGUCAUAGAUUCUAGACCUUAUUAAUUUGAUGAUCCAUCGACAUCUCAAUUUCCAACACUGAACAACAUACAUCUCCAAAUAUUCCAGCAAUUGAAAAAGAAUCAGAAACCCCUCCAAGAAAAAUAUGUCCACUAAGAGAAAUAUACGAAUCAUAGGAACUCAGAUUAUUCUCUUGUGAACCUCAAUCAUAUGAAGAAGCUUCAAAAGACAAAAGUUGUACAAAAGCAAUCAAUGAAUUCACUAUUGAGCAAAAUAAAACUUGGGAACUCGUUGAACUACCAGAAGAAAAGAGGACCAUUGGUUUGAAAUGGGUCUAUUAAAUCAGAUACAACGAAGAUGGGUCAAUUCAAAAAUAUAAAGCUCGGCUCAUGGCCAAGGGAUAUUCUCAACAACCAGGAGUCGACUUCAUAGAGACAUUUGCUCCAGUUGCAAGAAUAAAGACAAUACGUACAGUUUUGGCACUGGCAACUCAAUUUGAGUUAAAAGUUUUUUAGCUCGAUGUAAAAUCAGCAUUUUUAAAUUGUGAAAUUCAAGAAGAAGUAUAUGUUGAAUAGCCUGAAGGAUUCUAAAUCAAAGGCAAAGAAGAUAAGGCUUAUCAUCUUCAAAAAGUAUUAUAUGGGUUAAAGCAUGCAUCCCAAGCAUGGAAUAGAAAAAUCAAUAGCUAUUUCAUUCAAAAUAUCUUCAAUCGAAGCACAAGUGAAUCAUCCCUCUAUGUGAAAAACGUAGAAAAAGAUUUUCUUAUCGUAUGCCUUUACGUGGAUGAUCUUAUCUACUUUAGAACAAAUGAACACAUGGUGGAUGAAUUCAAAAAGAAAAUGAUUGAAUAUUUUGAAAUGUUUGACUUAGGACUUAUGAGAUAUUUUCUUGGGAUUCAAGUAAAGCAAGGCCAGGAAGAAUUUUUCUUUUUCAGAAAAAGUAUAUUGAUGAUCUUUUCAAAAAAUUCAAAAUGAGUGAGUGCAAGCCAGUCUCUACUCCUAUUGCCUUAAAUGAAAAAUUGCAAGUUUAUGGUGAUGUAGAAAAAGUUGAUGCCACACUCUAGGAAAUUGAUUGGUUCAUUGAUUUAUCUUAAUACAAUGCCAAAUAUUACAUAUUCAGUCAACUUAUUAUCCAGAUUUAUGAAUGAACUAAGUAGACUACAUUUUGCAGCAGCAAAAAAAGAAUUUUGAGAUUCCUUAAAGGAACCAAGAAUCAUGGCAUAGAGUUUAAAAAGGAAAAUAAUUGCAAACUUGUUGGUUAUACAGAUAGUGAUUAGGCUGGAUUAGUUGAUGAUAGGAAGAGCCCUUCUAGAUACAUUUCUUUUUAUCUUGCAUCAAAUGUGAUUUCCUAGAGCUCAAAAAAGUAGAAAUCCAUUGCUUUAUCAUUAGCAGAAGUAGAGUGCAUCGUUGCUACAGAUUCAGCUUGCAAAACUGUUUGGCUCAGAAGAAUUUUGAAAGAUUUGAAUUUGAGCAGGAAGGACUAACAACAAUUUAUUGCGACAAUAUGUCGACAAUUGCGAUGACAAAAAAUCCAGUCUUCCAUGCUAGGUCAAAGCAUAUUGAACUUCGACAUCACUUUAUAAGAGAAUUGGUAAAUCAAAAAGAAAUUUGCAUGGAGUUUAUAAAUACCAACGAUCAAUCAGCCAAUAUGAUGACGAAUCCAAUAAUGAUUGAUAAGUUUGAGAAAUUCAAGAAGCACUUGAAGAUUACAAUUUAAGAGUGGCUGUUAAAAGUUCUAGAGUAAUUUGUAAUCUUCAUCUAGUCCAAAUCCAAAUUGGAAACUUCAACAACAGAAGAAGAUUCAAAGAGUUCAAAUCCAAAUUGAACACUUCAUGACACAACCCGUCCCAAAUCACCCUAGUGGAUCCAAAAUGUGACGUGCGCUGAUGAUAGAUGCUGACUAGAUGUCAAAUCUAUCACUAAGGCUGACUAUGAGUUACUUCAAAAAAUGUAUCAAAAUCAAAUACUAUGUGAAAUAUAAUGAGAUGGGCCCAAAUUAUUUACUUCGUGUUUCAUCAAUAUGAGUUAUAACACUUAAAAUGUCGUGUGGCUCUCAUUUUGAAAUCAUUAGGCUCUUCCAGCUAAAAGGAAUCAAUUGCUACCUGCAGGAAAAUUCGUGAAAAAAUAUAUGAGUUGAUAGAUCAGUGAGUGGAGAAGUUCGAAAAUAAUUAUAUUUGUUCAAUUUUACAUUUUUAUAGAAAAUCGAGUUCAUAUCAUUUAAUAAUUCACAAUAUAACAUCAUGUAGUUAUAAUCAAAAGUGAAAUAUUCACAUAAGGUCGUAAAAUAUCAUCUCAAAAUAAUGAUAUAAACAUCAACUGAUAAUCACAAUUUAAUCUCAUCACAUAAACAUAUUGAAAAAUUCACAAAAAAUGUACCAUUUGACUGAAAUAUGUAAUCCGCACCUUGAGCUAAGAGCUUUCGCCACAGGCCUUUGGCUCCAUCCGUGAACGAAAGUCGGUCUCAAGACCUCUAAUCAAUUCUAGAAUACGGCCAAGGCCCUUCGGUAAACUAUAUGUACACGGUCAAGACCCCUUCAUCCCCGAUCGAAGAUCCUUUAUUGUAGUAUAGAACAUGACAAAAGCCCCUUAGUGAACUAAAAGAAAUAUAUAAUCAUGGGUACUUUUCUGGAUUAUCUCAAUAUCACAUAUCUAACAUACCAAACAAUUCUUAAUAUCACGUCUUACAUACCAAGUCACAAACAUACCAUAAAUAAUCCUUGAAACUCUCCAUGGAUCAUAAUAAAAGAAAUUUUCAUCUAAUCACAUAGUGGAGCAAAUAAUUCACAUAAUUGCACAUACUUUGAUAGUAUCCUUAAUUUAUGAAUACUUUAAAAAUAUUUAUAUUUUUCCACUCACAGAGCUAUGUUCAUAAAAUCAACUCGAUUCGUAAGCUGUCUCAAUAUCCGUAUCGCCGUCUGAAAUAUAAUAUAAUUUUUAAAUCAACAAUUAAUUAUUUUAAAUAAUUUCAAUAAUUAAAUAGGCGAUAUCUAAAUUUAAUCAUUUCACAUUUAAGCAAUUUCUAAAGUCUCUUUAAUCACUAAAACUAGUUUUCCUUUCAUUUAACUCAAUUUCAUAGUUUAUUAUACUUAACCCUUUCAAGAAAAUUGAAUUUAAUCUAACAAUAUAACAACUAUAAAAUUAAACAUAACUUCACAAUAAGUAACUUCUUACUUACCUUUCAAAAUUGGGGAAUUCAAGCCUAAUAGUUGGAAUCACUUAAUUCAUAAUAACUUGGAAAAUUUGAUAGGUACCUAUUCUGAGUUGCUAAUUCCAAAAUGCUACUUAAUGGUUUCUGACUGUACCAACCCUGGUCACACCAAGAGAUAGGAUUAGAAGUCGACUUCGUCACUCUGAAACAAUAAUAGAGUAAUAUUUGCAGGAAAGUGACACAAGAAUGUAAACUGAUUUAUUGAAAGAUAUGAAGAAAAUUGGGACAGUUCCCUGGCUUUUGAGAGGCCUGGACUCCCCCAAUGACUCAAUAGAAUAAACGUGAAUGCCCCCCAAAUUUUCCCCCAUUACAUUUAUUUUCAUUCCCUUACAAGAGACUCUUCCUAAAUUAGCCCCAUCCCAUUACACGAUUCUCCCAAAUUUACCCCUAUACAACUAACUGACUGAAGAAUCAGUUACAGCACCCCACCCUUUUCUUCUUUUUGCGUAGGUGUACUUAACCGGGGAUCUAUAUGAAAUGGAGAUAACUGAUUAUAUGAAAUAGAAUAUAAAUUGUUAUUGAUGGGAAAAUAGAGACACUAGGAUUGAACAAAUGAUACUGAAUGAAAUACAAGAUACUCCCAAGCACUUUGAGAGGCCCGACUCUCCUCACAAUACUUGACUAUUUCCCUCCUUUGACGUCGACUCUUCUUUCUCUAGCUUUCCGUUCUCUAUCUCUCGGUUCAACCCAUCAAACUACUUCCAAACUGAAACUUACCGUCGAAGGUCUGCUUUACGUGGAAUCGAGCUAACGUCAGCACCUUCAAUUCUUCCCAGGUUUAUAUUGGACAGCAAUAGUCUAUCUCUAGAAACCAUGCCUAAGCCUCUCCAAGGAAGCAAGCGACUGUGGCUUCUACCUUUUCCCUCUCUAGUAAGUUUCAAUUCUUGUUUAUGCAUUGCUCUGCCUUAAACAGCCACGAAUCUAAAUUAUCCCUAUAGAAUAUCUGUGUGUUGAGUCGGCCACAUGAAUCCAACCCUGAAUCAACGACUUGACCUCCUUUCUGUUGCAUCACAAUAUUCUCCGACUCACUCCUUAUCGAGCUCAACUCUCUUUUGAUUCUCUGCUGCUGAAAAUAUUUUUCCUUAGUCCAAGAAUCGAUCGCUCUGAUACCAAUUUGAUAGGACCCUGUUGUUGCUGAGAUUUUCUAAGGAUGAAUAAUGAUGUUAUUGCUUGAAAGACUACAAUUUGUUAGGACCCUGCGAUUGCUGAGAUUUUCUAAGGAUGAAUAAUGCUGUUAUUGCUUGACUGACUACCCUGCAAAGCUGUUAACCAGAUUACUUCAACUGGAGAUAACUAAUUAUAUGAAAUGGAAUAUAAAUUGUUAUUGAUGGGAAAAGAAAGACACUAGGAUUGAACAAAUGAUAUUGAAUGAAAUACAAGAUACUCCCAGGUACUUUGAGAGGCCUGACUCUCCUCAUAAUACUCAACUAUUUCCCUCUACCCUUCUUAUCCCCGCUCCAUCACAUUUAUAAGCAAUCCCUUGACCAUAACUACUUGAUUUAUUACGCUUUUGACCCUCUAACUAACUAUCGAACCUUCUGGAAUAACAAUUGAUGUGGCUGCCUCUAUGUUUGCAUAUGUAAACUGAAUUGGGGUCUAUCAUUACCUGCUGCCCCAAAAUUCACCUUGUCCUUAAGGUGAAAGUGUGGUACGCUACGAAAUUCGAAACUCUACAUAGCUGAACCAUUUCUUUGGUAAGAACUCUUGCCAUGACAAAUGUCAAAAUGGAAAAUUUCAAUCCAAAAGCAAUUAAAAAGUUGUGGUGCCAUCCACAUCCAACUAGAAUGUUUUCCUGACAAAUCCCAUGUCCAGUUGGACCCGCAAAAGACAUUUCCAAAGUUUGAGUCCAUUUAUUCAAAAUAACGUUGAGGAUUAUUCUACAACCCAGUUUGUACUUUGCAUCACUACGGUAACACAAACUUUUGUCUCUUUUAAUCUGCAAAUCGACAUCUGUAAAUUUCUUGAACGGAAGAGCUUCCUUAUUUGCCGUCGCUGGUCGUAAAAAGGAGGUUGUGGAGGAUUUGGUAUUGAUGGUGUUAGUUUGAUAUGGUGGCUAGGGAGCUGAGUUACGUGGGCGGACAGGAAAAUUAAGUGAAUGUGGGCUUGGUCUGUAGGUAUUAAUUUUAGCUUUCAAUGGGCCAUAAAGUAGAUGGGCUUGCUUCCUUACAUGCCAAUCUUCAACCUGUGGGCUAACUUACUGAUCUGGCCCAAACCUUGAGGGAUAAGCAUUGGGACUUCAGCCUGUAUUAGUGAAUUGCACCCACUGUCGCCCUUUCCUUCCAGAAUCUCCUUUGAUCUCCCUGACAAUGGUGUAAUCUGUCUAGUCUCGACCUUUGCAUUUGCAUCUUCCCUGUUCCUACCACACGGUAGUUCCAAUCGUCUAUACUUGCUCCACUUUCCUCAUAUUUGAGUGGAAUUUUAGAAUUAAUAGUGGCAUUAGGCAAGCUCGCUGCCUACCCCUUCUCCUUCAACGGAGAUAUGUUUCUCGUGAAAUUGAGCCAUCAUCAACACCUUCAAUUCAUCCCAUGUACGCACCGGUGGUAAUCGAUCUAGCUACUUAUACCAAUUCCAUGUUUACCAGUCAAAACCGACAUCCUCUAUUUUCUCUACUUUCGACAACCGAUUUUUAGAAAAAAAUCUUCUCUGCCUCUGACACCCACUCGUUUGUGUUGUCACCAUAGAAUAUCGACGUGUUGAGUCGGCCAUAUGAAUCCAGCCCCAAAUCAUUGUCUUGAUUAGCUUCCCAUUGCAUUACCAUCUUUUACAACCAAUUGAACACGGAACUCCAUCUCUCUCCCCAAUCGCUUCUGAAGUUUGUUUCCAUUCGUCUGAGAAUUGAUGGCUUUGAUAUCAAUUUGAUAGGACCUUUCUAAGGAUGAAUAAUGAUGUUAUUGCUUGACUGACUACCCCGCAAAGCUGUUAACCAGAUUAAUUCAAUUGAAGAUAACUGAUUAUAUGAAAUGGAAUAUAAAUUGUUAUUGAUGAAAAAGAAAGUUACUAGGAUUAAACAAAUGAUACUGAAUGAAAUACAAGAUACUCCUAGGCACUUUAGAGGUCCGACUCUCCUCACAAUACUCAACUAUUUCCCUUCCCUCUUCUAAUCCCCUCCCCAUCAUAUUUAUAAGCAAUCCCUUGACCAUAACUAGAUUUAUUACACUUUUGACCCUCGACUAACUAUUGAACCUUCUAGAAUAACAAUUGAUGUGGCUGCCUCUAUGUUUGCAUAUGUGAAAUGGAUUGGGGUCUAUCAUUACCCAUCGCCCCAAAAUUGCUUAGAGUUGACAGGUACCUACUCUGAGUUGCUGAUUUCGAAAUGCUGCUCAAUGGUUUCUGACUGCACCAACCCUGGUCACACCAAGAGAAACGAGUAGAAGUCGACUUCGUCAAUCUGAAAUAGUAACAUAGUAAUAUUUCCACCGGUAUGGAAACAGGAGAAUAGUGACACAAGAUUGUAAACUGAUUUAUUGAAAGAUAUGAAGAAAAUUGGGAUAGCUUCAAGGCUUUUGAGAGGCCUGGACUCUCCCAAUGACUCAAUAGAAUAUACGUGAAUGCCCCCCAAAUUCCGCCCCAUUACAUUUAUUUUCAUUCCCUUACAAGAGACUCUUCCUAAGUUAGUCCCACCCUAUUACAUGAUUUUCCCAAAUUUACUGCUAUACAACUAAUUGACUGACAAAUCAGUUACAACACCCUACCCUUUUCUUCUUCUUGUAUAGGUGAACUUAAUCGAGGGUCUAUCAUUACUCUUCCCUCCCAAAAUCCACCUUGUCCUCAAGGUGGAAGUCCGAAAACUGUUGCCGAAUCAGUUCAAUUGGUUCCUAGGUAGCUUCAAAUGCUUGAUAAUCCUUCCAUUUGAUCAUUACUUCUGGCCCCGCACUAGACAACCCUGGUCUGACUUUUAACACUACCUCUGGUUCCACAAUAAGCUGACCAUCUGCUGUGAGGUGUGGUGGAAGUUGAAGUAGUGUGCGCAGCCCCAACAGCUUUAUGGAGUUGCGACAUGUGAAACAGGAAAUGUAUAGUAGCCUUCGCUGAAAGCUUCAACUUAUACGCCACUUGCCCUACCCGGGCCUCCAUUUUAAAUGGACCAAAGUACCUUGGUGACAGCUUGGCAAAGGAGCGUUGAGCUAUAGAUUUUUGUCUGUAGGGCUGAAGCUUAAGAUAUACCAAGUCUCCCACUUCAAAUUGAAUAUCCUAGCGAUGCCCAUCUAUCUCCUAUUUCAUUCUUUGAUGAGUAUGAAAAAGUUGUAACUUCAAUUCAGUAAUAACUGUUCCACAAUCGACAUGACUGUAGUACCCUUCUCAAAGGCUAAAAUUGGUAGGAGAGCAUGCCCAUAGAGGAUCUGGAAGGAGGUGUGUCUAGUUGCAGUAUGAAAGAAGGUGUUGUACCAAUACUCUGCCCAAGGUAACCUCUAACUUCACGAACGUGGUCGAGCUAAAGAAAAAUACCUCAAAUAUGCCUCCAAACAACGAUUGACCACUUCGGUUUGGCCAUCCGUUUGUGGAUGAUAUGCCAUACUAUGCUUAAGUGUGGUACCUUGAGCCUUGAAAAGAGCUGCCUAGAAUUUACUCAAGAAAAUCCGAUCACGAUCAGGCACAAUGGACUGAGGCAUCCCGUGCAACUGCACAAUCUCUUUGACAAAGAUAUCAGCCACCACUUGUGCUGUGAAAGGAUGCUUCAGCCCGAUAAAAUGCCCAUAUUUUCUUAGGUGGUCCACAACCACCAUUAUGGUGUCCAUUCCCCUUGAUUUUGGCAACCCCUCUAUGAAGUCUAAGAAGAUGUAUUCCCAAAUUAAGUCCGGUAUUGGAAGUGGCUGCAGCAGCCCUUUAGGGGAGAGUGCCUCAUACUUGUUUUGCUUUCAAAUGGCACGACAUGCCACAUACUCCUUUACAUAUUUCUUCAUCCCGCCCCAGUAUACCUCUCUUGCAACUCGUUUGUAAGUUUUGAGAAAUCUAGAGUGUCCCUUCACGCUAGUAUCAUGACAUUCAGUUAACAUCGCAGCUACCCAUUAAGAGUUUUUGGGCAAGACCACACGCCCUUUGUAGUAAAGGAUUCAUUCAGUUAAUGUGUACCCGGCCUCGACCCUCUACCUAACUGUAGCCUCGCUACUAACUCCUUCAGUUCAACAUCUGCCUCCACCUCUCUCUUGAUAUCUUCCAACCGUAAUACCCAGGGCGAGAAAAUGGACAAGAAACUCAUGGUUAGCUCAACUCUUGAGAGGGCAUCAACUAUCCCAUUUUCUUGACCUGGUUAGUAUUGGAUGUCAACGUCAUACCCCAACAGUUUGGUCACCCACUUCUGGUGAUCAUCGCUGACUAUGCGUUGCUCAAGUAGAUACUUUAAACUCCUUUGAUCAGUUUUCAGCACAAAAUGUCCACCCAUCAAGUAAUGUCGCCUUUUUUGAAUGGCAAGGACAAUAGCCAUUAACUCUCGCACAUAGACCGGCUUAUUUCAAGUGGUACUGGAUAACACCCGGCUGAAGUAAGCAACUGGGAGCUAAUUUUGCAUCAAUUUCCACUACAAAUUCUUGGGAAAAAUCUGGCAAUGCUAGAACUGGAACCUUCGUCAUAGCCUUUUUUAACUUGAUGAAAGCUACCUCUGCCUGCUCAUUCCAAUUGAACCCAUCUUUCUUCAGUAAGUCUGUCAAGGGCGAUGCUAAUUUAGCAUAGCCUUUCACAAAACGACGGUGAUACCCCAUCAGCCCCAAGAACCCACGUAAUUCCUUAAGACUGCAAGGUUUGGGCCAUUUCAGCAUCGCCUCUAUUUUUGUUUGGUUUACUAAUACACCUUCACCAGACACCAUGUGACCCAAGUAGUCCAGUUUCUGCUGUCCAAACAAGCAUUUUUUUUCGUUGACAUACAAUUUGUGUUCCUGCAGACAUCUAAGAACUGUUUCCAAAUGGCCUCGAUGUUCCUCCACCAAGCUACUGUAUACCAGAAUAUCGUCGAAGAAGACAAGCACGAACUUCUUGAGAUAGGGCCUAAACACUUCAUUCAUCAAGCUCUGAAAAGUGGCCAGAGCAUUCGACAAUCGAAAGGAAUGACCAAGAACUCAUAAUGGCCCUCGUGUGUUCGAAAAGUCAUCUUGGGAAUAUCCUCAGGCCUCAUUCUUAUCUGAUGGUAUCCAGACUUUAAAUCCAGGUUCGAGAAAAUUCUGGCCCCAUGUAAUUCAUCUAGAAUUUCAUCAAUCAUAGGGAUCAAAAAUCUGAUAGGGAUAGUGAUUUUGUUGAGGGCACAGUAAUCGACACAAAUCACCAACUGCCAUCUUUCUUCUUCACCAAUAAUACCGGGCUAGAGAAGGGACUGAGGCUAGGUUGUAUGAUCCUUGCAGCUAACAUCUCCUGCACUAGCCGUUCAAUUUCAUUUUUUUUGAAAAUGAGGAUAGCGAUAUGGCCUCAUAUUUAUCGAUAGAGAACCCGGCUAUAAAUUAAUGGCAUGAUCCCGAACCCGAAAUGGAGGAAGCUCGUCUGGCCAUUGAAAGACCUCCUGAUACUGUCUCAGAACAUUAGUGAUAACAAGUGGAACCCCUGGGCAUUUUUCGUCACUUUCCACACUCAUGCUGUCCAGUUCUAACAGAACACCCUGCCUCCCAUCCUUGAAUGCCUUCACCAUAGUUUUCAGGGACGCCUGCGAUUUCAUGAGACUGAAAUCACCCUACUGCAAGAUGAUUUCCCCCUAGCCUAAAUUACACAGUUAAGUUGCCUCCAAUUCACUUGCAUUUUUCCUAAACUCUCUAGCCAUUUCAUUCCCAAGAUCACGUCAAUAGAUCCUAAUUGAAGCAGAAGAAAGUCGUCUACAAUUUCAAUACUGUCCACAAAGACAACAACCCCUUUGCAAACACCACCUCCUCUGACUAAUAAGCUCGUUUCCAUUAGAACACUAUAGCUUGCAGUGUCUGAGGUUGGAAGUCGUAGCUUACUGGCCAACUCUACUAAGAUGAAAUUAUGUAUAGCCCCACAAUCGAUGAGCACCACCACAGGUUGACAUUGAAUGGACCCCUUUAGCUUCAUUGUUUUUGGAGUGGUCAGCCCAACAACCGAGUUAAUCGAAAUCUCCACCAUUCCUUUCACCUCUUCUUCAGCGUCGACACCUCCAAGCAAGUCCAACGGUUCAUCCCCUUCUUGGACCACCAUGACCUUCAAUUCUUUAUUUCUACAAUGGUGGCCUGGGCUGUACUUUUCUUCCGUUUCGCUUGUAGCUCGCCGUCAGUGAGCUUUUUGAACGGGGCACCCCCUUCGCACCUGCUGGAAAUCGUGACCCAAUGUGGGUCGUGGUUCUGGAAGCCAAGAUGCUUGAAGUUAGGCUGCCAACAGGUUGGGGAUAAUAAACAGUGGAUUGUGGGCUGCUGUUUAGGAGUGGACUGGGAAGAUUUAAUUUCAUUUUAUUUGGGCCGACCCCCAGUUGGGCCUGUUUGAUGUACUCAUUUCGAUCCUCCACACAUUGGGCUAAUUCCAUGAUUGGCCCAAAACCCUUGGGUUUAUGCAUCCUUAUCUCAGCCCGUAUUUCUGCCUUCAACCCAUUAGUGAAGUUUCCUUCUAGCACCGCCUCUGGAACCAUCGACAAGGGGACGGCCAGUAACUCAAAGUUCCGCUGGUACUCUUUCACCGUCCCUUCUUGCUUGAGUGCCAAAAAUUUCUCUAAAUUAGUCCCCUCCUAAGAAGGUCGAAAACACUCCAGUAACAAUUAUUUCAAUUUUUCCCAGCUCCUAAUUGCUUGCUGGUUGUCUUCCCAUUGUAACCAGGCAAGUGUGUCACCCUCAAAACAUUCGAUUUUCUCCCCACUUGUCUACUGAUUUAUAUUGAAAUACCGUUCUGCUCGGAAGACUCAUCCAUCCGGAUUGUCUCCGUUGAAUGUGGACAAUUCUAAUCUUUUUCCACGAGUGUCUUUCCUUCCGAAUUCUCCAUUCGUACUCCUGCCCUCACUUCCUACUUCAACUGCCAUAGAUUUUGGAGCCUCCGCUAAGACCACCAUCGAGUCCAUUGAGUUCUCGGCUAUUCCCUUCUCCUUCCUUUCCCUCUUGCUUCCUUCCCAUUUCCUCAUCAUCAAUUCAAAUUUCUCUUUUAUUUCUAACAUAUCCCUCUGUAAUUCCAAUUUCGUUAUACCCACUCCUUCUUGUAGCUCACCAUGGAUUCCUUCGAUCCCCGCUUCCAAAAUCCCCACUUGAUCUGUCAACGUCAUUUUCCCCAGACAACUGCUCUAAUACCAGAUUUGAUAGGUACCUGCUUUGAGUUGCUGAUUUUGAAAUGCAGCUCAAUGGUUUCUGACUGCACCAACCCUAGUCACACCAAGAGAAAUUAUUAGAAGUCGACUUCAUCAAUUUGAAACAGUAAUAGAGUAAUAUUUCCACCAGUAUGCAACUAAGAGGAAAGUGACACAAGAAUGUAAACUGAUUUAAUGAAAGAUAUUAAGAAAAUUGGGACAGCUCCAAGGCUUUUGAGAGGCCUGGACUCUCCCAAUGACUCAAUAGAAUAAACGUGAAUGCCCCCCUACCCCCCAAAAUUCCCCCCAUUACAUUUAUUUUCAUUCCCUUGCAAGAGACUCUUCCUAAAUUACCCCCACCCAUUACAUGAUUUUCCCAAAUUUACCCCUAUACAACUAACUGACUGAAGAAUCAGUUACAAUAUCUUGUCCUUUUCUUCUUCUUGCGUAGGUGAACUUAAUCGGGGGUCUAUCAAAAUUUUUCUUUUUCCUUUUUUUUUCUUUUUCUUCUUCCUCUUUCCUCUUUCCCUUUUUCUCUCUGCCUCGUUUUUUCCAAUGUGUGUAGUGUGUACUUUUGUGUAACAUCUUGGGUUUGAUAAGUUUUGGUGAAUAUAUAUCGAUUCCACCGCCUAGUGUAAAGUUUAUUUUAUUGUUUCAUUUUUUUUGUUUUUAUAUAGCAUGAUAUGUUUGACUUUUCUUUUCUUUCUUUUUUUAAAAAUUUUUUAAAUUAAGGUAUUACAGUUCAACCAACAAAGGCUUUAUUCAUUAAAUGGUCAAAUGAUAAGAUUUUCAAUUCAAGUUGUAGACUCAACUUAUGCAAGCUGGAAAUUAACAUAGACAACAAUCAAUUCACGUUCUGAUGUUCUGCAAUAUGAAAAUUACAUAAGGCAACCACCAUUUGACACUUAUGAUGUUUAAACACAGUUCCAAAUACAUAUGUUCCAGCUGUAAAUGAUGAAGAAAAAUAACUUUUACUUUGUUGUAAUUGUAAAGAAUUAGUAAGACUAGUUUACUCAAUGUUUUCUAUAAAUAGGGAGGUAUCCAUCUAGUGUUAUGUAUGUAGAAAAAGUGAGAAAAAUCUCUCAAAAAAAUUAGAAAGAGUGUGUUGUAGCAACUCCUUUGUAAUUCCUCAAAUUCCAUAAUAAAAAUUUCAUAUUUCUCUUAUCUAUUUCCUUCUACACCUAACAGGUUCAACCUAUAUACGAUUCUAAAAGAGGCUAAACUUUGAUGUGGGUCAAGACUCCACUCUACAGGAGUCAUUACAAAAAACUCAUAGAGUGGGUGUCUAUGUACUUGUCUUUAAUUUGUGUCAUAUGUUUAUAAAACCACAUCGUUUGUUGUUCCAAUAAUUGUUGACUGUUAUCAUUUUAAGAUCAUUGUGGACUUGCAAGUAGAAGAGUGGAUAUUCUUCCUAGUUUUGGGUUUUAUGAUAUAAAUCUGGUGUUCAGACGUUACUACUUUAAUUUACUUUAGUGCAUGCGUAUUCCACUAACUUGAACUAGCUGAUCAAUGCAGUUGAAAGUUGAUAUAGGUUGGUAGAAGAGGCCACCCUCGACGUACAAGUAAGAUGGAUCAUUGCACUUCGACGCGAGGUCAUCAACCCCCGGAGGCACUCUACCACUACGCAAAGCCGUUGACCUCCCAGGAGCGCUCUACCAAUACCCCGGGGGGUUCUCUACCACAACCCCCAGGGCGCUCUACUAAUACCCCCAGGGGGCGCUCUAUCAACACCCCCGGGGGCGCUCUACCACAAUCCCCAGGGGGGCGCUCUGCCACUACGCAAAGUCGUCGACCCCCCAAAAGCGCUCUACCAUUGUGCGAGGGCUUCAAUGGGCAUGGAAUUGCCAACCCAAACACUUAGCCAUAAAACCUCUAGUAAAUUGACUAGGUUCCAUGGUAGUUAACAUAGGUACAACCUCCAGGCGGGAAGAUAAAUACCCCCCACUCAGAAUGUGGGGGUAGUGGGAAUGCCAACGUGGGACACGUGACACCACAACCGCCCAGUGGUUAUCCAGUUCCCAAUAUCUAUAAAUAUUCCGAAUGUGACACAGGUAAAGGGCUCUCUCUCUCUUUCUCUCACUCUUUUUAGCUAUCUGAUUUCCAAUUGCAAGUCUAAAAAUUAAUUCUCACGCCGGAGGUAAAAUGGGGGAGGAAGCCCCGCCUUCGUUUUUCAGGUCAUAAACACUUGACGGAGUAGUCGGAAUACCGAAUGCCACUAGGUAGAUAUAAUGGUAUUGUUUCACAACCAUUUCAUUGGCACCGUCUAUGGGAAUCAUUUGAACUAAAAAGCUAUGUCGAGAAAACGAACAAGGAGUGAUACUCGUUUAGUUGGAAAUAUGGCAGAGACAGAGUCGGAGUCAGUUGUAAGGGGUCACGAGCCAUCGCCGCUUCCGUAGUAUGUGACGUAGAGUUAGUUUAGCACUUUGGAGACUCAAAUGGAAACAACGAUGGCGCUUUUGCAAAACCAAUCUUAGAGAGACACGGUCCCUCCAUUGAGUCCGACGGAAGCGACAAACCAGCAAUCGCCUCAAGUGCCAACUGCGAUUGUUCCACCCAUCCCUCUGCAGGGGACGAGAGGAGCGGGGACCCCAGUGAUCGUAGCUCAGCAGCCCCAUAAGCCAUGGUGGACUUGGAACAGAAAACGGAAGAAAUCAUGACCCAGAAGAUAGUUGAUGCACUAUCCCAGAGAAAGGAUAGACGGAGGCAGAUGGUGUUGGAGGAAGACCCGUUUGCCCCUGAGAUCAUGGCGGUCCUCUUGCCUAAAGGCUUCAAGCAGCCCAUGAUAGAAGCAUAUGAUGGAGUCACAUAUCCGCUUAACCACUUCUGGGCCUUUGUAGACUUGAUGAGACUUUAUGCCACCCCGGACGCUGUGAUGUGUUGGUCCUUCCCCGCCACACUUAGAAGGGAGGUCGGGGACUGGGUAACAAACCUUGGCCCCAUGGUCUAUCAAGACAUUUGAUGAGCUCUCCAUGAGCUUUGUGACUUACUUCUUAAGCAGCAAGUGGAAGAGGAAGACUGCCAUUGGGUUGAUGCAGGUCGUACAGGAGAAAGAUAAGUCAUUGCAGGAAUACUUGGCUAGGUUUAGCCAGGCUACUCUUGGCAUAAAAGACCUACAAAUGUCCGCAAUGGUUACUGCCUUGAUGAACGAAACUCGAAAUCGAGCCUUUAAAAUGUCACUCUCCAAAAACCCCCCAGAGUCAAUGCAUGACCUAUUGAAAAAGAGAGAUAAGUAUGUCGAUGCAGAGGAAACGGAGAAAGUGACCAAAAAUCUCAGGGACGGAUGGGAAACGGAAGCACAUAAGCGAAAAGCGUAUGAUGAGUGAAGGCACACUGAUAAGAAUAAGCCGAAGAAUGAACGUAUGAACAAGGGUUAUGCCCAAGACUGAUCGGUCAAGCAGAAGCGAGAGGAGGCCAAGGCACCCACCCCUUUGAACAUCCCACGUACGAAGUUAUUAAUGGAGAUACAGCACAUGAAAGAGCUCGAAUAGCCUAAAUAGAUGCUGACUUCCUCCAGCAAGAGAAAUCAAAGUAAGUACUCCCAUUUUCACAAAGAUCACGAACACGAUACAGAAGAAUGUCUACAGUUGAAGGAAGAAAUUAAGUGCCUAUUAAGGCGGGGAUUAUUGGCCAAGUAUGUAAAAAACGACAGGGGUAGACAAAGGCUCGAAGGGAUACCCCCACCAAGAGCAAGAGUGAUAAACAUGAUCAUUGGAGGAGUAGCAUCGGGUGGCGACUCGAAUUCAGCUAGGAAGAGCUAUGCGCGUUCUGCAGGGGUCUGCUCUAUCCAAAAAAGGCAAGGUUCAACCAGAGCAUUACUUUCGACGAAGAGGACUUGAUCGGUAUAACGCAUCCCCACGAUGAUACCUCAGUGAUAAUGGGCGAUAUAGCUGAUUUUGACGUAAAGAGGGUCCUUGUCGAUGGAGGAAGUGCAGCAAAUGUCCUCACUUGGGAUGCCUUCUUGGGUCUAAAAAUUCCCCCAGAAAAGUUGAAGAUAGUGAUUACCCCUCUAUAAGGCUUUGGAGGGGCAACAGUGAUACCAGAAGGAACUGUAGAGCUCUAAGUUACGCUAGGCACAUACCCUGCGACAGUGGUGAUUGUGACUAAUUUCUUGGUUGUCAAGACCCCCAUGGCCUACAACACCAUCUACGGCUGGCCAUUGCUAAACGUAGCUAGCGCUGUAUCAUCGACCUACCAUCAAAUUAUGAAGUUCCNNNNNNNNNNNNNNNNNNNNNNNNNNNNNNNNNNNNNNNNNNNNNNNNNNNNNNNNNNNNNNNNNNNNNNNNNNNNNNNNNNNNNNNNNNNNNNNNNNNNNNNNNNNNNNNNNNNNNNNNNNNNNNNNNNNNNNNNNNNNNNNNNNNNNNNNNNNNNNNNNNNNNNNNNNNNNNNNNNNNNNNNNNNNNNNNNNNNNNNNNNNNNNNNNNNNNNNNNNNNNNNNNNNNNNNNNNNNNNNNNNNNNNNNNNNNNNNNNNNNNNNNNNNNNNNNNNNNNNNNNNNNNNNNNNNNNNNNNNNNNNNNNNNNNNNNNNNNNNNNNNNNNNNNNNNNNNNNNNNNNNNNNNNNNNNNNNNNNNNNNNNNNNNNNNNNNCUUUAAAUCGUUUCAUGAGCCGGGCGGUGGACAAAUGCUACCACUUUUUCAAGGCUAUAGGGGGUUUCUCCAACUUCGAGUGGACCUAGGAAUGUGAAGAGUCGCUUAAGAGUUUGAAGCAGUCAUUAUAGGAGCCCCCGAUCUUGACCAGCCCACGGCUCGGGGACGUGUUGUGUCUCUAUUUGGCAGUCUCACCAAGGGCAGUCAGGGUGGUGCUAGUGAAAGAGUUCUCAAAGGCGCAAAAACCGAUCUAUUAUGUAAGCCAAGUAUUGAGGGGUACAGAGGCAAGAUACAACCUGGCUGAGCAGCUAGUGUUUGCAUUAAUUUUCGUGGUUAGGAAGCUGAGGCCUUACUUUCAAUCUCACAUGGUGCAAGUAAUGAUCGACCAACCUAUUAAGCAGAUCCUACAUCGACCAGAGACCUCCGAGAGGAUGUUGAAAUGGGCAAUUGAGUUAAGUGAGUUUGAUAUUGAAUUCAGGCCAAGGAUGGCUAUUAAGGUACAGGCUCUAGCAGACUUCAUCGUUGAGCUCACCAUUCCGCCCGAGCAACCGCUGGGGGAACAAGCAGAUUGGAAAAUUUAAGUGGAUGGAUCUUUGAAUGAUAAGAGAUCCGAGGCGGGGAUCAUAAUGGUAGGUCCAAAUGGUGAAGAGUUGGAAUACUCACUGCGUUUUAAAUUUCCAGCUACAAAUAAUGAUGCCGAGUAUGAGGCAGUGAUCACAGGUUUAGGACUGGUAGCCAGACUCGGGGUAGCUUCAGUAGAGAUUUACAGUGACUCUCAGUUGAAAAUCGGGCAAGUGACCUCCGAGAGGAUGUUGAAAUGGGCAAUUGAGUUAAGUGAGUUUGAUAUUGAAUUCAGGCCAAGGAUGGCUAUUAAGGUACAGGCUCUAGCAGACUUCAUCGCUGAGCUCACCAUUCCGCCCGAGCAACCGCCGGGGGAACAAGCAGAUUGGAAAAUUUAAGUGGAUGGAUCUUUGAAUGAUGAGGGAUCCGAGGCGGGGAUCAUAAUGGUAGGUCCAAAUGGUGAAGAGUUGGAAUACUCACUGCGUUUUAAAUUUCCAGCUACAAAUAAUGAUGCCGAGUAUGAGGCAGUAAUCACAAGUUUAGGACUGGUAGCCAGACUCAGGGUAGCUUCAGUAGAGAUUUGCAGUGACUCUCAGUUGAUAAUCGGGCAAGUGACGGGGGAAUUCGAAGCUAAAGAUAGAAAGAUGGCAGUAUAUUUAAUGGAGGUCAAAAACUUGAUGAAGGGGUUCACCAGGUUCAAAAUAACAAAGGUCCCCCAAAAAGACAAUGAGCGGGCGGAUGCACUGGCUAAGCUCGCAUCUACAAACCCCAGACAUCUGCCUCGCACAGUGAGCAUGCAAAUCUUAUGGUGACCUAGUAUCCAACGCACGGUUGCUGUUGUGAAUGUAGAGCAAGGAGAGAGUUGGAUGGACCCUUUAGUUGAAUAUCUCACAAAGAACAAGUUGCCGAAAGAUGCACUCGCAGCAAGAAAGCUAAAAGUUCGAGCAGCCUCGUUUGCCGUCAUCGAUGGACUACUUUACAAGCGAGGUUUUACAAUGCCAUAUUUGAAAUAUUUGCGGCCAACAAAAGCCCACGAGGUGCUAGUCGAGAUACAUGCAGGAAUUUGUGGCAACCACCAAGGGACAACCGCCAUUGCGUUCAAGGCACUACGAUAAGGAUAUUAUUAGCCUAGCAUGAAAGAAGAUGCCAAGGAGUUGGUGAGGAAGUGUGAUGCAUGUCAACGUCAUGGAAAUUUGAUGCAUGUUCCAGCCGAGCAACAAACAGCAGUUUUUGGGAUGUGUCCCUUCUUCCAACGAGGGAUGGACAUCCUAGGGCCUUUGCCCCUAGCUAAGGGACAAAGGAAGUUCCUUCUAGUCGCCAUAGACUACUUUACUAAGUGGGUGGAGGUUGAGCCCUUAGCCACCAUCACAACUACAAAAGUACAAGGAUUUGUCUAGAAAAAUAUCAUAUGCAGGUUUGGCAUACCCAGAGUGGUUAUUAUAGAUAAUGGCAAACAAUUUGGCAAUCACAAUUUUACAGCCUUCUGCACAAGCUACCACAUAGACCACAGGAUAACUUCAGUCGCUCACCCGCAGUCAAAUGGACAAGCCGAAGUGACCAACCGAGCCAUACUAUGGGAUUUGAAGACAAGGCUUGAAAACAAGAAAGGGCUUUGGGCAGAUGAGUUGCCCAAUGUGCUAUGGGCGUAUCACACAACUCCCCGAGAGCCGAUCGGGAAGACAUCGUUCAGACUGGCCUUUGGGAUGGAGGUCGUGGUUCCAGUUGAGAUCUUAAGCGAGACAGGCAAAAUGAAAGUCAAGCAGCCCGACGACGCAGCGACUAGGGGAGAACUCGACCUUCUUGAAGAGGUAAGGGAGAAGGCGAAAAUAAGAAUGAUGGCUUAUAAACGAAGAGCCGUCGAGUACUUCAACCGGAGAGUAAAUCCAAGAGUCUUCCAGCCAGGAGAUCUCAUGCUAAAAGAUGCAGCAAUGGCAGGACACCCCUACCAAAGCUUGGUCCAAACUGGGAAGGCCCGUACGAAGUAAUCCGCGGGCUGGGAAAGGGAGCUUACAGUUUGAAAGAUAUGAAAGGAAGGCCACUAGGUAGGCCGUGGAACGCAGAACGCCUCAAAAAGUAUUAUCAGUAUAUUUCGAAAUAGAUGCACAGGCUACACUUUUGUAAAUACAGUAGAAUAGGUUGCAUCGUUAUUCUCUCCGUGUAACGCCUCACGAAGGCGCCCUUAGUCUUAAUAUUUUAUCUUAUUCAAUGAAAAACCUUGGCAGUGGCAGAUGAUGAGGGUGCUAUGGAAGGGCCAACCUAGCUAGGACAUCCCUAUGCGCCUACUGAGCUCACAAAUCCAAGAAUUUUUUAUGCUAACAGGAAUCUUGAAUCUCAAUGCUCAUCCCAUGAAGACAUGUGGUCGACACAACCCAAGAGGCUAGGCGGAGAGCCAUUGAAACCAAAAAUUUGGUUAAGGCCCUAAACCGCUAGACCAUGCCCUCGACGGUCAACAUAGCCCAAGAGGCUAGGCGGAGAGCCAUUAAAACCAAAAAUUUGGUUAGGGCCCUAAACCAUUAGACCAUGCCCCCGGCGAUCGACAUAGCCCAAGAGGCUAGGCGGAGAGCCAUUGAAACCAAAAAUUUGGCUAAGGCCCUAAAUCGCUAGACCACGCCCCCGAUGGUCGACACAGCCCAAGAGGCUAGGCAGAGAGCCAUUGAAAUAAAAAAUUUGGCUAAGGCCCUAAACCGUUAGACCACGCCCCCCGACGGUCGACACAGCCCAAGAGGCUAGGCGGAGAGCCAUUGAAACCAAAAAUUUGGUUAAGGCCCUAAACCGCUAGACCACGCUCCCGAUGGUCGACACAUCCCAAGAGGCUAGGCGGAGAGCCAUUGAAACUAAAAAUUUGGUUAAGGCCCUAAACCGCUAGACCAUGCCCCCGACGGUCGACACGGCUUAAGAAGCUAGGCGGAGAGACAUUGAAACCAAAAAUUUGGUUAAGGCCCUAAACCGCUAGACCAUGCCCCCGACGGUCGACACGGCCCAAGGGGCUAGGCGGAGAGCCAUUGAACCAAAAAUUUGGUUAAGGCCCUAAACCACUAGACCAUGCCCUCGACGGUCGACAUAGCCCAAGGGGCUAGGCGGAGAGCUUUGAAAAGUCAAAAAAUUAGCUAUGGCAUGCGAAACAAAUGACAUUCGCCCAUGCUAUCAAAUAGCUGAACGCGAGAAAUAACGCUAGGAGAAACAAGCUUCAACAUUAAUAACCGUCGAUAACAUAGCAUUCAUACGAAAAGCAUGUAAUGUAGUCUUGCCCACACCCUGGACAAGUAGGAAACGAUGCUACAUGUAGAAAUAAAAGGUAACACAAAAAGGGGGGGGACUGACAAAAGGCACUACUGCUAAGGGGAAACACCAUCACUGCCGCCCAACGGCGAAGGACCAAGUGACCUAGAUGACUGCACCCCACUCUCCUUCCCCUUGCGCUGUGUAAGGAACUUGUCAAAACUUGAGGGGUUAAUGGAACGAUGCUCGGUCGAUAUCCAUUCCUUGGUCAGUUUGAUAGACGCUGCCAUCACCUUCUUCUUGUACGAACGCAAAGCCCCGGCAUAAUCAGACGAUGACUUGUACUGCUCAACAGACGCCUCCAAGUCCCUAGUGUAUCCAGCAGAGGCCUUAUACCUUUGAACCGCCUCCUCCUGAGCACGAGCCAACUCAGACUGCAAAUGGUCGUUCUCUGUCUCCUGCUCGCGGGCUCGAGCCUUCGACGCCUCAAGAGAUUUCUUUAAAGAAGAUAUCUUCUUCUUGUGGUGAUAAGCCUCAUUUUUCUUUUCCUCUGCAAGACUCUUCAGCUUUAAGGCCUGGCGACGACUCGAUUCGACAAGCCCGGUCUGAAGGGCCACCACCUAAAGGAUGAGAAGACAAUAUAAGAAUCAAGUGGUAUAACCAUGCAAAAAAAUAAAUAAAUAUAUAUGUGUAUAUACAUACGCAUAGAAUUAGAUGCAUACCCUUUGAAGAUAGACAGCCGUAGCCCUCUCAAUAUCAUCUGCGCUACGUCUUGCAAUCGACCUGGUCCGCACGAGUGUCACUAAGGACUUAAGUACCUUCAUCUCCCGAUAACCCUGGGUGGGAGAAAACCCGAAAACAGGAAGAGACCCCUCACGCUCCCCCUGCAUACGACUGGAAGAGCCCGGCCUAGGAGUAGGAGCAACCUCAAUGGGCUCGUCUGAGGGCUGGGGAGCCUCUUCUGCUACCUGAGGACUUCUCCUUUGGGCCACCAUCUUUUUACUCUUUAAGGGGACGGGGCAUGGCUUAAGAUUACUUCCAUGCUCAAGAUUACUUCCAUUCCUGUACAUGCAAGGUAAGGCUGGUCAAAUAGCAAAACAAAAGAAUGUGAGAACGCAAAACAAAGAAGGGGAAGCUCAAGAGUUUACCAUCAAUGGGAGAGAGAUCCUCGUCACCGCCCGGCAGGGUCCUCAACACCUCGUCCAAAUCAAAAUCCAUAUCUGCAUACACAUACCCAAAUAUAUUAGUUCCAAAAAGCACAAAUAAGAAAUAUUUUCAAGUCAAAAAUAAUAAAAAUCGAUGUAAGCAGCCUACCAGUCGGACGACUCAUCCCCACUAUCAACAUAUUUCUCAUGGUCAGGACCGAUCCUAAGUUGGUGCAAGAGGGGGUGUAUCAACCAGCUGUUGAAUUUGAGCUUUUAGAGUAGAGGAAGCAUCUACUUGACUAUUAAAAAGGCGAGUUUGAGGGAGCCGCCAAUUGGUAUUGAAAGGAAACCGACCAGCUGAAGGCCGGGCAAAGAAAAAUCGAGAUUUCCAACCACUAUUUGAAUUCCUAAACUUAGGAAACAACAACGGAACACUAGCGGUAAAAAAGACGAACGCAUUGCACUGAGCUAACACGUGCAUCUCCAAGACACACCUAAAGAGGUCUAUGGAGAGCGAAACUCGCCUCCUAAGGCAAACAUACAAGAAGUAGAGUGCUUUUCUCCAAGCAUUGGGAUUUAUUUGACUAGGAGUAAUAUUAAACUCAUUGAAAAUUGACACAAAGAAAGGAUGGAUGGGUAACCAGAAACCACCAUCCAUGAUGUCCUUAUACAACGCUAUCUUGCGGGGGUCGGACCCGGGGAGCCUCUCUUUAGGCCCGGGGGCUCUAUAGAUGUAAUCGUCGACUCGAUCAUACCUAGCAAGACAUUUCUCUAACUUAAGCAGAGAAUUAUAAAAGCUAAAACUUUUUGGAAUUUCAAGGGGAACGAUUUCGCUAGCCGGAUCUCGCUCGAUUUCUAAGUUUUGAUUUGGAGAUUUGGUAGAGCCAACAUGUCCCUUGGGGGAAUUUGAAAUAAAGUCUUGAGAAUCAAGUGAAAGGUUUUAGCUAUCAGACUCAAAUGGAAACCCAUUGGACGAAGGAAGAGAAGCCGAAGGACUUCGAUCGGUCAAACUCCCGACCAACUGCCCGGAUGCGCGAAGGGGGCUGGUCAGUCGACCGGCCACGCCAGACCGGUCGUCCGACCAGUCGGCCAGAUUUUUUUUGGCAUCGAUCGGCCCCUCGUUGCUACUCUCAUUGGAAGGAGAAGAAAGAAUUGUUUUAUACAUGGUAACAAAAAAGAUGAAGAGAAAUUCAAAGAAAGACUUGGGAUUAAAAAGGAGAGAAAAUUACCUUAGAAGGAACAAAGCCUAGGAUGUUGAGGAAAAAUGAAAGUGAUUCUUUGAAGUAAAAAUCACCUCCUUUUAUAAACACAAGAAUUCAAACUUUUUGGGUGGGGGGCGGGAGGGGGGGGGGGAAUUCCCUCCAACAUUAGGACCAUUGAUGGGGUGCCAUGUGUACCAUAAAAUUGCUAUUUGAUUUUGAUUGCAUUGCUCGACUUGCUAAUAUGAACUACUAAUUUAUCAUUUAUAUGUAUUAAAUUUUUUUUUAAACCAACCUAAAUAAAGAAAAUUGCUACUCCUCGCCGAAAACAUCGACAAGGGAUGGGGAGGCUAAUGAUAUAGGUUGGUAGAAGAGACCACCCUCGACGUACAAGCAAGAUGGAUCAUUGCACUUCGACGCGAGGCCAUCGACCCACGGAGGCACUCUACCACUACGGAAAGCCGUCGACCCCCCGGAGCGCUCUACUAAUACCCCCAGGGGGCGCUCUACCACAACCCCCAGGGGGCGCUCUACCAAUACCCUCGGGGGCGCUCUACCAAUACCCUCGGGGGCGCUCUACCACAACUCCCAGGGGCCGCUCUACCACUACGCAAAGCCAUCGACCCUCCAAGAACGCUCCACCAUUACGCGAGGCCUUCAAUGGGCAUGAAAUUGCCAACCCAAACACUUAGCCAUAAAACCUCUAGUAAAUUGACUAGGUUCCAUGGCAGUUAACACGAGUACAACCUCCAGGCGGGAAGAUAAAGACCCCCCACUUAGAACAUGGGGCAGUGGGAAUGCCAACGUGGAACACGUGACACCACAACCGCCCAGCGGUUAUCCAGCUCCCAAUAUCUAUAAAUACCUCGGAUGUGACAUAGGUCAAGGGCUCUCUCUCUCUCUCACUGUUUUUAGCCAUCUGAUUUCCAAUUGCAAGUCUAAAAACUAAUUCUCACGCCAGAGGUAAAACGGGGGAGGAAGCCACGCCUUCGUUUUUGAGGUCACAAACACUUGAUGGAGUAGUCGGAAUACCGAACGCCACCAGGCAGAUAGAACGGUAUUGUUCCACAACCAUUUCAAAAGUGAUUCAAACACUUAUGAAUGUAGUCAUUGCAUUCAAUAUUUCAAUUUAUAUAUUAAUUUUGUGUGUGCGCUUAGUUAAAUUCAUAAUCUACUUUGAAACAGCGAAUAUUAAUUAUGUCCUGGCACUCAUCUUGAUCUAAUGGGGAAAAAAGUCUAGAAAUUUAAAUUUACAUAUACAACAUAUUCAACCCCUUAAUAAGAUAUAUUUUAUCAUAGGUAAAAACCAUGCAAAGGUUGCCAAUUUAAAAUUUGAAAUUGAAAAGUUCUCGUGCAUUUAGUAUUGGCUCUUUGAUCUUUGCACUAAAGUUAUUUAAGCAAUAUAAAUUACAGAACAAAAAAAAAAAAGAAAAAGUAAUUUCUCAAAAUAUAUAAGAAAAACACUAAAAUUAGAAAUUAAUAGAUAAGAAACAUAACGUAAUAAAAACUACCUUUUCAUUGGGUUUCAAAUGGUUUUCCAUGUUUCACCACAUUUCUGUAUUAUAAUUGCCGAUCUGUUUUACCUUUUAUGGUUCAAGAAGUUGGAAGUUAAGAAAAUUCUGGAGAUCAUUUGGUAGGAGGAGUAAAAAAUUCAUCCCCUUUCUUAUAAUUGCCCCACUUUGAAGUUUAAGCUCUUCAGAUUCACAUUUCGGAUUAGAAGAAUUCAUCCUCAAUAAUGCAGCAUGAAACAGGCAAAUUUAGGUUAUGAGUAUAACUGUAUUCCUUGUACUAUCCUUCACCCCCAUAUAACAGGAUAAAACAGCAAAUUAAAUCAUGCUAAACUAUUCUCAUCCUACCAGUAUCACUUGGCGAACUGUGAAAAUAUAAGAAGAGAACACAAAAACAACAGGAAUUCUAAUGCCUUUUAGAGAAAAUUCUUAUAUCUGGCUUACAUUCUUGUCAUCACCCGCUACAGGCGCUCCAAUUGGGCCAUCCAACCACCAAGCCCAACAAUGUGAGAAUCAUCCAUUGGAUGUUCUACAAUAUCUCUAUAUGUAUGCGACUACGGUAUGCGUGGAAAUUAAUAUGACAAUAAAGCAAUGGGAAUAUGGGGUAGGAGCAACAUACGGCAAGAACUCAUUCCCUUAAAUGAAAUAUGAAAACUAAUAAAACAAGAAAAUUAUAAUGAUUUUGUUUACUUAAUAAAAUCAAGUUUAGUUUUGUAUUUAUGCCAACAUGCUAUAGAAUCUUGGAGUUAUUGUGCACCUCUCUUUGACCAUCUUCAUUAUGGUGAUUGCUUUCUAAAAUUAAUGUUCCUUCAUUUGGAUACAUUGAUUUUUUAUUCUCAUACUAAAAGAAGUCAAUUUUUUAAAAUUCGUUCGUAAAUAUGUUGAGGUAAGUAAAUCAUAGACGAAUGAGUAGAAUCCGAAUGCACAAAAAAAUGGAAUUCUAAUCAAUUGAGGACCUGGAUAUAGUUUUAUUCUUUUCUAAAGAAGCUAAAGCCAAAGCCUCUGGGUAAGGCAAGCAAGAAGGCAUUAGCUUCCUAUCCGUGAGGGAAAGAUUCUACUUUAAAAGGUCUUGUCCGCACAUCGUAAAGGAAGGUUUACAAGGAGGAGAACCGCAUUCCGAAUGUCCGAUCCAAGUGUGUAUAAGCUGUAUCCGCAAUCGAAUUUACUUGGAUGGAGAACUGGGCAGAAGGCCGCCACUCUUCAGGAUUAGUUAGGCGAAACUUGGACACCUGAGUUACUAAAAAAAAAAAAAAAAGGAUUCUACUUUAAAAGACCGGAUCACACUGUUAAUGUAAUAAAUUCUAGUUUGAGGGUAGUUUAGUCUUUUAUAUUUCCUUUUCCUUGGUAUUGUAGUAUAUGAAUUCAUUGUAUCCUUCGUAUUUUGCCCUAAGUUUGGAGGCUCCUCCAUUCUUCACAAUCUUGUGUUCCUCUUCUUUGAUAGAUUUAUAAAAUUAGUUCUUUAUCAAUUUGUUCUCCUCUUUUGAUAGGUUUAUCAUAUUGGUUUUUUGUUUUCUACAUGGUAUCAGAGCCACGCUUAAUCUUGGGUUGAACUUGCAAGCUUCUGUUCUCCGACUAGUGGCCUUGUGCGGCUCGUCCGGUGGUCUAAAUUUCUUGAUGCUUUGUGGUUUAAAAAUUUCUGAUGUCAAAACCAAAAAUAUGUUACUAAACUUCUUCAUCAGUCACUAAACCUAAAAUUUACACUUACGACAAACUAAAUCGAUGGUCUAAAUGUUAACAAACCAAUAUGAUAAAUCUAUCAAAAGAGGAGAACAAAUUCAUGAAGAACUAAUUUUAUAAAUCUAUCAAAGGAGAGGAACACACGGUUGUGAAGAAUGGAGGAGCCUCCAAACUUAGGGCAAAAUAAGAAGGAUACAAUGAGUUUAUAUACUACAAUACCAAGGAAAAGGAAAAGGAAAUGUAAAAGACUAAACUACCCUCAAACUAAUAAUUUAUUACAUUAACAUCCCCCUCAAACUCACGAUGCUAUAACAAGAAGCAGGAGAGUUUGACAAGCAAUUGUGUGGGACUUUGUGGAGAAGUCGACAAACUGCGACGACGAAGAACAAAAGUUAGGGAAAUAAUGCCGGUAAGCAGAUGAAGGCGAAUCAAAUGAACCAACCAAAUCACACAAUCUCAACUAAAUCAUACUGAUGCAAAUUUCAAAUUCCAAUUGAACUUGACAUAACAAUUCCAAAAUCCAACUAUGUCAAAUUCUCGACCCCAAAAACUGGGCAUAUACCAUACCAAAUUUUCAAUCCUGUGAACUGGGCAUACCAAAUCAAAUUUCCAAUCCCAUGAACUGGGCAUACCAAAGCUAACAACAAAUACCCAUCUUUCUCACAACUUAUCAAACACACAACUUGUCACUUUCCCAAAUCAUAAAUAUAAGUCACAUAUCCACAAAGUCCAACCAACAAAAAGGAACUCCAUAAUAAACAAAAAGGAACAGCAACAUAAAUGAAUGGCCCUAAAUGGCAAUAACCAUUAUUCUUGGUAGGAAGUGACUUUCUCAAACUAGCACCCAUUUGAACCUGACUCUCUACAUCCAGCUGGCCUGAGAUUUCUGCCCAGAUUCUUUCUUCACUUGCUGCAAACAUAUUUGUGCAUAAUGUGUAGACACAGUCCUUGCCAACAACUCGACAACCUUAUCGUAUGACUGGUUCCAAAGUGAGACAUCCUUCAAAUGAUUCACUUCUUGUUUCGGCCACAUCAACUUCUGUUCAAAAGCCUUCCUACUCUCCUCGAGCUGGUUCUGCUAAAACUUCUAGGUGACUGCUUCAAGCUCUAUCUUCCUUUCAAAUUUUCUUCCAAUUCAAGAAGUCCAUUAAAUAAAAACUAGCACAAGAAGCCCCAACAAUCCAUAUAAUGCAGCCCAAAACACCAAACCCAAAACCUUAACCUAACAGCCCACAAAAGAAACCAAAUUGCUGUCCAAACAUAUUUUACCCAAAAAUCAGCCAAUAACUAACCAAAAAAGCCCAAUCUACAGCCCAAUUACCACAAAAAUCGGCCUACAACCCAACACAAAUAUCUUCCACUUCUAAAAUCAAAGUCCAAGAUAAAACCCAAAUAAAUAAAUCAGCCCAAUAUCCCUUUUUUGGCCUAACACAAUAGUUUAAGCCCAACAAACAACCCAUAUAUAUUAAACAUAACUCCCAGCAGUCACAAGUGGAGACCCCGCACAAUAGCAUGCAAACCAUAGUACCAUACAGAAACUAUAAUCAGAAGAAAUCACCAACUGCACAAAUGGACGACUACCACGGUGAUGGGGUUCACAAGGUGAAUCCGACUAGAAAUUUUUUAACCACAAAGCAUCAAGAAAUUUAGACCAUCGGAUGAGCGACACAAGGCCGCUAGUCGGAGAAAGGAUGUGGUGAAACAAAUGCGGUGAAACAAGGAAAACUAUUUACGACAUAUUCAACCCUUAUUUGUUAUAUGUUAACAUAUGUCAAAACCAUACAAUGAUUGCCAAUUUAAAAUUUUUAAUAGAAAAGUUCUAUUGUGCAAUUAAGUAUUGGCUCUUUCAUCUUGGCACUGAAUUUAUUUAAGCAAUAUAAAUUAUAGAGUAAACAACAUAAGUGAUUUCCCAAAAAAAUUAAAAAAAAUUAAAAAAAAUAAAAAUCAAUAGGCAAGAAACAUAACUCAAUAAAAUCUAACUUUAUAAUGGGUUUUAAAUGGUUUUCUAUGUUUCGCCACAUUUAAGUAUUAGAAUUGCCAAUUUGUUUUACCUUUUUGGUUCAAGAAGUUGGAACUUAAAUUUUUUCUUGGAAUCAUUUGGUUGGGAGGGAAAUAAAUUUCAUUGCCAUUCUUGCAAUUGUCCUCCAGAAGUUUAAGCUCUUCAGUAUCACAUUUCAGAUUAGAAGAAUUCAACGUCAAUAACGCAGCAUGCGGAGCGUCAAAUUUUUGGGUUAUGUGUAAUGUUAUAUAAUGUUGGGUUUUUUUAUACCCAAUAAAUCCCAGGAUAUGAUGUUAACGUGGAUUAAUAUUAUUUCAUAAGUAUAGGCCGAUGAAUGAAAUAAGUCCAACAACCAAGUCCAUGAGCUACACUCGACCCAAUUGUAUUCCCUUAUGGAUGGCUUGAAUCUUGGCCUGUUAUCUCUUUAAUGGUCCAACUUAAAGCCUAUCCCUAGAGUAUACAUAUGGCUAUAACCCUAGCCACUUUCUCAUGAUGUAGUGUGUGAUUUUGAGAGAAGAAAAAGAGAAUCCCGGCUACCCUCCUUUUUGUGAGAAAAAAGGUCUCCAAGAGUGUUCAGAACGCUUGUAUAACGUGUGCAAUUGAUGGUUCCUUCAUAGUACACCUUUGUGGUGUCUCUUCCUAGCCUUUGUGGCCACAAAUCAUCAUCUUUUCUUGUCCUAUGUGGGCAAGAUUGAAUAGCAACCGAGGUGAAUCAAUUGGUUGUAGUUUGUAGCAGAUUGGACUGGUUGUUGAUUGAGAAAUGUGCGUUGGACUGAGUCCGAAAAUCACCGAUUUAUAGAUCUUUCAAGAAAGCUUCCGCAACAUAUAGCAAUAAUUCUCUAAAGGUUACAAUAAUGAGGGUUCCUUGUACUAUCAUCCACCCCCAUGUAACUGUAUAAAACAACAACUUGAAGAAUGCUCAACUAUUGUCAUCCUUCCAGUAUCACAUGGCGAAGUGGAAAAUACAACAAGAAACAAGAAAACAAUAGGAAUUCUUAUGCCUUUCUAGAGAAAAUUCUUAUAUGUAGCUCACAUUCUUGUCAAAGCCGACUACACGCACACUAAUUGAGCCAACCAACCCCGGAGUCCAACAACAUGAGAAUCAUCCAUUGGAUGUUCUAUAGUCACUACACCAAAAAUGGUCAUUUUCAGCACAUAAAAGGUAACAUUUGAUAUUUAAGUGUUGCUAAAGGGGGUCUAUUGCAACAUUUUAAUAAGUAAAUGUUGCAAUUAGUUACUUUUCGCAACGCUAAAAAAACAUUGCGAAAAAUAGCCUUUUGCAACCUUCUUUUAAACGUUGCAAAAGGAUAUAUUUUGCCACAUUUUCGAAUGUUGCAAAAAGUCUAACUUUCGCAACGUUUAAAAAACGUUGCCGCAUCCUUCUGCUCUACAGCAGCACUAAGAUUUACAACAUACGUCCAAACGUUGCAAAAGGUAUUCAGCUAUGUUUUUUGAACAUUGCAAAAUGUUGUUUUUGUUGAAGUGAGUAUCUUUAUAUGUAUGGAACUACUGUAUGAGAGUGAAUUAAUAUGAUAAUAAAGUAAUGUGAAUGUCAAGAAGGAGCAACAUAUGGAAGGAACUCAUUCCCUCCAAUGGAAUAUGAAAACUAAAAAACAGGAACAUUGUAAUGAUUUUCUUGACUUAACAUCAUUUGCAAAUUAAUACUUUAAGGUAAAUGUAUACAUUUCCUUGUUCUGUUUAUGCACUAGAAGAUAAUAAUUGUUUUCAUUAUAUUAAACAUUCUAGAGAAGCAUAAUCAUGGUUACCAUUCAAGAAUGUGUUUCUUCACACUCUGCACUCUGUCACUCUGAUGAUGCAUGAAAAGUGCAUAUAUGCUUCACGCAUGUUGCGCACAUGAUGCACAUAGGUGAAAUUGUUUUGUUUUAGGAUUUUGCCUUCAAAAUUAAUUUUUUGUAUGAAAAAAUUUAUUUUGGUUCCUAUUCUCCAUUCAAAUUCUAUCCCCACCCAUUGCCAACUAUUAUGGAAAAUUUUCACUUUUAGUCCCCAACAUUUGCAAAAUGUUAUUAAUCUGGCCUCAACCCUUUUAGGCACCCGUGACCCUUGAGCUUUCAGAUGUAUAGUAAAAUUUGUCCUUCCGUCUACUUCUAUCAUUAAACUCAGGUAAAAUAACAAAUUUACCCCAUCUUGAAUAAAUACGAAAAGAAGAAGAAAACAUAAUGAAAAAAAUAAGAGAGAAAUUGUUGUGAAAGUUCUAAAUAUUUUCAAAACAAAAUAGAUAAUACUUUUCCCCAACCAUCCCCAUUCCUUAACCCAAUCCACCCCACCGCCACCAUUAUAGCCACACAACCUCCCACCACCACUCAAGGGCGGACGCAGGAAUUUUUAGCUCAGGGAUAAAAUCAAAUUCUGUACAAAUUGAAUAUCUUUUUAUUGAUUUUUAAAUGAUUUAUAUUUGAUCCAAGAAAAUGCAGAUUUACAUGUAAAAAAAAUUUUCAUUAAUAUUUUGCUCAUAAUUUUCAUUUAUUUGAUUUCGAACAAUCAUUUUAUUAAUAUUUUGCUCAUCACAAGAAAAUUCAUAUUUAUGUUUAAAAAAUUUAUAGUGUAUUUAAUACUUUAAUCAAUUCAAGUGACUCAAAAGAAAAACUUAUAACCAAUAUUCAAUCAAAUAAAUAAAAUUUGUUAAAUAUAAGUUAAAUUAAAUAUAAUCAGUUCAGACACAUUCUAUGUAUGCAAAUAUAGUAGGAGAAAAUGCAAAUUUGGAUUCUAAUUAAUUGAAAAUUUGAUUGAAAUGUAAAAAAUUGUGGUAGAUGUGUAGAUGUGAUAAUUUGUAGAAAAAUUUUAAACAAGUUUUAAAAAAUUAGAAGGAUUAAGGCUUGGUAAAAUGUGUGAAGGAGAGAGUAAAUAGACUUAGAGAAAAGAAAAGAAAAAAAUUCAAAUUUAUUGUGAUUUUGCCCGGUGGGGAUUAAAAUCAAUUUUUUAGUAAAUUUUGAUAAAAGGUAAAAAGUUAAGGAUUUCUUGAAAAUAUGUUAUUAAAAUUAAUUAUUAACUUUGAUUAAGAUUAAAAUUAAAAUUUUAAUCGAUACCAAAUAGGACUUAUCUCAAAAAAAAAAAAAAAAAUAAUAAUAAUAAAAAUGGUAUCUCAAAAUCGAGGGGGUCACUUGACCCUGCAAGGCCCCCUUGGGUCCGCCCCUGCCACCACUACUAUCCAACCAUCCACAUACGACCCUCAACACCCAUGCAAUUUGCAAUUAAAAUAAAAAAUGAAAAAUGAGAAAACAGAAACAUUCACAUCUCCAAGCCAUCCCACAUCGAAUCGAACAUAGGCCAAAUCAAGAAAUGGAAAAUUUUCAAAACAAAUUCAUGCCCCUUUCUCUCCUACCUAUUUAUUUAUUUUAGUUGAUGGGUUAUAAUCGAGCAGUUCCAAACAUGGCUAAAAUCAAAUCAUCGAGAAAUCUUUUCAAAAUGUUUCUCAACCACCAGCUAAUUGUCAUCGGCAACAGUAGCAGCAUCAGUGGUGCGCUUAGUUGGGUCACAGAUUCCCAGAGAAUCAUAAUUUCUCCUGCUUUUAGCUUUGUAUUUAAAGAUUUAACCUUAAUUUCAGAUCUUGCCUCCUCAAAGAGAUGAAUGAGUACAUAAAUACUCCUAAGUCCGGGUUUUACCUACAAUUACAAUAUUUACACUAAUUAAGUGGCAAUCCUAAGUCAUCUUUGGCACCAUGUAGUACAUUAAACAGUCUUUUCAUCCAAUCGCCACAAGUACAUAGAAUUCAGUCGAAAGAGAAGGAAAAGAUUCUGAUGAUCACACCAGUGUCUUCUGAGUAAAAACUCCACUUUAUGCUCCGUUUGUUCCUUGGAUAAUCUGUAACUUUUUUAUUGAUCAUCAGAUUUAUGUAAUAUGAUUCACGAGUGCAAUCAAAAGAAAGUGACUAAAAUAAUAUAAUUGAUCCUGAUACUGAUCCGUGCAUGUAUUUAUUAGCUAAAAAGAGCUUCAAAUCCUGGUGCAGAUAAAUAAACAAAGAGAUAAUAUACAUAACCAUUAAUAAAGCACAACUCGACCUUAUAUUACAUAUGCUAUGGCUAUAAUGUCUAAUAUCCAAUCUGUUCAUCUGCACAAUCUUCUCAUAUCCUGAAAUUCAAAAUAUUUAUUAAGAAGGUUCCAUUGAGUAUCUCCAGGGGAGGAUUGCCGCCCUAGUUCGAUUCGUUGGGGAGAAUUUUAUUUUAUUUGCUGAUAAUAGAUAGAACUUUUAGAUUAUAUAUUUGAUAAUUCAUAUUAAUAACAAACAUCUUUGGUAACUCAGCUGUUUAGCCCUUCCACUAUUGAAUUGGAGGUGCCGUGUUCAAAACUUUUCAAGAGCAAUAUUUUUUAUAAUUUUUGUAUUUAAACAAAUUUUUCUUUAAACAUAUUGACCACUUACCACCGUGCACUUAUUGAUUUUUAACACAUAAUGUAACAAAAUAAUAGAUGUUCAAUUUUACUGAAACAUUUUAACCGGUGCUUUGUCCCUCUUUUUGAUUUUCUUGCUCUUUUUUCCCCCUCUAAUCAAUUGAUUUGAUAGUUCGGUCAAUUAAUGGUGGAUGAAUUUGUAGGAAAAUUGACCUUAGUGUCAUAAAGAAUAUUCCAAUAGAACUUAUUUAAUUAAUAAAAUGUUACACUUUUCAUUCACAAAAAAUCAAUUGUGAAAAAGUGGAAUCAUACAAGCACAUAAAAUUGAUAUAAGCACAUCAAUAAUUUCAAUUUUGUUAAUAUAAUAAUACUUGGAUAAUUAAAUUUAAUUGUAAAUUGAAUAUUGGCAUUUUGUUAAUUUAUAUUGCAUAUUUAAUUGAAAAAUAAAUUAGGGCAUUUUGCAAAUUAUGAAGCGGAUUUUUUUAUCCAAAAUAAAAGUUUGUACCAAAUUCUAGUUCUAGUGGUGUAUCUAGUUCUAUUAGUUCUAAUCUGUACGAUUUUUUUGAAUAUUAUUUAAUUAAUUAUUAAUAAAAAACUCCACCAUCACGGAUGUUGGCCAUUGAUAGUGAACUUUUAACACUCACGGUCCUCCUUAACUGAACUCGACCCUUGGAUUUGCCCUUGAGUAUCUCCAUGCGAGAAUCAAUCAGAUCCGAAAAGAUAAUUUAUCCAAUAUUCAUGUGGGUGCAUGUGAAACUUCAAAUAAUAUCUUCGAUGCACUUGGCGAGUGAGAAAAUUGCACAAUGUUGAUCAAGGUGUUGGCCGAAGACAAGCAUGGCCUUUCUUCCAAUACAUGGUGGUUCAACCCAAUUACAACUCUGGAGGGGUUUAAACAUUGACGAUGGUAAAGACUCUACAAGGCAUUACACACAACUCACAGAGUGGGUGUCUAUGUACUUAUCUUUUACCUCAUAUUGGUAUAAGACAGAUCAUUUGUGUCAAGUUGUUUGUAAUUUGAAUUAAUGUUGAUUGUAAUCAUUUUAUGAUCAUGGUGGAUUUGCAAGAAUAAGAUCGGAUGUUUCUCUAGUUUUGGGUUUUACGACGUAAAUGUGUUCAAGCAUUACUAAUUUAAUUUACUUUAUUGCCUGCUUAUUCCACUAACUUGAACUUAUUGAUCAACGCAAUUGAAAGUGAUUCAAGCAAGUAUGAAUGUGGUCAUUGCACGCAUUAAAGGUUGAACAUUUCAAUUUAUAUAAGAAUUGUUGCGUGAGCUCAAGUAAAAUAAAUUCAUAAUAUGUUCUGAAACAGUGAAUUAAUAUUUCCAGGUAUUCAUGCAUAUUGACUAUUUUAGAAAAAAAUGUCACGAAAUUUAAAAUACAUUUACAGCAAAUUUAAGCCCUUCUAGGUUAUUUUAUCAUAGGUCUAAACCUUGAAAAGGUCGCCAAUUUAAAGUUUGAAACAAAAGAAAAGUUCUAUUGUGCUAUUAAGUAUUGGCUCUUAUAUCUUCGCACUAAUUUAUUUUAGCAAAAUAAAUUAGAGAACGAAAUAAAAAUAAACAUAAUUUCUCUGAAUAAGAAAAACACUAAAUUAAUAAUUAAUAGGAAAGUAACAAAAAACAGUAUUGGGUAUUAAAUGGUUUUCCAUGUUUUCCUGCAUUUAGAGUACUUGAAUAGCCAAUCUGUUUUACCUUUUGUGGUUCUGAAAGUUGCAUGUUAAAAACUUAUUGAGAUCCUUUGGUGGGAAGGGAAAAAUAUAUUGCCAUUCUGGUAAUUGUCCUUUUUAAGUUUGAGCUCUUCUGAAUCACAUUUCAUAUUAGAAAAAUUCAUCCUCAAUAAAUCGGCAUGUGGAUAGUCAAAUUUAGGUUAUGGCAUUAUUCGGUAGAGAUUUUGAGAAUUGAUUUUUUGACCGUUAGAAGAAAAGUGGGAUCACCUGUGAGAGAAGAAGUCCAAAACUACGGCUAAAAUAGUGAAAUAAUGGUUAAAAAAUUAAUUUUUUAUGGUGAAAAAUCACUCCCAAACAUUCUCUAUGUCUAAAAUUAUAUGGCAAGAAUAUUCUACCUACACCAUAGUGAAAUGAGGGUUCCUUGUACUAUCCUUCACCCCCAUAUAACAGAAUAAAAAACAACUUAAAUAGUGCAAACCUAUUGUCAUCCGUCCAGUAUCACAGUGCUGCAGUGGAAAAUACAAGAGGAGAACACGAACAAUUGGAAAAUUCUAAUGUCUUUCAGAGAAAAUUCUUAUAUGUUGAUUACAUUCUUGUCGGCCCACUACAAGUGCACCAAUUGGGCCAACCGACUCCAAAGUCCAACAACGCAAGAAUCUUUCAUUGGUUGUUCUACAAUAUAAUAAUUAAAAAAAAAAAAAAAAGGGUUGAACCCCAACCUUGAGGGCCUCCACUGCCCUGCCCCUAGAGCUUUGCGAGGGAGGUAAGUCGCGAGAUGUGCCUCAACAGACCAGAGAACAAGAGCUGGCUGUACAUUGCGCCUACAAGGAGUCCAAUUCCAUGUCUCAGGAAUCGAACUCCCAUAUUGCGGCUGCUAUCAAAGUAUGAGAUAACAUCACUCUUGUCCUUUGCACCACUUGAUUAUGCUCCGGAGGGCGGUUGUUCUACAAUAUCUAUAUACGCAUGUGGCAAUGUCUCAAUAGUAUGUGGGGGAAACAAAUAUGUUAAUAAAACAACGUGAAUAUUAGGAAGGAACAAAAUAUGCAAUAACCCAAUUCCUUUAAUAGAAUAUGAGAACUAAAAAAAAAAAAGAAAAGAGCAUUGUAAUGAUUUUGUUGAAUUAAUAAGCUAAGUUUAUUAAGUAUAUAUAUCAAUAUCAGGGCGGGGGAAGGGGGUGGCCCAGACCUGACCCCAGGGCCAGUUACUUUAAUAAGGUAAAAAAAUGUGAAAAUUACAAGGACUACUUGUUUUCAAUAUCACAAUUAUAAUUAAGAGUUAUAAGUUUUGUCUCCAUUUGUUUUUUUUUUUUUUUCAAAAGUCGGAUAUAAUUAAAAUUCUAAAUAUUGGUAAUAAUAUAAUAAAAUUAAAUUAAUUAACAUACUCCUUCCACCCCAUCUCCACUCACAAACCCUAAAUUCAUUUUCAUUCCUCCCUCUCCUUUCUCGCCCCCUCUCUCAUAUCCCAUCCAACCCAUUCAAAUCUUUAUCUAUUGACUCUAUACACUCUUUCUCCCACAUGGAACGUCAUCGUCGAAGAACUCCAUCACUUGUGAUGAUGCUUUUUUGUUUUGUUGGAUGGAUGUUGGUUUCUUCCAUAUUUUGACGGUGUCAGGGUUUUUGGAUGGUUUUUGUUGGUGGCAGUGGAGUGCGGUGAAUAGCGUUUGAUCAAGUAUUUAAAUGUUGUGACUAAUAAAUUGGUUAAUUUGAAAUCAAUAAAUAGUUUAUGACCUAAAAUUAUUUGAUAAUAUCUAAAUUUGGAAUUGUAACUCAGUGUUGUGACCAACUAAUUCGACAAUUUGUGACAGUGAAAAAACUUAUGACUCUUAAAAUUAGUAAUUUGAUCAAUGAAUAAAUUGUGACCUAAGAAAUUUUUGAUUUGUGAACUCUAUGAAUUUUUUUUUAUUUUUGACGAGAAAUAAUUUUUUGAUUAAUUAAUACGAUAAUUUGUGACCAUAUUAUAUAAAAUUUUGAUCUUAAUAUAUUUAAUUAAUAAAGUACAUAUUUAAUUAUUUAUUUUGUAAAUAAAUUUUAAAUAGUGUUUGAUUUUUGAAGUAUUAAACUUUGUUUCUUAAUUUUGAAUGUGUCAUAAUUAAUCUAUUAGAAAUGAAAUUUUCCCAAAAACAUUUGUGGAAAACAUUUUUUCUAUGCAUCAGUCCAAUAUAAAAUAUAACUUUUGUCCCCAUGGCUAUGCCCCUGAGUCCCUGACCAAGAUGCUAUACAAUCUUAGAAUAACUAUACACAUCUGUUUGAUCGUUGUCAUCUUGGUGAUUGCUUUGUAGACUAUUGUUGUUCUUCAUAUGGAUCCCUUGAUUUUCGUUUUCAUAGUUAUGAAACCGAAUAAAAAUUUUGAAACUCAUUCAUAACUAUUUUUAGGUGAGUCAUAAAAAAAUAUUUAUAUAUUUUCAUGUUCUAUUUGUCUUCCAAAAAAUUAUUCUACUUUUCAUUAUAUUAAACAUUCAUUCAUUAUAUAGUUACGAUUAUCAUUCAAUAACGUAUUGCUUCACACAAUGUAGUCAUGUUAAACAAUAGGUGCAUGCACGGCACACAGAUGCUUCACUUUUUAUGCAUUAAGGGAAAUUGACACUUUCCAUCCCCAACAUUUGCAAUAUGUUACCAAUCUACCCUUUUCUAGGCACCAAACAUCCUCGACGUUUGGUAAAUGUUGCAAUACUUGUCCUUCCAUCCAUUUUGAUUGUUAAAGUCAAGUAAAAAUGAUGAAUUUCCUCCAUCUUUGUAUAAAUAUAAAAAGAAGAAAGAAACAAAAUAGACAAACAAAAAUUGCAGCAAAAGUUCUAAAUCUUUCCAAAAUGAAAGCCUUCUUGUCCAACCACCACUGAUUAGUGUCUAAAAGUGCUUCAAAAAUAUAUCAUUUACAAGGCAUUUUACAUUCACUUUGUUUAAAUUCACUAAUGUUAGUCUCUAAUUUCAAUUCUCUUGCCGUAAAUUCAAUUUUCAUAAAUAUAUGAUAAAAGUGCAAUUAAUUGAAAUACGUAUUUAUAUACAUGUCGACAGGAGUAUUAUACUUUUGAAAUAGUAUUUAUUUGAUGUAUUUCACAUGUAUUUCCAAGGUAGAACAAAUGGAGCAAGUGGAGAAAAAAUGUUGAAAAGUCAAGAAUAUCGGCUGUCUCCAGUAAAGAUGCAACUGUCUCAGUAAAAUUGUCAUAACUCGAGUUGCAGAUAUCGAAACAAGGUGAUUCAAAUUGGGUGGAAAAGAUACGAUAUGUAUCUACAACUUUCAUGUUUACCAAGAAAUCAAAUUCGCAUCAUAAGGCAGCCAAAAUUACAGUGCAAAGUCCAGCUUGUUACCUACUGGAUAGAGCUUUUCUACCUGUGAAGCAACACUCAUUUUUUUGGUCAUAUCUAGAGUUAUCGAGAUCUAAUGGACUUGAUAUUUACACCAAUGGAAAUCUAACUAAAGUUAUACCAAUUUAUCUGUUGAUCAUAAGUCCAAAUUCAGGGCACAAAGUAUCUGAAAAUUGGCAUCAACUUGUUUCUGUUCAGCUUCAAGACAGCUGGAACAUGCAACUUGAUGCCAAUUUUCAGAUACUUUUUGCCGUGAAUUUGGACUUAUGAUUCGCAGAUAAACUGUUACUACUUAAGUUAGAUUUCCAUUGGUGCAAAUGCCAAGUCCAUUAGAUCUCUAUAACUUCAGAUAUGGCCAAAAAAAUGAGUGCUACUUUACAGGUAGAAAAGCUGUAUCCGGCAGGUAACAAGCUGGACUUUGCACGGUAAUUUUGGUUGCCUUACGAUGUGAAUUUAUUUCUUGUUAAACAUAAAAGUUGUAGAUACAUAUCUUGUCUUUCCAACCCAACUUAAAUCACCUUGUUUCAAUAGCUACAGCUCGAGUUAUGAAAAUUUUACCGGGAUAGUUGCAUCUUUACUGGAGACAGCUGAUAUUCUUGACUUUUCUACAUUUUUUCUCUACUUACUCCACUUGUUCUACCUUGGAAAUAUAUGUGAAAUACAUCAAAUAAACUCUUUCAAAAGUAUAAUACUCAUGCUGACAUGUAUUUAAAUAUGUAUUUCGAUUAAUUGCACUUUUAACCAUAUAUUUAUGGAAAUUAAAGUUACGACAAGAGAAUUGAAAUUAGAGACUAACAUUAUGAAUUUAAACAAAGUGAAUGUAAAACGCCUUGUAAAUGAUAUAUCUUUGAAACACUUUUAGACACUAAUCACACUCCCCGACCAAGAUAUUGCUAGUCUCUAGCAAUAAAAAAUUCAAAAAUAGUUCAAAUGAAAUAGCUUGUUGCACUUGCCUUAGGAUUUGAAACUGCUUAACAAAAUUUUUCUAAGGUUUGCUACCAAAAUAUAGUCUAACUUGUCCAAUGCUUGACCAACGUGUGUGUGCAUAAUCAAUUCAAUCGCAUACCUUUUCAAAUUGGACUCAUCCCAAUCCUCAAUGGUCAAUUAUUUCUCUCUUCUCUCGUGGGAUGCACACCCCCAAACUUGAUUUUGUAACUAUUUUCCUAAGGUGUGAUUUAUGGUUGUACUAUUACUCACCCUCUCUAGUUUGGUUAGAUUUUACUAAUUGUAGCUCAACACGUCAAUAAAUGAGGAUUCUCCUUAAUUUUGACUGAUUCAACCGUCAAGAAUCAACUAAGCUACUAAUCCCUUAUCAAAUGUCUAAUUCGUUUAAAUAAGUGUCCGGGACUUAAUCAAGGCAUGUAGUGCGUCUUCUGUUUCAUGCAUUUGCUUUUUUCAAGUUUGCUGUGCGAAUUCUGCUUCAUGCACUAGCCUGAUAUCUUUAUAUAUAUAUAUAUAUAUAUAUAUAUAUAUAUAAUUGUCGCCAUUGGGCUCUUUUAGGGUAGCUUCACAACGUGGCAGCUUUUUCCCUUCUAUGCAUUGAUUAGUGUAAUGCCCUUCAUUAAACACUAUUCUCGAAAAUCGAUCCUUAACUUAAGAUUUCCACCUAAUUAUCAUCUCAUUGGUUUUAUGCAAUCCACACAAAAUUUAACACACAUGGAAUCCACGUCUAUCUCAAUGUCUCCUUACAACAGCUCAGCCACCCUAAACUAUUAGAAUUGGUUUAGUUGGAAUUUUAUCUUUAUUUUAUUUUGGUCUAGUUAAUUCUACAUAUUCUAUCCAUUGAUCCAAUCUAAAUAAUAUGUGAUUUUCAUGAUUAUUGUGCUCAAUGUAAAUCAAUCUAACAUGAACAAGCUUCAACUAAAUCAAAGUAGCAUCCCCUAGUCACAGUUCAUAAUAUAAAAAUAAUUUCAAAUAAUAUCAUCAUCGGUUGAUAAGAACUAUUUUUUUUAAAAAAAAAAAUUGAUUCCUUUCCCCUCAACCUAAAUGAAACAUUGUUCUCAAUGUGAAGAUUAAACAUGCAAAAUGUAUGAAGAAUAGUAAGGAGCAAAAUUUUGAACAGAGGGACGGGUGUUGAGCUUUACCUGGAGAGUCUGCAUAAAUUUGGCCUAAAUGAACCUUCAAUUUCAUUAGUGAAAAAAAAAACGACAAUAAAAGAGACAGACCUAAAACAAACAUAGGACAUUAUAAAACUCAAAACAAACAUACAAAAUAAAACAAUGAGAAAAAGAUAUCAGUCUUUAAGAUCAUGUAAAGUAAUGGACUCUUCUAAUCUAGAGAAAUUCUCAAAAAAUGGUUUCAAACGAUGUCCAUUAACUUUAAAAAUAUUUUCGUUACUUGGAUUUUCAAUUUCUACAGUUUCAUGUGGGUAAACAGUUUUGACAAGAAAGGACCAGUCCACUUGGAGAAUAAGUUUUUAAGGAAAUAAAUGUAACCUGGAGUUGUACAAAAGAACUUUUUGGGAAGGCUCAAAAGUUUUUCUAACAAUGUUUUUAUAAUGGAAUACCUUCAUUCUUUUCUUGUAAAUUUGAGAGUUCUCAUAAGCUUUAUUCCUGAUUUCUUCCAACUCGUUUAGUUGAAGUUUCCUAUAGUCGAUACACAUGUGCCAACCAGUAACAGUUCUAGUUGGAAUUAACUCAUUUUCUUCAUUUUUGACUACCGUAACACUAGAUUUUUUUGGUACAACUUUGGUUGGACUUACCCAUCUACUAUCAGAAAUAGGAUAAAUGAUUUCAUUAUCUAAGAGUUUAAUAACUUCAUUUCUUACCACCUCUUUUAAAACAUGAUUAAGUCUUCUUUGCAUUUCUCUUGUAGGUUUAGCAUAUUCCUCCAAAUAAAUCUUAUGUAUGCAAAUCAAAGGACUAAUCCCCUUUAUAUCAGCUAUGGUCCAUCCUAAAUCAUUUUUAUGCAUUUUUAAAGUUUGUAACAACUUACUUUCUUGGUGCGUAUCAAGUUGGGAAGAAAUUAUUAUCGGAAAAGUUUCAUCUUCACCCAAAAAUAAGUAUUUCAAAUUAGAUGGUAAUGGCUUCAAAUCGAGUUUUGGCAUUUGAACACUUGAAAUCAUGGACAUAUUGGACUGUUGUGAUAAUUUUUCAGACUUUGAUUUCUAAUCACUUGUCUUUUUCUCCUGAAAAGAAUUCAAUAAAGAAAUUACAUGCGAAAUUUUAGAAUUAUCGUUAAAUUCAAAUUCUAGCGCAUCAGAUAAAGAUGUAGCGAUAAACUGAUCAUCAAUGAGUUGUUCAAUAAAAUCUACUUCAUGCAAAUCAUCUUUAUCUCCAUGUUGCUUGUAAAUGUUAAAAACAUUCAUUUCCACGGUUAUAUUUCCAAAAGAGAGUUUCAAGAUACCAUUUCUACAAUUUAUCAACGCAUUUGAAGUAGGAAGAAAGGGGUUUCCUAAAAUGACAGAUAUUUGUGCAUUUGAUUUAAAACAGGAUGUGUGUCCAAAAUUAUAAAGUCAACGGGAUAAUAGAAUUUAUCAAUUUGAACUAGAACAUCCUCUACAACCCCUCUUGGAACUUUUACUGAACAAUCAGCCAGCUGAAGUGUUGUUGUUGUUGGUUUAAGCUCUCCCAAACCAAGUUGCUCAUACAAAAAAUGUUAAUAGAUUAACGGUAGCACCAAGAUCAAGCAAAGCACGCUCUAUCCUAUUAUUCCCAAUCACACAAGAAAUUGUUGACAACCAAGAUCUUUGAAUUUAGGUGGAGUGUUUUCUUGAAUGAUUGAGCUCACAUUCUCUGUCAAAAAUGUUUUUUGUUGAACACUAAGUUUCCUCUUAACAGUGCACAAGUCUUUUAAAAAUUUUACAUAUGAAGGAACUUGUUUGAUUGCAUCCAAUAAUGGUAUGUUAAUUUUGACUUGUUUGAAAAGUUCAAAAAUUUCAGAAUUAUGGUUGAGUUUUGAAAUUAGAUGCAAUCAUUGAGGAAAUGGAGCUGGAAUGGGCCAUUUUUCAACACUAGGUUCAGAAAUGAUUUUUUCCUCAGUUUUGGAAACAUCAUUUUCUUGCUUUGAAGUCUCACCCGAUUUUUGUUCUUUUGAAGGGAUAGUUUUGUCAAUAAUUUUUUCACUACGAAGAGUCAUGAUGGAGUUGGCAUUUUCUUUUUGACUUUCGAAGGAACUAGAAGCAUUUACAUUAAAUUGCCCAGAAGGAUUUGGUUAAGGUUGAGCAGGAAAUUUACAUUUCUCUUGAGAAUGCAAAGAAAAGGUCAAUGAAGAAAGUGUGUUCUUGAUUUCAUUGAUGGCUAGUGAAGUUUGAUUAUUAAUGUUUGCUUGUCCUUGCAUGAAUGAUUGAUGUUUCCUCAAGAGUUUUUUUUAUUGUGGUGGUGGAAAAGAAAGAAAUUUUAAAAGCCCUUGAGGUUGUGAUAUAUGAACACGAUUAUCAUUUCUCCAACUAAAGUUGGGAUAAUUUCUCCAUUUUUGAUUAUAUGUUUCUGAGUAUGGAGAACGAAAAGACUUUUUAAAAGUGUUCAUAGCAUUGGAUUGAUCAUGUAAAGUUUCUUUGAAGACUGGGAUGUUAGGACAAUCAUGCGUUGGAUGCCCAAAAGUUUCACAAAUGCUACAAAUUUCAUUAUUUUUCACAGGUUUAACUUCCUUUACUUUCCUUAACUCCAUAGCUUCAACCUUUCUAGACAAACUAGCAAUCCUAGCACUUAGAUCAUCAUCUUGAUUCAAUUGAUAUUUUCGUCCACUAGAACUAGCAAGACUAGAUCUGAUUGAGUUUUCGAUUGGUUUUACUGUUUGCCAAGAUUGAGAAUUUUCAGCUAGAUGAUCUAGAAAUUCUAAAACUUCAUCUGGAUCUUUAUCUAAAAAUUCACCAUUGCAUAUCUUUUUUACAAAUUGUUUUGUUUCAGGAUUUAAGCCCUUAUAAAAGAAAAUUAUAGUACGUCAUUUUUCAAAACCAUGAUGUGGGCAUGUAUUUAACAAAUUUUAAAAACUUUCUAAACAUUGAAAGUACACUUCAUUGGGUUUUUGAGAAAAAUUUUGGAUUUGUCUUUUCAAAGCAUUAGUUUCAUGUGCUGGAAAGAAUUUCUUCAAAAAAUCACUUUGCAUUUCUUGCCAUGUGCCAAUCAACCUUGGUUUUAAAAAGUUAAGCCAAGUUUUUGCUUUAUCUUUUAGACAAAAAAGAAACAAUUUCUACUUAACAAUGUCAUUGGGGUAAGUUUAAUCGUUAAAUGUGGCACAUACUUCCUCAAAUUCUUUAAGAUGCAAAUAUGGACUUUUAGAUUCUAAGCCAUGAAAAUUAGGAAGUAAUGGAAUCAUACUCGGCUUGGAUCGAAAAUUAUUAGCAUUAAGAGGGAAAAUGAAACACGAAGGAGCAGAAUUUCGAGGAGGUUGCAAGUAAUCACGCAUGGUUCGUACUUGUUGGUUUUCAUUUUCAUCAUGUACGCUUUCAUUAUCAGCCAUGGUGGAAGAUGUGAGUGAGUGUUAAGGUGAGUCAAAUAAAUUACUAAAGAAAGUUUCACAAUUAUCUUUAACUAAACGAUGAGAAUUGAAAUCACGAUACCAAUAUGACAUAAAAUAACAUAAACUAGAAAUAAAAAAUGAAAAUUAGGUGGCAUGGCCAACCAUAUAAUAAUGUAAAAAAGGAAAAUUAGGUGGCACGGCCUUCCUUUUAAAGUAAAAUAACUAAAGUAGUAAGAUCGAAAAGGAACGAGUCUACCUAUUUUAUGAAGAUUAGAAAACCUCACAGAAAGUAGCAGAAAAUAAUCCUUGACGCAAAUCCCUAGCAACGGCGCAUCUUCCACCUGUCUUGAAGCUAGAUAGAAACAAGUUGUAUUGUCCACUUAUAUUUUAAAUAUUCCUUUGCCUAUAAAAGGGGACCUUGGCCAAGAUUUUGAGAGCAUCAAUUCCUCUCUAUCAUAUUCUAGUUUCUUUCAUUUUCUUUGUAACAUUUCAUUAUGUAUUUCUAAACCAUUAGCUAAAGCUAGGGGUAAAACUUUGGUAAAUGUGUAGUAUUGUCUUUGAUCUUUCACUUUGUUCUUCAAUGUUCAUCUUCUUACUUGGUUGAAGUAUAUGUUCUACAAAUGAUUUUGGUUUGUUAAAGACUUUGAUUUAUUGUUGACAAUUUUGGCACAAUAAAUGCUUAGAUAAUCUCUACAUACCAACAACUUAUUUUGACAUAUUCUCUCAAAUAAUUAUCAAGAUCUAUUUUUUAGUAUAUUUGCGAUCAAUGUUUUAUCUUCCAUAUGAGAUCACUCCUUAGUUGAUGUCCAUAUGAGUUAAGUAAAAGAUCAAGAGCAAUUUCUACCCAUUUAUCCAAAGUGAAUCCCCAACGCUCUAGUGCUCUGCUCCAUCGUAUUUCCACCUACCAUUUACCACUCAUAGAAUAGUUUAUUUCCUUCCAAUUGUCUGUGGUUUGACCUCGGACUUUCGAGUUUACUACUUGCAACAACCUGUACUUGGGUUUGCAACCUCAAAGUUGUAGCAACCACCAAUCCCCACCCGAUCAGCCCCGCACACAACCUCACAACACAACCAUUGCUACCUCUAUUACCUACCUACAACUUUCCUCAACUCCUUAGUUGAUGUCCAUAUGAGUUAAGUAAAAGAUCAAGAGCAAUUUCUACCCAUUUAUCCAAAGUGAAUCCCCAACGCUCUAGUGCUCUGCUCCAUCAUAUUUCCACCUACCAUUUACCACUCAUAGAAUAGUUUAUUUCCUUCCAAUUGUCUGUGGUUUGACCUCGGACUUUCGAGUUUACUACUUGCAACAACCUGUACUUGGGUUUGCAACCUCAAAGUUGUAGCAACCACCAAUCCCCACCCGAUCAGCCCCGCACACAACCUCACAACACAACCAUUGCUACCUCUAUUACCUACCUACAACUUUCCUCAAACCUAUGCCAAUUGGAACAAAAAAAGAAACAUCCCCAUCGCCAACCCAGCUCUAUCAAAUCAAGCUUAGGCCAAAUUAAGAAACGAAAAAUAUUAAAAAUAGAAAUUGGUCCCCCCUCUCUCACACACAUCGAGAGUUCCUCACAUUGUUCCUUUUGUGGUUAUCUUUGUUUCAGUCAAUGGGUGAUAAUCAUGCAAUUCCAAACAUGGCUACAACAUCCAAUAUAUUCAGGCUGAAAUAGGGUUUAAGUUGGUGGAAUCGUAUUCGGUGAUGUAUUUCAAUGCGUGAGGGAUGCUAAGGCGAGGGUUGACCAGACAGAGAUGGACUUUGAGAAUGAUCCCACAUCAAAAUACCAUAAUUUGCUACAUCAUGCACAGGCUAAUUUGAACGAACCUUAGCUAUUGAUGAGGUUUCUAGAAGCGAAAAGCUGGGUCUCGUUGGGCGUGUGAAAGGGACCAUAACACCCGAUAUUUUCAUGGGAUGGUCCAAGGAUGUUAGAUCAAAUCUCAUAUCAGGACUAUCAUGACUUAUGCAGGGGAAGAUCUCUCUACUCAUGUAGAUAUUAAGAGCUCGGUAAUCUCAUAUUUUCAGGAUUUAUUAUCUGCUCCAUCACGGCCUUUGGAUCCCAUACAUCCUAUCAUUAUACCUAGGUGUAAGAGAUGAUUUUUAGUAUUGAUGCUAAUAGUAUUGCUAGCUUAAUGAAUUCUCUUUCUGCUUCUACCAGCACUGUUGGGAUAUUUUAAAGGAUGAUGUGUAUGGUGCAGUUAUUGACUUCUUUGAGCAUGGUCAUCUACCACGAGGCUUUACUACUACCUCAAUUAUCUUACUCCCAAAGAGGGAGAAUGGUUAUAGAUGGAUGCAUUAUCAACCUAUCACCUUGUGUACAAUAAUAAGCUUAUCAUUAAACCAGUGAACACCGAAUUGAGUUUAUUGCUGCCUCGUAUCAUUUUCUCUCAGCAGAGUGAUUUUGUCUCCGAUUGCCUUAUUGGGGACAAUGUUUCAUUGACUCAGGAGCUCAUCCAUAUGUUGGAUGAUAGAAUGUGUGGAUGAAAUACUAUACUAAAGCUAUAUAUGGCAAAACCAUAUGAUCAUACGGACUGAUGAUUCAUUUACUUUAUACUGGAUUUAUUUAGUUUCGACCAGUAUGGAUUGAUAGGAUCAAAUGGUGUAUCUCGGAGUACUGAUUUUUCUGUGCUCUUAAAUGGUCAUCCAUGUGGCUUCUUCUCAUCCCCACAUUGAUCCUAUCUCCCUGGCCAAUUGGUGAAAAGAAAUAAGAGUGGUCUUAUACUGCCUCGAUGAGCAAUGAAUAUACAGAUACUAAAGUCAGUGAUUUUAAUUGGAUUUUUACAUCAGCAAUGGCCAUUUACAUACUUGGGAGUCGCCUUAUAUAAAGGGGCUAAAAAGUGACCUCAUUGUGAAGUUUAGAAGUAGGAUUUCAGCAUGGGCAUCAUGGUUUCUAUCUUAUGGUUGUAGGAUUACUCUGCUGAGAUCAAUUCUCUCCUUUUUACCAUUAUAUCUCUUUCAUAUUUUACGACCUUCCUAGCCUCUACUGAAAAAGUUGAAGAGUAUAUUUACACGAUUCUAUAGGAAUUCAAAGGAUCAUGCACGGUGCUCAUAUUAGUAAAGUUGGAAGAAAAUUUGCCUCUCUAUUGAUUAGGGUGAAUUGGGCUUCAGGAAAUUACAGGUUAUGGUGGACACGUUCUCCUUAAAACUAUGGUGGCUAUUUAGGUCUCAGAGUUCUCUUUGGGCUCAAUUUUUGUUGGGCAAAUACUGUGGAUGGACACAUCCGUCACUUGUAGCAAUUCCUUAUUAAUGUAGGAGGGUCCGAAUCAAGCGAUGUCGAGUUGUCAAAUAGCACGUUGAUGGUGCUAAGAUACCAUGAGAUGGCAGAUCGGCACAAAUAUGGCAAUUGAUCGCAAUCUUUUCCUAAUUGGGGAAGUUUUGAACAUGUUUCAGUAAUUUAACCAUAACUUUGGCUACAAUUAUCAGAAUUGCAAUUAUGACCCCAAUUCAGAAAAAGUAAGGCGUCAGUGAGGAGGUUGUUUUCGAGGCCAAAGUCCAUUGUUUUCCCUUCCAAAUUCCCAUUUCAUUUAUUUUUUUAUAUUUUUGGUAAUAUUUUGUUUGCCAUUUUUGAGAUGAGUAUGAACCUGAUUUGAGUCAAAUUUUUGGCAAGUUACUUCUUUUAAUAUGUAGUUUAUUUUGGUUUAAGUAUUGAGAUUUUGCUAUUUUUGAUAAAAUUCUGAUAACAUCGUUAUUCUUUAGCUAUAUAGCCUGAUUUGUUGGCUAUUUUUCGUCAUUCUGCAUUUUUGAAUAAUAUUGAGUUGAAUUUCAAAGAAAUCUCUCUAUUGCUGGGCGUUUCAUUUGUAUUUUUUCCUUGAAUCACCUGUUGUAACUAGCCUAUGGGAUAAUCACUAUCCUGCCCCACGUCACUUAUUCAGCUUUUCCUAUAUGGAAGAGACUAAAGAGAUUUAGUCCACGUGCCAAGCUAUCCGUGGCAUCUUGGGAUAGAUAAGAUUUUUUUGGCAUGAUUGUUGGAUGGGUGAUACUACAUUGGCAUCCAUCUUCCCACAUAGAUAGCACACAUCUUCGAGGAUGUGGAAUUUUUUCGAGGAGACUAGAUGGGCUUUGGACGGUUCCUAUAUACUCUUCCACAAGUUAUGGCAGAACAAAUUGCGACCAUUCCACUAUUUAUCGAUGCCCCAGAUCGUAUUUUUUGGUAAGUUACAUGGAUGGUAUAUUCACAACCAAGUCAGCUUGGCAGUUGAUUCACUCUAAUAGGCUAGAGAAGGACUUGUUUCGUUUACUUUAGAGCCUUAUCAUACCUACCAAAGUCUCAUUCUUCUGUUAGAGAUUAUGGUUGGAUUUGAUUCAAGUAUAUGCUAUUAUUCAAGGGAGAAUAGGCAGUCAACUGGCUUCUUCGUGCCACUAUUGUUCUGAGAUUGAGACCAUUGGUUAUACUUUCACUGAUAGUAGUAUUUCAAAUUACAUUUAGUAGCAUUUUGUCCAUAUUUUCUAGAUUCUUAUGAUUGCUAGUGAGAGCGUUAGAUAAAGAUUUCUGAUAUGGCAAUUUUCUAUACAGUUUGCACGGAGUGGGCAUAUUGUAUCAUUAUCCCUCUACUGAUCUUCUGGUCCAUAUGGACAGACAAGAAUUAUGCGAAACAUAGGAAUCUACCCAUGAGACCCAGACGAAUCAUUUGGAGGGUAUAUCAUAUGAUGUCCUUCCUAUGCAUUAUUAGUUUGUUUCGACCACUACAUUAGCAUGCUAAACGCAAUUUUCCUUCUACUUCUUCCUUACUAUGGUUCGGUGGUGCAAUCAUCGGAUGGAUCUAUCAAGAUCAAAUACUGAGGGAUGUGACGUCACGGAUCAUGCAGGUAAAUGUACCAAGUCCUUCUUAACUUCAUAUAGACAAUGUAUGAUAUUAGAGACCGAGCUUAAAGCUAUUCUUUAUGGAAUACUAUUGGCUAAGGAUUUUGGGUUUUCAGGUAUUUGGUUUGAGUCGGAUUCUAUUGUGGCUAUUCCAUGAUUACGCAGUGUUACUGAAUGACUUACAAAUCACAAGCAUUGUGUGGCAAACUCCAAUAAACACACAAAAAGAUGCUUAUAAAAGAAUGACUUCCUAAAAGUGGAAAUGCUAGGGUUUUAUGCUUGUUUGUUCUUUUUUUCUUCUUCGGGCUGUUCCACAUACCCACUCAUGUGAGACGCUGCAUUGCCUUCAUCAGUUUCCAAGGCUUCUGAAAACACUAAAAUUAAGCAUACUUCAUUCUUUUUUUAAUACUAUUUACGUUUAAAAGAGUUUUCCUCAAAAAUUCAAUUUAAAAUAUAUGUUACACAUUACUAACAAAAGAAUUUGUAUAUUAAUUUUUACUUCAUGAAAUCUAUAUUCAAUAAAAGCCUAAAUAAAACUGAUGUAAUCGUAAUGGUAACAUGAAUAAUAAUAAAUUUUGACGCUAUAUCUGAACCUAACUAGAGAACAAGGGAAUACUUAUACCUGUUGUAGCACUUGCACAAAGUUCUUGUAUGUUCAAAUGCACCUAACCACUUGACAUAGUAAUAUUAUUCUCACUACGAGGUGUUGAAUCUGAAAUACCAUGAUUAGUGGGUUUGAGUAAAGUAUGCCAUUCGUCAAUACAUAUUGAUCGGUCAGGUGAUAGAUUAGGAAUUUCAUGCUUUUGAAGAGCUUUUAGAAUGUCUUGAGGUUCUUCCAAAAGGCAUGUUGCUUCCUGCAUACUUUUCUCCCGUUCUACUAUGGUCCUAUUGUUGCAUUUCUUGAGUAUAGCAUGAGGUAAAUUGGUCAGGCAUGUAGCAAAUAUAUCUGCAACAAUAACUGAAAAUCUCUCAAACACUUGAGUAUCUAAUGCCGAAUGAUAGCUUUCCUUAUAGACCAAUAGCAAACUGUUACUUAUUUUGUACAUUUAAUUGGAAAUUAUGAUAUUUUCAGACAAGUUAACUAGCUUUCCAUAGCAUUUUCAUUCAUUUUACUCAUGAAUUUCUUCACUUCUAUUUGCAAGAGCCUGAAGAGUUUUUUUUUUGGGAAGAUUUUGAUACCCUGGAAAUUUUUUGGAGAUCCACGUCUAACCACUUGCGCCUCAAUCAACUAAAACCCAUGCAAAAUAUGUGGCACUCGUGCUGCUUUUUGAUACAUAUAAUACCUCUCAUAAAGUUAACUCUUUUGUUUAUUGAACAUAGAAAUUCUAGGAUACGUAAAAUCAUUAUCUACAUUGUUUAAAUUGAAAUUUUAUCGAGAGUUACUAAUUUUCAUCUAAAAUAACAUUUCAUUAAUGACCGUUAAAAAUUGAGUCCCAAAUAAACCACUUAAAUUGAGAGAUACAUUUUCACAAUGAUUUGCUUGGACUAAUUAAACCCUACAUUUAUUAAGCAUAUUGUAAACAUUUCAAUAUCCCAAGUAAUUUGGGUUUGACGUUGUGGUCUAAAUAUGAAAAUUUAAUUAAGUUAUGAAAAACAUAAUGUCACUGAAAUCUCCUCCCAAAUUAUGACUUUUAUAAAGGUAUGAAUUAAAUUAUACUCUUUUAUCUAUUGAAAUUUUCGAGUUCUCCUAUCUGAAGAUCAUUGUCUAACAUAUUUACGUAGCUAAUAUUUUAAUGAUAGUACUAAUCUUCGUUAAAAAUAACACGUCAUGAUUGUUCAAAAAAUGAUGUGGUAGUAAAUUAUCGAUAGCAACAUUAUUUGCGUGGAUUAGUUAAUCCCAACAAUUCGUACGAGUAAUACUAGUGGAUAGCUAUCAUAUUAUUUGAUGAAUUUAAAAUAUUUUUAAUUUGUUGAACAAUGUAACAUUGACCGUAGAUGUAAUAUGAACUCAAUUAGAAAUGAAUAGUUCUCCAUGUGUUCUAUAAAGAUAGACUUGCUUUCAUUUUCACACAAAUUAAGAAAAAAUAUAAUUAAUAUAAUUGAAAUUAUAAAUUUUAUUAACAUUUUCCCUCUGUUUUUAUACUACUAGCUCUCAGGUUGGCUAAAUUAAAAGUUAAAUUAGAAUAUUUCUUAAUUAUAAUUGAAUAAAAGAAGAAAUAAAUAUAAAUAAAUAAAAUAGUAUUUUCUUUGUCAAUUAUUAUAAUAAUAAAAUCAAAAUAAACGACUUUUGACAAGACGAAAAAAAGCAUUUUUCACAUGGGCUCAACUAAAUUUUCAAUGAAUUCAAAAAAGAGAAAAUUCCAAACACACACACACACACACACUGUGUGUGAUUUUUAACAUUCCAAUUCAAAAAUUGGAUUUAAAAGAUUUUGGUUCAAAAAUCAAAAGAUAAUUCAACUUUUGAAUAUUAAUAAUAAUAUUAUAAAAUAAAAUUAAUAUACAUCCCCGUAACCCAACCCCCACCCAACCCAAUUUCACUCCUAAAUCAUAAAUCAUUUCUCAUUUGUGACUCUUUUGAAGGCAAGGAAGAUCAAGAGAAUGUGGCGCCGCUGUGCAUCCAUCGAAACGAACAACACACAAACCCGAGCCAUGAUUGAAACCAACAACUCGAACCAACCCUUUAUUAAUCUCGUAAUGCUUUUAAACUCAUCAAUUAGCUAAGGGAUUAAAUCUAGCUGAGAAUUGGGAAGCUUAGAAGAUUCAUGUGUAAAUAGCUUGUGAGUAAUGAAUCGCUGAAAUUGUUGAUUUGGAUCUCCAAAUGUAUCUCCAUUUUCCAAAGAAAUGUUGUGAAUAAUAUAUUUUGUUCUUCAUUUUUUUAAUCACAUUGUCGAAGUACUUAGUGUUUCGAUCCCCCAAUUGAAUCCAUUUUAUUCCUACUUUUUGUCUCAGGAAUACCUCUUAGCACGCUAGUAAAUAGUUGUAGUCUAAAUUAUAUUUGUAAAGCUUUAUUCUCGUUGUUUCUGAUUGCGCAUAGUAAAGCGUUAGUUCCUUUUCUUUCAAACUUUGUGAAGAAUUAUCAAACACUUGUUUAUUCCACAACUUAAGGCUGAUUUUUAAUCUAGAUAAUAUAUACUAGAAAACCAAGAGCCUUGUCUCUACUUUUGAUUGUUUCUAAUUCCUUACAAAAAAAUCCUGAAAUUGGUCACCUCGAAUCCAAAUGUUCCAGAUCCAGAAAGUAGAUGGGCAGUUGGCGAUUCCAUUUAUCAAUAAUCUACAGUAGGGGCAAUGGCCUAAAAUGUUCCAAUUCAAUUGAUAAAAAAGAAUGAUAGAGCAAAGAUCCAUGGCAAAGGAGUUACCAUUCAUUUACCACAUAUGCCAGUUUGUACAAGUAUAUUGCAAGUCUUCAUAAUCUGCAUUUUCUAGGUUACGAUACCUUAAAACUAUUGAAAAAUCAUCAAUAACACCUAGAUGUGGCUGUUUGACACUGAGUCUUUAUUGGCUGAUAAAAGAGCACAUUAAAAUCACCCCUGAAAAAACCACGGUGGAUCACAUUGCUUGAGAGAACUUUUAGACUACCCUAAAGUUCCACCCUUUCGUGCGUGGUUGAUUUUGCAUAUACUACAGUAUAAUGGAAAGAGUCGGGCUAAUAGAAUUUUUAUUCAGGGUAACUAAGUCAUUGUUCGAAUCCAUAUUUUGAGCAUUGAUUUUGUAAGAAUGAUUUUUUGGAGAAUGUGUAAUUAAAAAGUAAGAAAAUUUUUUGAUUACUUGCAAAAUUAUUUUAUUGAGAGAAUAUGAAUGUUGAAAACUAAAUUUAAAGAAAGUCAAUUUUAAAAAAUGAGGCUCAAACGGGGGUUAAUUGUCUCAAGUCAUUAGCAAUGUUACAAUUAAUAUCAAGGGUCCACAGCACCCAAAUUUGUUUCAAGGGAAAAUUUCAUAGCUAAGAGAUUAAGUAUAAUCAAUUUCAAAACAAAGAAACAAGUUAUAUUAAUUCGAAAUUCAGUUAUUGAUUAAAUUUUAUUUAUGAAAUAAUUAAUUGAAAAUAUAUUUUAUUAAUUGAAUAGAAUUAAGGUCACAAUAUUGUAUAAAUUAUUGUUACAAUUAUAUAUUUGUCACAAUUAUAUACGUCAAUGUCACAAAUCACAAAUUUCAUAUGUCACAACUUAUUUCUCGAUCACAAAUUUAACAAACUAAUAGGUCACAUAUUAUUCAUUGGUCACAAAUCAAAAAUUUUAUAAGUCAAAACUCAUGGUCACAAAAUAUCAAAUUAAUUGUCACACAUUAUUUCUAGGUCUCAAAUUAUCAAAUUAUUCAUCACAACUUCACAUUUUUUUAGGUCACACAUUAUUUAUUGCUCACAAAUGAUCUAUUUCAUUGCUCAUAUAUUAUUUAUUGAUCACACAUUAACUAAUUUGGUCAUAAUUAACCAAAUAAUUUAUGACCACUACAUCAUUUGUGACCAGCACAUCACCACUACCUCCUGCAGCACUACCGUCGUUAGGAUUUGUAUUGUAUUGACAAUUCUUUAGAUAAAAGGACUAAUAUAAUAAGUUGUAAAAGUCAAUGAGUCAAUUAGAAUAUUGUAUAGAUGAAAUAGGUAACUUAGGGUUCCAGUUUUGAACAAGAAAGAAAGAGUAGUCGAAUUUAUGCUAGCCUAUCUCCCAUCUGAUGCUCGAGCAGGAAAAAUAGAAACACUAUCUCCUACCCAUCAUUGAUCUCUCACUCGAGUGACACACCGAUCACUCAAUCGUUGCUAUCCUAGUGCUCAAGCGACGAUGUUACGCACAAAACUCUAAUUCGCAUUUUUAAAGUGUUUUAAUCGGUCUAUGCUAGCUAGUUGACUUCUACUAUAUGUACUAUUACCCUAUCACUUUUUAAGGGUAGUUGUUCAUUACAUUGUUUCUUCAUAUCAUCAUUCAAAGAUUCAAGAGCAUAUUCAAGCAUUAGAUGUAUUCUUUAAUUCUUAAGUCCAUACAACCACAUUUUUGGGAAAAACGUCAACAACACAUAAUCAAAAUACCCACUUCCUAUACACAUAUAGGAAAAUACUUUCUCAAUAGCUUUUAGCAAAGGUGCUAAAAAUUGAGGGUAGUUGGACUAGAAGCACACAAAGAGCACAAGGAAAAUGAGCUCUUGUUGAUCUAUAAGAGAUAGACAAAUUCAGAAGAUUGGGAACAGUUGUGAGUGAAGCACGUUUUAGCGGGUCUUGUAAAUUGUAAGAAUUAGAUCAGCGAGUCUAAUGAAUUUUCUAGGCUGGAUCAUACUUUAAGUUCGUAUUGUCUAUAGUGGAGGUUACUAACUAAAUCCCGAGUUUUUAUCUAGUUGGGUUUUCUCUGUAAAAAAUGUUGGUGUUGUUGAUUGCUUUAAUUAUUGAUUGUGGCAUUCAAACCAUAGGAUAAUUUGGUAUGUUUAAUUAACCAUCUAGAAACAAUAAAAAAGUAACUUGUUGCUUUUAAUUGUAUAAUUCCUAAUGUUGGUUUGACAUAAAUUGGCUAAAUCAAACCUUUUCAAGUGUUAUCAGAUCUUUUCAAAUGGUAUCAAAGCUUUUCAAGCGGUAUCAGAGGCUAAAAUUGAUCCUUGACCUUAUUAGUUUAGAUGAGUCAGUAAUUAUCCAUUCACCCUUAUUUUCAUGGCAACAAUCAUGCCUAUUGAAAGGUUAGAAUGAGAGCUUUACUUAAGUCGAUGGAUGAGCAUAUCUAGUUGAGUGUAGUAAAUGAUUGGACUAUUCCUACUAGCACCGUUAAUAAUGUUGUCAUCCCACGCCUAUAGCAAAUUAGUCAAAUACAAUUUUUUAUGAAUGCAAUUGAAAUAUAAAGCCCUACAUGCCUUACUUAUGGUAGUGUCUCCUGAAAAAUUUAGGCAAGCAUCUAUAUGUGAGGUUGCAAAAGAGGUUUGGGAUAUUUUACACAGCACACAUGAGGGAGCUCAUGCUAUUAAGAACUUCAAGUUACAGAUGUUGGCUAUUACAUUUGAAAAAAUUAGGAUGAAAGAGGAUGAGACAUUUGAUAAAUUCCAUGCGAGCUUGAAUGACAUCGUUAAUUCAAGCUUCAACUUAGGUGAGAGAAUCCAUAAGCCUAAGAUUGUUAGAAAAAUCAUUGGAUCCUUACCUAAAAGAUUUAGGCCUAAAAUCACGACUAUAGAGAAAACUGAGGACUUAGAUACUAUUUAGAUUGAAGAGUUGGUUGGAUCUUCCAGACUUACGAACUAACAUUAGCUAAACUUACAAAAGAUAAGUCUUUGCCUUGAACACCAUUAGGGAUAACUGCAAUGAGUCUUCUGAUUCGGAAUCGUCCAAUGAUGAGGAGAUAGCUUAUUUUGCUAACAAAUUACAAUAAAUAUUUAGAAAUAAGAAGAAGCCUCAAAAGAGACAUGUAGGUACUCCAAGAGAUCUCAAUCUGUAAUAUGUCAUAUAUGUUAAUAUUUUGGCCAUUAUCAAAGUAAGUGCCCUAAUAGUAGGAAAAAUAAGGAUAAAGCUAUGAUGUUACUCUCACUGAUGACGAGUCUAACUCAGAUAAUCAAAAUGGGAAAUCCACUUAGGAUGAGAAUGGGAAAUAUAUAGCCUUCACUGCUAGGAGUACGAGUGAAUUUGAUACGGAGAGUAAGAAUAUUAAGGAUGUAGAUACAGUGAGGAUUUUGAAAAUGAGGAAGAUAUGUAUGAGGCUUAUGAUAAAUUAUAUGAGGAGCGCCUUAGGAUAUAGAUUAUCAAUAAAUCCUUGUGUACGAAGGUCAAAGAUAUUAAGUUAGAGAAAGAAAAACUAAUAGCUAACAUUCAAGAAUCUAUCUUGCACUUGAGUAAGUUGAACACUGUUAAAAUCCCUAGAUACUCGCGUUGAGAAUCCUAGAGAGAUCUUGAGAAGUCCUUUGGGAGACUUAACAAGUUGAGUACUGGCAAUGAAUCUUUAGAAAAUAAGGUUAAGAAAUUUAUGACCAAUCUCGAGGAUUCCAACACCCAAUUCAUUACGUUUUCCAGUGGCUCAAUAAUGCUUAAUAGCAUUUUAGAAAUGGGCAAGCUUGCUGACAAUAAGGGAGGUCUAGGAUAUAAAGAGAAUGAUCACAAUGCUGCUAGUAUUUCCAAGACCAUUUUUUUCGGUCAUUGACCAGCUGAAGUAUGUUUCUAACUCAACAUCCAAUAAUAAGAUAAUCAUAGGAUAGAGGCAUACUAAAUAGUAUAGGACCUACCAAUUUAGGAAUAGAAAUCAGAGACUACAUAACAUUGGUCCUAGAUAUACCCCUAUUUGUUUCAAUUGUGGUGAGGUAGGAUAUAUAAGGCCUAUGGGUCAAAAAUUCCUGAAAAGAAAUAGACAUCAAAACUUUAAUAGAAAUAAAAAUUAGAAUUUUGAUAACGGGAUUAACUUUCUUACUAAUCAGGUAAGUCAAUUAACCGAUAUAAUGACAUAGCUAACUACGAUAAAUUCUUCCGUUAGGCAAGUUGCGUGAAGAUAAAAUAGAUCACGAUGCUCUUGAAUGUAAAAGCAUUUGUAUACCUGACUAAUUAUGUAUUUCUGGUACAUAAUUGUGCUCAUUCGGUGUGAUUCAUUCAUUAUUACAUGCAUCUCAUUGUGUUUGUGUUGCAUGCAUAUUUUUUUGUUUUGUAUGCUGAAAUUUUUAUUUUGUGUGAUUGGUGCAUUCAUAUUUAAAAACAAAGGGGGAGGUUUUUUUAAACAACAAUAUGAUAUAUGAUAUACUUAAACUUGUGUGUUGUGACCAACUAUGAGUUUAAUUGAUGUACUGCAGCAUAUUUUAUAUUUUUUUGUUUAUUUUUAUAGAGUACUUAGUAUAGGUUUCUUCGUGUACCAUUCGCACUGCACACACUAUGAUAUUGUGAGUGGGACUUGAUAGCGUGUGUGAGAUUUUGGAUGGCAAUCACAUGUUGGUAAGGUGACUUUGAGCGUGAAUUGACAUUAUUUUAGUAAACCUAAGCUCAAGUAUAUUUUCUUGAAAGAAAAAGCUCAAUAUCUUAUGAUCUUCUUUGGAACCUAUUUGACAUGAGCAAUUAAGUUUGAGGGGUUUCUCAUAACUUGGUGCCUAUGGCCAACUGACUUGGUUUAAUCGGCCUAAAGCUCGUACAAGGGUCAUCUUAGUCACUUAAUGGAUAAGAGCCUGUAUUCAAGAUUUAAAAAAUUGAUGAGAAAAAUGAUGAGCUUAAAAUUUUAGAAAAUGUAUAGAAAUAUAUAUGUUCAAAGUUAGGGGGAGAAAAGAAUAAUAUACACAUGCAAAAUGAGCUUCUUUUAUAGGUCCUAAUGUGCUAUUACUUGUUUGACUUUCACAAGUAGAAGGAUAAAUUAUUGACAAUGAUGUUUAGCAUGUCCUUUCUCGCAAAAUUAAUGUUUGGAGUCCUGCUUAGAAAGGAUUAGUGAAACUUUACAUACAUAGGUCACUUAUACAAUUUACUCCAUUUUAGCUUGAACUGAGUAUGUGGGAAUGUUUACUGAUCAUUGAUUAUGAUUUUACAUGCUAUCAACUACAUCUUCGAUUAUAUAUUGGUGUUCAAUUGUAUUUGACAAAGUUCCCUUAGUCAUUUGUGACAAAAAGGGCAAGAGACUUAGAGUUUUGAUUAUAUAGUUUUUGAAGUACGGGGGAGAUAAAGAGAAAACAUUCUAUAUCCUCUGCAUUCUAUAUCAUCUGCAUUUCUGGGAGAGAUGAGUGUGAAAGGGAGAGAUAAUUGUAUACCCACUUCUUUGUGUUUUGAUGUUUGGUGAUAUUAACGUUUUAGUUGUGUUUUGGUUAACAAUAGUAUUACUUUUCAAUCUAGCUAGCAUAUUUAUGAUUAUGUGUUUUAAUUGCUAUAUUUUCUGUAUCACGUAUUACACUUGGUAUUUGAGGUGUUGAUUUCAGGAAACAUGCUUAACAAGGAAUGCAAGAGAGGACAUUCAAUUUGGGUUUAAGUAGAUUACUUCAUUGUAUUUAUUGUAGAAUUUUGUCACAGAAUGCUAAAAGGAGAGAUUGCUAGGAUUUGUAUUGUAUUGACAAUUCUUUGGACAAAAUUACUAAUAUGAAAAGUUGUAAAAGUCAAUGAAUCAAUUGAAAUAUUGUAUAGAUGAAAUAAUAGGUAACUUAGGGUUUAAGUUUGGAACAAGAAGGAAAGAGUUUUCGAAUUUACGCUAGUCUAUCGCCCAUUUGAUGCUUGAGCAAAAAAAAAUAGAGACACUAUUGCCCUCUUGUCACCGAUCUCUUGCUUGAGCGACAGUGUUAGGCCCAAAACUCUAGUUCGUGUUUUUCAAGGGUUUUAACUAGCCAAUACUACCUAAAUGUCUUCUACUAUAUAUACCAUUGCCCUAUCACUUUUUUAGAGUGGUUGUUCAUUACACUGCUUCUUCAUAUCAUCAUUCAAAUAUUCAAGAACAUAUUCAAGCAUUAGAGUGAUCUUUUGAUUCUUCAGUUCAUACAACUACAUCUUUGGGAGUGGAGUUGCUGAAAAUUGAGGAAAGUUGUACCAGAAGCAUAGGAAAAGUACAAGAAUAAGAAGUUCUUGGUAAUCCAUAGGAAAUAAACAUUUCAGAAGAUCACGAGAAAAUGAGAGUGAAGCACGUUCUAGGGGGUCUUGGAGAUUGCAAGAAUUAGAUUAGCGAGUCUAGUGGGUUUUCUCGGCUAAUUGAUACUGUAAGUUCAUAUUGUCUAUAGUGGAAGUUACUGGCUUGGUCUCGGAGUUUUUACUUAGCUGGAUUUUCUCCGUCAGCUUUCAUUAUUGAUUAUGGUAUUCAAACCAUUGGAUAAUUUGAUGUGUUUGAAUAACCAUCUAGAAACAAUUAAAAAGUGACUUGUUGUUUUGAAUUGUAUAAUUACGCACUUUAGGUCAAAAUAAAUUGGCUAAAUCAGGACUUUUCAAGUGGUAUCUAAACUUACAAGUUGUAUCAGAUCUUUUCAAGUGGUACCAGAGCUUUUCAACCGUCAAGACCAUCGUCGCAAGAACAAAGUAUACAUACAUAUAUGAAUCUAGGAAAAAUAAUUCCAAGGUCAAUGUUUGUCUUGAUUGCGAAUGAUUUAACAUACCAAAGGAAUGAUAAUAACCAUUUCAUAUAAUCGAUCAGAAUAUUAAAAAUUAAAGAUUUUAAUUUAUUGUCGUUGUCCUUCUAGACCAAAGAUACUUGUUAACCUUGAACAAGUCCACCUUGUGAGAAGAAAGACUAUCUACAUAUUGUGUAUGGAACAAUAUACAUUCUUACGUUCAAGUUUUUGUGCCAAACAAAUCGAAUAAUGUUUGAUUUCAAGAUUUCCAAACGGUUAAAAUUUACAAACUAAAAAUGUGAUUAAACUCACCACAUUCGACCAUAUACUUUUCAAAUACAUUUAUUGUUAAAAUGAUCAUUCAUAAACGACAGUUCAUAUUUAUUUUUCUCAAACUUUUUAAAUUAAUAAUUCUCUUUGGACCAUGGAGUACUAUCUAGAACUCAUACCAAUUAUACUCUGGUUCCCUUCAAGAUUAGAGAAGAAAUAAAUUUAAAAUAAUUUCUAUAAAAAACAACGUGAUUUGGAACCCUACAAGUCAAUAUUUCUAUCCUCUCUCCCCCCCUCUCUCUCUCUCUCUCUCUCUCUAUAUAUAUAUAUAUAUAUAUAUAUAUAUUUAGUUUUUGUUUUUUUAAUUUGGGGUUGAGCUUUCAAUAUUGGUGCAAGGUAUCUUCCAUGUAACUUCAAGACAUGUAUCAUGUUUCAAUUCCACAAAAUUCAAUGUAUAUAGAGAACUUGAAUUUUCGUUUUCAAAAGUCGUCAUGUUUGAUCUUUCAAUCUUGGUGCAAAUGGAUCAUAUUUCAAUUUCAAAAAAGUCGAUGUAUCUGGAGAACUUGAAUUUUCGUUUUCAAGUCUUUUUGUUUUACUAUUUUUUGUUUGCUAAACAUUGUUUAGGAUAAGUCUAGGUCUAAUUAACGAUUGCUUAGGAAUAAAUUUUUAAAAGACGACUUAUAAAUAGUCCAAAUUUAUUGGCUCAUUGUUACUGCACUGCUUUGGAUUCAAGAGUAGCGAAAAUUUCCAGGGCAACUUCAGCUUUUAUUUUCAACGCUUUGAUGCAUCCAUUAAAGAAAAUUAUAUCCAAUAAUAAAACCUUGCAAUGAGUCAUCUCAAGGAUUAUUUUGAAUCAUUCAAUUUACUAAAGGGUAUAGAAAAUACUAUAUGUUGCGAAUUGCGACUACAUCAUCAUUCAUAUCUUAUUAAAAUUAUUCGUAAUAUUGUAACAAUUUGGAAUCUCUAACUCAUUUGUGCCUACUUCAGAUUAAUAAAUCAAUGGCUGAGGUUUAGCCUUGAAUGUUUAUGUUGAAGAAAUAAAGUCAACCUUCAAAUUUCAUCAAACACAGUUUCUACACGAACAAUGAAUUUGAAGCUUUUCAUACUAAUUCUGUUCAUUAAACUAAACUGGCCAGAAGCUGUCAAAACCAAUAUAAUAAUAUACAGAGAGAUUAGAGCCUUUUAACUCUGAACAUUUGUAAGCAUAUCGCACACUUUUUUAAAACCCGUAUUUAUAAAACCCAAGAUUUGGAAGCAAUAAGCAUAUUAUAAUGUUUUCAAAAUCCAACAUUAAUUGCUAAAAUUCUUGAUUUGGAUCUUCAAAUGUAUCUCCAUUUCCAACGAAAUGUUGUGAAUAACAGAUUUAGUUCUUCAUUUUAUUUAUCAUGUUGUCGAAGUACUUUUAUUUCGAUCCCCCAGUUGAAUCCAUUAUAUUCCAGCUUUUCGUCUUAGGAAUACCUCUUAGCAAGUUAGUAAAUAGUUUGUUGUAGUUUGACCAAAAUUCUAGUGAGUGUUGGAGUUAUAUUUAAAGUCGUCUUGGAUAAAUCAAAAAAUUUUCGCUAGCUGCAUGCUCGAGCGAAACUGUCAAAUUUGGAACAAAGAAUUUUCGACUACUUCUCGACCGCUAUCGCUCAACACUACUCAAGCAAAGUUGCUUCCCGACUUUUCCGUUGGAACGCGUUUUGGACUUCAAAUCAUCUACAACUAGGUUUCUAGGGUUUUUUAUAUAUAUAAUAGCGUGUGUUGUUCAUACAACAGAAUAUACAACAUUUCGAGAGAUUUAGAUCUUAGUUGAGAAUAUUGAGAUCUUGUAAAUAUAAUUGCUAUUGAUUAUAAUGGAUAUCUUCUCCUCUGCCCGUGGUUUUUUCCAGUCUUAGAUUUCCAUGUAAAUCUUCGUAUUCUUUAUUUUGUUCUUGUUUACUUCAUUAUUAUCAUAAUCUUUCGGUCAAUUAACAACAUAGUUGCAGUCUAAAUUAGAUUUGUAAAGCUUUAUUCUCGUUGUUUCUGAUUGCACAUAGUAAAAAGUCAGCUCCUUUUCUAUUCCAAUUUAACCUUUGCGACUGCACUUUGGAUUUUAAGAUGGGGAUACUCGAGGUCAUAGGAAAUUUCUUUGUUAUUUCAUUGCAACUUCAGCUUGUAUUUUCUACCCGUUGAUGUAUCCGUUGAAGAAAAAUAUAUCCCAUAAUGCGUUGAUGUAUCCAUAAAGAAAAACAUAUCCAAUAAAUUAUAGGGUGAGGUUUGUAGUGGGAAUUCUUUUUGGACUAAUAAGAGGAAAUACCCCAGGCCCUCAGCCUUGAAUUUUUAGUUAUAUCCUGCUUAAUAAGAAUAAGUUAUCAUUCACAUGUUAAUGCUCAUAAUAUUAUAUUAAUUGUUGAUUGAUUUAAAUUUUUAUAUACUAUUUAAGCUAAGCCUAAAAGGGACAAAGUUAGUAUAUGAAAUGAAUUAUGUUUUGAAAAACAUAACUUGUCACGCAAAUACCCUCUUAGACUGUGCCUUUGAUACAUAGAGGAUAUUUGGUGGGGAUGAAAAUUAGAUUUUUAGUAGAUUGUGAUAGAAGUUUUUAAAAUGUGUGGUUGAAAAGUUGCUAUACCCAUAAAAGAUGUAUUUAAUAUUUAUUGUUUGACUUUGACUUAGAUUUAAAACCAAACAUGGGCAUAAUACCUCUAAUAAAGUAAACUCUUUUAUUUAUUGAACAUAGAAAUUCUAGGAUAUGAAAAACCAUUAUCUACAUUGUUUAAAUUGAAAUUUCAACGAGAGUUACACAUUUUCAUCUAAAAUAACAUUUUAUUAAUGACCGUUAAAAAUUGAAUCCCAAAUAAACCACUUAAAUUGAGAGAUACAUUUUCAACUGAUUUUCGAUGAUUUGCUUGGACUAAUUAAAACCUAAAUUUAUUAAGCAUAUUGUAAAUUUUUCAAUAUCCGAAGGAAUUUGGGUUUGAUGUUGUGGUCUAAAUAUGAAAAUUUAAUUAAUUACGAAAAACAUAACGUUGCUAAAAUAUCAUCCCAAGUUAUGACUUUGAUUAUGGUAUCAUAUGAAAUUAUACUCAUUCAUCUAUUGAAAUUUUCGAGUUCUCGUAUCCGUAUCUGAAAAUCAUUGUCUAACAUAUUUACAAAGUUAAUAUCUUAAUGAUAGUACUAAUCUUCGUUAAAAUAACAUUUCAUGCUUGUUCAAAAAAUGAUGUGGCAGUAAAUUAUUGAUGGCAACAUCAAAAUAUAUUUUAAGUUGUUGAACAAUGUAACAUUGACCCUACUGACACGUAGACAUAAUAUGAACUCCAGAAUAGUUCUCCAUGCAUUGUAUAAAGCUAGACUUGCUUCUGGUUUCAUACAAAUUAAGAAAAUAUAAUUAAUAUAAUUGAAAUUAUAAAUUUUAUUAACAUUUUCCCUCUCUUUUUAUACUUCUCGUUCUCAGGUUGGUUGAAUUAAAAGUUAAAUUAUAAUAUUUCCUAAUUAUAAUUGAAUAAAAAAAGAAAUAAAAAAAUAGAAUUAUAAUUCUUUUUUGGUCAAUUUUUAUAAUAAUAAAAUCAAAAUAAUGGACUUUUGACAAUAAGAAUUUCUCAAAAAUCAAAAGAUAAUUUAACUUUUGAAUGUUGAUAAUAAUAUUAUAAAAUAAAAUUAAUAUACAUCCCCAUAACCCAACCCCCACCCUACCCAAUUUCACUCCCAACUUGUAAAUCGUUUCUCAUUUGUGAUUCUUUUAAAACUAAGGAAGAUCAAGAGAAUGCGGCACCACUGUGCGCCCAUCGAACAGAACAACACUAAACCCAACCCAUGAUUGAAACCAACAACCCGAACCAACUCUUUAUGAGAUCAUAGUGCUUUUAAUCUCAUCAAUUAGCCGAGGGAUAAAAUCUAGUUGAGAAUUGGGAAGCUUAGAAGAUUCAUGUGUAAAUCGGUCAUGAAAGUGAUUAAUCACUAAAAUUGUUGAUUUGGAUUUUCCAAAGAAAUGUUGUGAAUAAUACACUUAGUUCCUCAAUUUUUUUUUUUUUAUCAAAUUGUCGAAGUACUUAGUUUUUCGAUCCCCUAAUUGAAUCCAUUUUAUUACAACUUUUUGUCUCAGGAAUACCUCUUAGCACGCUAGUAAAUAGUUGUAGUCUAAAUUAGAUUUGUAAAGCUUUAUUUUGAUUGCACAUAGUAAAAAGUUAGCUCCUUUUCUUUCAACCUUUGUGAAGAAUUACAAAACACUUGUUUAUUCCACCACUUAAGGCCAAUUUUUAGUCUAGAAAAAUUAUUCUAGAAAACCAAUAGCCUUUGUCGCUGCUAUUGAUUGUUUCCAGUUCCUUACAAAAAUGUACUAAAAUUGGUCACCUCAAAUCCACAUCUUCCAGAUCUGGAAAGUAGAUGGGCAGUUGGCGAUUCCAUUUAUCAGUAGUCUACAGUAGGAGGCAAUGGUCUAAAGUGUUCCAAUUCAAGUGUUAAACAAGAAUGAUCGAACAAAGAUCCAAUGCAAAGGAAUUACUACAUACCACAUAUGCCAGUUUGUACAAGUAUGUUGUGAAUCUUCAUAAUCUGCAUUUUCUAGGUUACAAUACCUCACAAACUUCUAAAAAAUCAUCAAUGACAACUGGAUUUGAAAGUUUGACACCGAAUCUUUCUUGGCCAAGAAAAGAGCACAUUAAAAUCACCCCUGAAAAAACCAAGGUGGAUCAUAUUACUUGAAAGAACUUUUAGACUAUCCCAAAGUUCCACCCUUUCAUGUGUGGUUGAUUUUCCAUGUACUACAGUAGAAUGGAAAGAGUAGGGCUAAUAGACUUUGUACCUUAAAGAUAACUAAGUCCUUGUUUGAAUCCUAUUUUUUGAGUAUAGAUUUUGUAAGAAUGGUUUUUUUGGAGAACGUGUGAUUAAAAAGUAAGAAAUUGAUUGCUUGCAAAAUUAUUUUAUAGAGAGAAUGUGAGUAAACCACAUGCAGAAAGUAUAAAUAACUAGUCAUGAAUAACCUUGUCCCAUGCAAAACAAGUUUCAUUGUUUUUCCUCCAUCACGUAAACCAUAGACUUUGAACUUCAAUUUCUUAUAUAACAAAGCAUUAUUUUAUCAAGUAAAUAUAUGAUUUUGAUAUUCUCAUGUAUAUUUUGAUAUUCCAAAACAAAGAACCAAGGCCCCACUCAAAACAAGGCUACAACAGCACUAUUUUCAAAACAAAGAACAAAGUCCUAACUACAUUAAUCAUGCAUAUAAAACCUUAAAAUAAUUUGAAUUACACAUCAACUACCAUAAAAAAAUACCUUGGAUAAUUUAUGAACGUUACAAAUUUUGUCAAACUAGAGUAGGUUCCCAGGAGAAGUGUUAGACCUCGUCUAGAUUUAACAUCCGUAUUCACUGAGCAUUCAAUACCAAAUCUUCAAAAUUUUUCGAAGCCCUCUAAGACUUCUGCGCAAUCUUUUGCAAUACCCUAAACCAAUGGUUCAUCUUCCCAAAUUGAUUUACCUAAAGUUCUGAUACCACUAAUAUAAAAAUCUGAUGUGAAUUAAAGAUAAACUACACAACAAUUCUACAUCUCAUUAUAGCACUUAAAAGUAGUAAUCAGUACCAAGAUGUACACAAUUUUAGGGCUCAGAUUUUGUACACGUGUCACAAACAGUCAACCCUAGUGUUGGACCCAACCCAAAUUUUUAGCACAUAAAGUUUUGUAACUUACAAAAAUAGAGAAACACGUUUUCAUCUCAAACGCUAGGACAACAGAUUAGCCUUAAAAUCAUUGACCAUGCUUCAAAUCUAAUGAUCUAGAUUGCUCUAAACACACUGAAGUUGUUACUGAGUGGCAAUCCAAGUAAAAUAUGUUCUUAAAUUAGCACUUUAAAUGGGACAAGUUUUGGACUGAUCUUGUGAGAUUUGGACUUGGACUUGGAGAAGUCGGUUCAUCUCCAAUUUAGGCCUAAGCCUGAAGAUCAAUCGUGGAUCAUUACAGCCCAAGCACUUGUUUUGCAUCAUAUCUCAAAUUAUCUAUUGUAUUCAUACACAAAUUAUAACAACCUAACAUUAUUACACAGCACUUUUAAUGUUCACAAUAUGCAUAAUAAUGUCUAAUAAUAUGACAACAUUAGGUGCUACUAGAUUUCCAUGAUUACGCAAUGUUACUGAAUGACUCACAAAUCACAAGAGUUGCGUGGCAAUCUCCAAUAAACACACAAAAAAUAUGCUUAUAAAAGAAUGACUUCCUAAAAGUGGAAAUGCUAGGGUUUUAUGUUUGGUGGUUCUCUUUUUCUUCUCCAGACUCUUCCAAUUCCCCGCUCAUGUGAGACCCUGCAUUGCCUUCAUCGGUUUCCAAGGCUUUUGAAAACAGCAAAAUUAAUUAUACUUCAUUUUUUUAAUACUAUUUACGUUUGAAAGAGUUUUCCUCCAAAAUUCAAUUUAAAAUAUACGUUAGGCAUUACUAACAAAAGAACUUGUUUAUUAAUUUUUACUUGGUGAAAUGUAAAUUCAAUAAAAACUAAUAUAAUUGUAAUGGUAACAUGAAUAAUAAAAAAUUUCGACACUAUAUCUGAAUGUAACUAGAGAACAAGGGUAUAUUUAUACCUGUUGUAGCACUUGCAUGAAGUUCUUGUAUGUCCAAAUGCACCUCACCACUUAAAGCAGUAAUAAUAUUCUCACUGCUAGGAGUUGAGUCCAAAGUACCAUGAUUAGGGUGUUUGAGUAAAGUACGCCAUUCAUCAAUAUAUAUUGAUUGGUCAAGCGAUAGAUUAGGAAUUUCAUACUUCUGAAGAGCUUUCAGAAUUUCUUGAGUCUCUCCGAGAAGGUGAGUUGUUUCCUUUAUAAUUUUAUCCCGUUCUUCUAUGGCGCUAUUGUUGCAUUUCUUGAGUAUAGCAUGAGGUAAAUUGGUCAGACACGCAGCAAAUAUAUCUGCAACAAUAACUGAAAAUCUCUCAAAUACUUGAGUAUCUGAUGCUGAAUGAUAGCUUUCCUCAUGGACCAACAGCAAACUAUUGCUUAUUUUGUACAUUGAAUUGGCAAUUAUGAUAUUUUCAGGCAAGUCAACUGAGCUUUCCAUAGCAUUUCCAUUCAUUCUACUAGUAAAUUCCUUCAAAAUUUCUUCACUUAUAUUUGCAAGAUUCUGAAGAGUUUCUUUGGAGGAUUUUGAUACCCUGGCAAUUUUUUGGAGAUCCAUGUCUAACCACUUGCGCCUCAAUUCAAAUAAAACCCAUGCAAAAUCUGCAGCUCUCGUGCUGCUCAUCAAUUUUUUAUGAACAUCUAGACUUUUCUCCGUUAGGCGCACAUACUUAAAACCUUCAAUGACACCUCUCAACAACUGAUUCCUCUUCUCAUUUUGAACAUUGGGAAGAGCAAUCGUGAUGCUUGUUAGUGUUGCCACAGCUAGACUCCAGCAAUUAAGAGUUUCUGUGCAAAUAAUCGAAGAGACUUGAUCACUUUCAAAUUUUGAUACACCCUCGAAGCUGGUGGAAUUCUCCAUAAGCUCCAUUAGAUAUCUAGGUUGAUGCUUUGUGCCCAUCUUUAUGGAUGAAUUAAUAGAAGUGUUAAUGAACGUCAGGUAUCCAUCAUUUAUUGCCUCACUUUCUAGAUGUAAAACAAAAUUUCUAAGAUCUUGGUCAUAACCAACCGUGUGUUCUGCUUCAUUGGGAUUGGCCAAGGCUUCAGAUUGCCUUAAGAAAAAAUUUUUUACCAUCACCAAGCAUCUAAUGAUUCUCAUCCUUAAGAUACCAAAAAAGAGUACGAUGGUGAUGGCACAUGGGAGAAUUAGUAUGGAACUGGCAACUGCAUCCCUGGCAAAUAAGAGGAUAAUUCCACCAAUUGAGAUGGGAAGAAGCAACUUAUUCAAGAUCACAAUCACUAUCUGACUUCCAAUACAAAUGUUGAUAAGUAGAUUUCUGAUGUGAUAAAUAAUUUUUCUACGCUUCUGGCCUCGAACAUAUAAUGGUGGGAGUCUCCUUUUCCACUCUACCAAUCUUUUAAUCCUGUAAUUCUUUAUUUCUAAGGAAAUGCUAGAGAUGGUACAUUGUCUAAUAUUCCGUACAGUGUGAACUAAAGCUACUGAAAAUCUUCCCAAAGACAUGACAGUGCAAAGAUUCGUGCCUAAAAGUUGAGUCCAAAAAAGAAAAUAUACUGACCAUUUAUAAUCAGAAGCAGCACUUGUCUUAUAGGCUGUGGAAUACAUUCUUCCGUUUAAAGUAUAACUUAUGAUGCAUAUCAUGAAUAAAAUAACGCUAGCCUCAGAUCGUGCCAUCACAAACUGAGGGUUACCUGUUUCUGUCAUCACCCAGUACUUCUUCACACACAACUUUAACUUGUCAAAGUCCAUUAUUUGGUCUCCUUGUAGUUCCGGUGCCAAAAUUCCUGUUUGCAAUUCUGUGUACUUACGUUCCAAAUACCUUUUACUUGUAAAUACCGUUAAAGCAGCAGAACUCAAUACAAUGAACGCGUAAACAUUCAUGCAGACAAUCACCACUUGGAAAACAUCGUCAAUCACGCCUGUGAAUGCUUGGAUGAUAACAUUUACGGUAAGCGUCACUAUAAGGAUACCCAAUGCUGUCAAGUUCACUAUUAUAUCUCUAUCACUCAUGGAUCCUAGAGAAGGCAUGAAAUGAGUGGUUGAAACACAAAAGAAAGCAGUGCUACUAUUUUUAGCGGCUUGAUUAUACCCAUCUUUCAUCGGGGUAGUUAGAUCCAUUGACAACUUCACUGCGACUGCUAACACAGUCAAGGAAGCGGCGUUGAGAGAAGAAAAUCUGCAAGGGAACCAUAACUUUCUAUGGCGGACAGAGAUCACUGCAUCAAUGAAUAGUGAAACAGUCCAUAUUAGAGAUGCUACAGCAGCGUAUAGGCCUAUCCAUGGCAUUGGUGCUUUAGAGUCCAUCAUUUUGCUCAAUUAUUCAGCUCUCUUCCCACGCUGCUUUACUUUUGAUUUAAGAUGAGGAUAUGCUCGAGUGGUGGAAAUUUCUUUACUUUUGAUUUAACAUGUAUUAAAUUUUUAUUGACUUUACCUUGUGAUCUAUAUAAAAAUGAUUAAACCAGCUUUAUGUUCAGUGGUUUAAGUUUGGUGGUUAGAGAUACGGACAUUUCAUGUGCUGAAAAUAUGAAUAGUAAUCACUUUCACCAUAAAGAAUCCUGUCGGCCAUUAAUGUCUCACUUUCACCUCACCACCAUUACUGUCAGCCAGCAGUAAGACUAAGAGUUCUCCCUAUGAAACCAUAUACAUACCAUCACCGCAGUUAUUCAUCCGUGAGAACUUGAAAUUUAUAUAGCCAGCAUCCGCAAGUCUCUUAUCAUAUAUACGAGUAAUAAGUUCUUGAUUACCGACCCAAAUUCCUGACAAUGCCCAAAAAAUAAAAAUAAAAAUCAUCAAAAUCACAUCUUUAUAAGAAAACUAGUAGGGUGAACGUGCAUAAGUGUAUGUAAAAAUGAUAGGAUGACAUGGAUAGAACUUUGAGCUAUAUAAAUAAGAGGUUGAUGUGUUACUUUCAACAUUUACUACCAUUUAUGAUUCCUCGAUAAUAAAAUGAGUGAUUUUUAACUAUAUCUUGAACAAUUCAAUUUAAACUUGAUCCUAUUUUGACCUGCUUCCACCUUCAUUUUAUUUUUUAUUUUUUUAUUUUUAUUUUUAUUUUUUUAUUUUAUUUUUUAUUUUUUGUGGAUGGGUGGAGGCAGGGGCAGACUUGGGGGGGUUUACCGGUUCAAGUGACCCUCUAGAUUUUACAAAAAGAAAAAAAUUAGUUUAGCCUCUUUUUUUUUUUUAUUAUAAGGUACCCUAUAAAUUCUAUUUGUGACCCCCUAACCCAAGUCGUCUAGGUCCGCCCCUGGGUGGGGAUGAGCUGCAUAAAGGAUUUUGAGUUUUAUGAAGUUGCAUACCACAACUAUAUCGGAUUUCUUUUUGAAUGGGACAAAUAGAUAUGGAAUGAUAAUUGUAUUUUGUCGUCUUUAUUUUUUCUUACUUCUCCUGUUUUCCAUUACACAAAUCAUUGACAUAACAAAAAUUAAUGAAGACAAUAUAAAUAAAACAAUCUCGCAACCAAUCAGUUUUCUUUAAGUUGUUGCGAUGGCAAGACAUGUUCAAUAUUUGCAUAUCCUUCAUGCCUAGACGCUACGAUUGAGCUGUUUUCGUUUAGAAACGAUGCAUCACAGAUUAGGCUCCCAAAGAACUUUGUCUUGCUCCAAAGUUCACGCCAAGACCAAUUGCACUUUAUUAUGAUUAGCUUAUCAACCAAAAAUAGAUCAUCGUAGCAUUGCAUUCAGCAAGAGUCUGAACCUGCAAGGCAAAUAAAAGUGUAUAUGUGAAAACUACCAAACUGGAAAAAUAUCAAACUCUGAAACUUGAAGCAAAUUCAUGUCACUAAUCAACAUAAAAAAAAAAUAUAUAUAUAUAUAUAUAUAUAUAUAUAUAUAUAUAUAUAUAAAAUUUAAAUUUGGAAAGUUGGCGGACUAAAGUGACAUAUGGAAGAACCUCUCAAUGGAAGAGGUAUAGAGUCUUAUUAAAUAUCAUUGAGCAUAUUUUACAUGGUACCACCAGACCUAUUUUAAAAAAUAAUAAUAAUAAAUAAAUAAAAUCUCUUUUUCUUGGUUGAGUUUUCUUACUAUGGGAGGAGCCUCUUCCUCUUUAAUUUAAUUGUUCCCAUACUUCUCUUUCAGCCUCAUAAACUUAUUUUGCAAUUGAGUCCUGGUCAUAUCCACGUGUAGGUUCUUCUUAAUAAAAUCAUUCGAAUCAGCAACUAAUUGAGAUUUUUUUCUUAAGGACAUAAUCAAUCAUGCCUUUGAGAACCACAAUUUCAUCAUCUUUGCUCCCCAGCCUCUUUUUCUUUUGCGGGGCGUUUAGCACCCUCGGUAGCCUUCGACGACAGGCUGGUCCGGGAAGCUUUAGGCUUGCAUCUAGGCAGCGCUAGUAGUGGGCUUUUGUGGCUCUUCCAUUGGCUUGGAGACUAGGGGCUUUACAUUUGGGUUGACUGGUUCGGUGUGGCACUCUGGUUCAGCUCCGGACUCUUCAUCUUCCUACUCGGAUUAAGAGGAAGGAUACGGGAGCUUAGAAAUUUAUUAAAAUUAUAAUCUAUUUUGAAAUAGUGAAUAUUAAUGUCCUGGCAUUCAUCUUGACCAUUAUAGAAAAAAAGUCAUGAAAUUUAAAAUUUACAACAUAUCCAACCCCUUAUAUUUUAUCAUAGGUAAUUAAUGGGCAAGAAACAAAACACAAUAAAACUAUCUUUAUAUUGGAUUUUAAAUGGUUUUUCUUGUUUCACCACAUUUGAGUUAUAGAAUUAAUGCCAACCUGCUUUACUUUUUUUGGUUCUAAAAGUUGGAAGUUGAAAAACUUCUUGAGAUCUUUUGGUAGGAAGGGAAAAAAAUUCAUCUCGAUUCAUAUAAUUGUCCUUUUGACGUUUAAGCUUUCAGAUUCACAUUUCAGAUUAGAAGAAUACAUCCUCGAUAAUGUGACAUGAAGACUGUCAAAUUCAGGCUGUGAAUAUUUGUAUAGCAAGAAUUUUCUACAGAUUACCAUAAUGAGGGUUCCUUGUACUACCCUUCACCUCAUAUGAAAACAACAACUUACCCCUCUUGGGGUAGCCGAGUUGGUGGAGUACGUGACUGCAGAGACAUUUGGUUCGAUUCCCCCUACCAACACAUUCUCGAUCAAACCUGUCGCACCGGACUUGCCUAGUGCGGUUUACUCGGCUGACGUGGUUUGCAGACUAUUGCGUCAGCCCGAAGGUUUACCUAGUGCGCACUCGAAGAGUAAUGGCUGGGUUUCCCCAGUUAAAAAAAAAAAAAAAAAAAAAAAAAAAAGGGGAAAAAAAAAACAAAAAAAAAAGGCCAGAGGCAACAACAACAACUGAAAUAGUGCUCAACUAUUGUCAUCCUUCUAGUAUCGGAUAUGGGGCUCACAUUCUUGUCGGCACCCACUUCAGUCACACCAAUUGAGCCAACCAACUACAAAGUCCAACAAUAUGAGAAUCAUCCAUUGAAUGUUCUACAAUAUCUCUAUAUGUAUGCAACUAUGGUAUGCAUGAAAAUUAAUAUGAUAAUAAAGCAACAUGAAUAUGAGGGAGCAAUAUGUGGCAAGAACUCAAUCCCUGUAAUGGAAUAUUUUAAAAAACAAGAACAUUGUAAUGAUUUUGUCGACUUAAAAAAAUCGAGUUUAUUUUUGUAUUUAUAUCAAGAUGCUAUACAAUCUUUGAGUUAUUGCACAUCUCUCUUUGACCAUCAUGUUCCUUCUUCGUUUGGAUACCUUGAUUUUUAAUUCUCAAGUAAUGAAAAGAAGUAAUUUUUUUUUUUUUUGAAAUUCAUUCGUAUAUAUUUUAGGUAAAUAAAUCAUAGACGAAUGUAUACAUUUCCUUGUUCUACUUAUCCACUGGAAAUUAAUAAUUCUUUUCAUUAUAUUAAACAUUCAAUAGAAAAAUAAUCAUGGUUAUCAUUCAAGAAUGUGUUUCUUCACAUUCCGCACUUAGUUCCACAAACGAUGCCUGCGAAGUGCUUACAUGCUUCACUCAUGGUGCACAAGUGCUGCAAAUAUGUGAAAUCUUUUUAUUUUAAGAUUUUCCCUCCAAAAUUAAACUUUUGUAGGAAAAUUUUUACUACGGCUCCCCAAGAUUUUGAAUAAAUUACAAUUCCGCCCCAACUCAAUUUUUAUUCCCUCCCAUCUCCAACCUUUCAUUAAGGAAAAUGGCACUUUUUAUGACGUGAACAUUUGCAAAAUGUUACUAGUCGACCCUCAACCUUUUUUCUCACCAGAUGUUGCAUUUUGUUUUGUUUCUUUUUUGGAAAUGUUCAGUUUUAUUUAAUUGUGGUCACUUAUCAUCUCUUUGUUAAUUUAUCUCCACCAGGUUUUGAUGCUCCUUUUAGCCAAUAAAUACAUGCCCGGAUAAAGAUCAGUUAUAUUAUUUUCGCCGUUCUCUUUAAAAGUGAUCUUUAAUCUCUUCUCGAUAUAAUCAAGAGUUAUUCUGUAUGCCAGAUUUCAAUUGCAGACUCGUGAAUCUAUUACAUGAAUUGGACGACAGGUAGAAAAGUGACAGAGCAUCCAAGGAACAUCGCAGCAUACAGAAGACAUUGGCGGGCGGUAUGACAGUGAAAGGGUCAUCAUCAGAAUCUUCUCCUCCAUCUUCAAAUCAGCAAGAUCGUUUCAUGGAUAAAUUCAAUUUACUUGUGGCUAUAGGAUGCAAAGUCUGUUUAAUUUACUUCAUGGUGCCAAAAUAGGUGGAAUCCAGACUUAAAGAAAUUUACGUACUCGUGCAUCUCUUCGAGAAGGAUAGACCUUACAUAAUACAUGCUGAAUCUAUAUUGUGUUGGAAAUAAAAAAUAUGGAAAGAAAGACUAGAGAAAAAAUUCAGAGAUUUCUCCAAAAUUUAUUUGUAUUCUAUGGCUUGGCUCUAUAAAAUGUCUCAAGCACAAGGCCUUUUAUAGGUACAAAUGAUCCCAAAUACAUUGCAUAAACUUAAGAGAUCAAUUAAUGACCUUUCCUACAUACUAUGAAUAAUACAAUACAAACAACCAUUUGGAUACAUGAUUUAAAAUAAAUGCAUGAAUAUUAAAUAAACUAAUUCAUGUAUCAAAUUUAAUUUUACAUCAUUCAUGAAUCAAGUUUAGUUUCCAACGCCCCUUCUUAAACUUGAUUCCCUCUUGAUAACUCCAUUCCAAGUACGCAAUCUUGCAAAAUCAUCAUUCUUCAAUGGUUUGGUAAAAAUGUAUGCUACUUGAUCAUUGGUCUUCACAUAAGCAAGCUCAACUUCUUUGUUCUCAAUGCACUUUCUAAUGAAGUGAAAUCUCAUAUCUAUAUGCUUGCUUCGAUCAUGGAACAUAAGAUUUCGAUCAUGGAACAUAAGAUUUUGGGGCAUAUGAAGCAUCUCCAAUAACUUCUAUAGCCAAAUGGCACGACAAAUACACGAUGCAGCGAAAACAUAUUUAGUUUCACAAGUAGAAAGAGUCACAAUGGGCUAUUUUUUUGAACACCAAGUGAAAGCGGUGUUACCCAUGAAAAACAAAAAUCCAGUGGUGCUUUUUCGAUCAUUAAUAUCACUAGCCCAAUCACUAUCACUAUAACCAUGAAGCUUGAGAUUUGUAGAAGAAGAAUAAGCUAUGCCAUAAUCAAGGGUACCUUCAAUAUAGCGAAGUAUACUUUUAGCAAUCUCCAUGUAAGUUAACGUUGGUGACUCCAUAUAACGGUUAACAAGACCAAUACCAUAAAGAAUAUUAGGUCUUGUACAAGUCAAAUAUCUCAAGCUUCCAACAAGUUGUCUAUAGAAAGAUGUAUCCACUUUCGUACUAUCGUCAUAUUUUGACAUUUUUGUUCCGCACCCAAUGGGAGUACUCACCGGAUUGCAAUUUUGCAUUUUGAACCUAUCAAGAACUUUCUUUGCAUAAGCUUCUUGAAAAAUAAAAAUGCCAUUUUCAUUUUGUUUUACCUAAAUUCCAAAUUCUUGAGCCAUCAUUUUCUUAGAUUAGUCAAACAUGUUUUCAUUGUUGCCAGUGAUGAUCAAGUCAUCAACAUACAAGCACAUAAUCAAAAAACCUCCAAAUGCAUCCUUUUUAACAUAAAGAGCAUCCUCAUGUGGACAUUUGGUGAAUCCAUGAUUUUGCUGUUGAUCUGACUAUUCCAGGCUCUAGGCGCUUACUUCAAGCCAUAUAGCGCCUUCUUCAACUUCAAGAAUUUAUCUUCAUGUUCCUUGACAACAUAACCUAAUGGUUGUUGAAAGUAAACUUCCUCUUCAAGGUAUCCAUUCAAGAAAGUGGAAUUGAAGUCUGUUUUAUAAAUUUUCCACUUAUUUUGAGCUACGAAGGAAAUGAUUAAUCAAAUGGUUUCCAAGCGGGCAAUGGGGGCAAAGGCAUCAUCAUAGUCAAUGCCAUGCUUUUGGCUAUAGCCUUUGGCAACAAGUCUUACCUUGUAUUUAUCCAGUUCUCCUUUAGCAUUUUUUUCACUUUGUAUACCCAUUUCACGCCAAUUUCUUUUUGUCCUUUAUGACGAGACAGAGCUCCCAUGUAUUGUUCCUUUUUAUUUCUCGAAUCUCCUCAUACAUUGCAUGCCUCCAUUUUUUAUCUUUCAUUGCCUCUUCAAAUCUCAAUGGCUCGGUAUUAGGCAAGAGACAAAAUAAAGAUGGAUUAUCAACUAUUUCAGUUUCUUCAUAAAUCUUUGCAAAAUUUCUAAUACGACUCGGUCCUUUGGAUGGACUAUCAUGAGGAGAUUGAGCAGGCGAAUGCAGUGGAGUAGCAUCUUCACUUGCUUCUUGGCUAGAGUCUCCUUCUUCAAAAGGAAAAAUCACGUAUUCUUCAUUUUUCGUAACAUUUCAAUCCUAUGAGCUUCCUUCAUCGAAUUUCGCAUCUCUACUAAUAACAAUCUUCCCAUUGCAAGGAUUAUAAAACUUGUAGCUUUUGGAGCUUGGAUCAUAACCUAUGAAAACAAACUUCUCACUUUUCUCAACAAGUUUUAAUCUCUUCUCGUCUGGCACAUGAAUAUGGGUAAUACUACCAAAAACACGUAAGUGAGAAACACUAGGUUUCUUACCACUCCAAGCCUAUUGUGGAGUCAUGUCUUGAACACUCCUUGACCGAGAAAGAUUAGAUAAAUAUACGGCACAUGCAAUAGCUUCAGCCCAAAACUCUUUCUCUAUACUCUUGCUCUUAAGCAUACUACAAACCAUGUUGAGAAUAGUUCUAUUCUUCUGCUCAACAACACCAUUUUGUUGUGGUGAUCUUGAAACUGUGAGAAAAUGCUGAAUCCCAUUGGUAUAACAAAAAUUGUUAAACUCCUUGGAAGUGAAUUCUCCAUCACGAUCAGUCCUUAAUGCUUUAAUAGAGUUGCCACUCUCAUUUUCAACAAGAGCUUUAAAUUUUUUGAAUGCUCCAAAAACUUCAUCUUUCAUCUUCAAAAAAUAAACCCAAGUUUUGCGAGAAAAACCAUCAAUAAAUAGCAAGAAAUAAUUUUCUUUAUCAUGAGAAGGUGGUUUGAUUGGUCCGCACAUAUCCGUAUGAACAAGUUAGAGUGGUUUUGAUGCUCUUGAGGUGGAUUCUUUUGGAAACUUCUUCUAGCUUGCUUGCCAACGAGACAUCUGAUAAGUGCAAUUUGUGUACUUAUUUAUAUCAUUUUAUUAAACCUUUAUGUAAUCAAAUUAAUUUAGGUUCAUUUUUGUUCGUUUCAGUGUUCGACCAUUUUGAAGCAAUUAGAAAAGAAAAGGAUCAAUUGGCUAUUAAAUAGAAGUUGUGGACCAAAUAUAAAUUGAAAAAAAAAAGGAGGAGAAUUCAAGGAGUUGGAAACUUUAAUUUCAUUUGGACCUUUAUACUAGUUGGGCUGCCAACCAUGGUUUAUGUGUGUGUGUAUAUAUAUAUACAGCCAAACGUACAUGAACAAAAAAAGGGCAGGAAUAAGGUAGUCUUAGCCUUGCUGGCAGCCGCAGUGUGAGGGUUCGAUUCCUGAAAUAUGAAAUUGGACUCUUUGUGGGCACCAGUGUACAGGUAAGCUAUUGUUCCUUGGCCUGUUGGGACAUAUCCCGUGAGUUAUCUCCCUCAUGAUGCUCUAGGGGCCAGGCGGUCGGGGUUCAACCUUUUAGAAAAAAGGGCAGCCACUUGAGAUACACAUUGGAGAUUCGGGUUGCUAAAUUUGAGAUUGAUUUACACACCAACUAGGAGCAAAAAAAGGGGGACAAAACCUGGAGAAAGACAAAAAAGGCUGACCUGCUAUUGGAAAAAAAUACAAGGGUUGGCUGCUGAUUUUAUAUAUAUAUAUAUAUAUAUAUAUAUAUAUCACAUACAGAAGACAAGGAACGGAGAAUUGGGGUCAAACAUUGUGGCUGGGCUAGAUUUCAUAUACAGAAAAAUAAUUGAAGAUAUAGAAAACAACGACUGUUGGAUGAAAAAAUACGCACAGAUAGAAAGAAAAUAGUGGGUUGUUGCUGGAGAAAAACACGCAAAGCCGAUGAAAGUACGAAAUUGAGGAAUUAAUCACGUUCUGUCAAAUUUUGGUGAUGUUAUUCUACUUUAUGUAUUUAAUUCCAACAUUAUGUUGGACUAAUUUUUCUUGUGUAUUGGAUGAAAAUGAAAUCCAUUAUUAUUUAUUUUUAAUUCAAGACACGUGAUUUAGUUAAAUUCUUGCAAUUCAUAUUAAUCUUGCAUGCGUAAUUUUAUUAUUUGAUUGCUUAAUUACCAAUUAAAUAUAUGAUUGCUUGUUGUAGUAUUGAGAGGCUCACAAAAGGUUUAGAACACUGCUUGAUUAACAUGUAUGCAAUAAAUUUUCGGAAUAAUAUUUGCCACAUGUGCAAUCUCUGAGAUAAUUGUGAAAUUGAAUGCGUUUUAUUCAUUCGAAUUCGGACAAGAAGUAGAUUUGGAUCAUGAUUAUGACAGAUUUAAUUUGUCUUGAAAAAGAAAAUUAAUCACAAUAGAAUUAUCUAUUGUCAAAAAUGCAUAAACGAAGUAGUCAAGAAUUGGAAUAGAAAAUAAUAGGUGGACUCGUAAUUCAAUACAAUAUUCCUAUACUUUUUAAAUUCACAUUUUACAAGUUUUUGUAGAUUAAGUUAGAUUAAUUAAAAACCGUAGUUCACUUUUAUUUGUUUACUUUGAACCUAAUUAAAUACUAGUGCACUCAAUUAAAUUUUAUUCCUCAUGGGACAAUACUCUUAACUCACAAAAUCUAUUGCUUGUCAACGAUCCUGUGCGCUUGCGGUUUUCGCACGAACAAGUUUUUUACGUCGUUGACUGAAAAUAGUUUAUUUAAUUUGAGUUUAUUAGUUAUUUUUAGAUUUGAAGUUUUUAUUCCUUUUUUCUUUACUUUAUUUGUUUUAGGCUAUUCAUUGAACGAUCUAAGUCUCUUGUGUUUACUCUUCUCAGGAAAUCGUAGUUUAUGCAAAAUUCUGACGAGAUCGAACUUCUUCUAAUAGAUCCCGAAAUCGAAAGAACUUUUAGACAACGAAGAAGAGAACAUAGACAAGCAAGAGAAAAUGGCAAAAAAUCAACAUCCAAAUCAAGUUCAAAACCCUUUUCCACUACCCUAGCCAAUUCAGCCAAGGGCAGUAGCAAAUCAAAGAGAAGCUUUAGUGAGGGAUAAUGUAAAAUGUCAUGCCAGCUCUAGUGCAACUGACUAUCAUAUAUCCACCUUUUGGACUGGCCAACUUCCGUAUUAGGCCUAACGUUAUCAACUUAUUCCAAAAUCAUCAAGAUAUCAGGUUCUUUGGAAGAUCAACCAAAAAUCCUGACGAACAUAUUCUGGCAUUCUCGAUGCUCUGCGAUAUGAUCAACCACGAGAAAAUGUCUAUGGAUAUUUUUUGACUAUGCCUAUUUCCUCAUACAUUAAAGGAGGGCGCAAGAGAAUGAAUAAAUUCCUUAACUCCUGGGAGCAUCGUUUCACGAAAUUAGAUGGUACAGAGGUUCACAUUGAAAUUUUUCCUGCCAUCUCGAGUCCAUCAUAUCCGAAAUGAAGUCCAUACUUUCAGGCAAAAGGACCUCGAGAGCUAUCCAGAAGCAUGGAAAAGAUUCAAAGAGUAUUUCAGAAAGUGUCCUACUUUGAAUAUUCUAAAAGAAUAAAAAAUAUGCCUAUUCUAUUAAAGCUUGAGACCUGAAUUUCACAACAUCCCAAAUGCUUCUGUAGGAGGGUCGAUAUCGGAUAUUUCGUUGGAUAAUGCCUUGGAACUUUUUGAGCGAAUUGUAGAAAAUCAAUCUAGUGGCCGAGGGACAGGGAAGUCCAGAGGAAAACAAAUGGUAUAUAUAAUGUGGACGCAGUGAUAGGGUUGACAGCACAGAUGGAAACAAUAACAAGAAAGCUUGACACUUUGACCCAUCCUAUGAAUAUAUUACAAAAUCCAGCUCUAAAAUGUGAAGGUUGUAGGGCAAAUCACAUUACUGUAAGUUGUCCUUUGGUUUCUACUCACAUAGGUCAGCCAGUAAAGAUCAGUUAUGCGCAGAACUAUUAGAGGCAAAAUAGACCUUACCCACACAACUACCAUCUAAGUUUGAACAAGUAUCCCAACUAUGCGUGGUUUAACAAUUCGGAUUAAGUAAAUUAUAUGAGGAGCAAUCCACCAAGAUUCAGCAACAAGAAGAAAAGAGGCAAUUAUUGGAGGAUCUACUUGUCAAGUACAUCACUAAGUUUGAGACGGUGAUACACAAUCAGCAAGCCUCUAUACAUAACAUAGAGAAACACGUGGGACAUAUAGCAGUUGCAUUAGCCAAAGACCACAAGGUACCUUACCCAGUGAUAUAGAAAAGAACCCAAAGGAAUAGGUAUUAGCAGUUGAAGUUGUGAAUUAUGCAACUAUCGAUACACCAUCGAUCAAGCCUGCUACACCUGUUCAAGCUUAUGUACCGCCUAUCCCAUUCCCUCAAAGGGUUCAAAGACCGUCUAAAAAGGAACAAAGCUAGGCUAUCACAACGAGAAGCGGAGUUCAGCCGCCAGAAACCACAUUGAAGAAGAAAGAGACUGGGGAGAAUCAAGUACAUAUCUCGAAGGAAGAACAAGUGGGCCAGUUUAAAAAAUCAUCAAAUGUUAAUCAAGAAGAACAGUUACAGAAUAAUAAACUGGACAAACAAUUCAAAAAUUUCUUGGAUGCCUUUAGAUAACUUCACGUCAACCUACCUUUCAUUGACACCAUUUUAUAAAUUUCAAAUUAUGCUAAGUUUUUGAAGGAGAUGUUGACAAAGAAGAGAAAACUGCUAAAAGAUGAAACAGUAACAUUGACAUAUGAGUGUAGCGUGAUCAUUCAGCGUAGGAUCCCUCCGAAACUUAAAGAUCCAGGGAAUUUUACUCUACAUUUCUCCAUAGGAAAUUUACAAGAUAUAAAUUGUUUAAUUGACUCAGGAGUAAGUAUUAACUUAAUUCAUUUGCCUCUUUACAGGAAACUAGGAUUGAGAGAUCCUAAGGCUGCUUCUAUCAUCCUUCAACUGGUAGAUCGAUCACUGAAACACUUCUAUGGAAUAGUUGAAGACAUGCUUAUCAAGGUGGAAGAGUUUAUUUUUCCAGCUGACCUCAUCAUCCUCGAUAUAGAAGAGGCAUAUCAGAUGUCAAUAAUCUUGGGAAGGCCAUUCUUGUCUAUAAGCCGAGCAUUGCAAGAUUUCGAUGCUAAUGAGAUAGUCUUGAGGAUGAAGGAUAAGCAAUAGAGCUUUACAUGGAGAAUCCAAUUAAACAACCAUCGUACUUUGAGGAUUGCCAAUAAGUUGGUCAUUGGGAAAGCUACAAAGGCAAGCCAAAUGAAGGUGGAAUUGUUGGUAGAGAUAGCGAUGGAAACAUAAUUGUUUGGGGGAUGAAAGAUGAAAGAAGGAAGUACAAUCAGUGCAUAAAAUGCAGAGCUGAAUAUUCCCUCUUCCAACCACCAUGAAUACCAAAACAACAAAGUCUAACUAAAUACUAUAAAUUAAGCGCUUAUUGGAAGAUAACCUAAUUUCAUUACCAUUUAUUUAUUUUGCUUUGUUGAUCGUAUUGCAUAUAAACUUGUUUUGAUUAUUAGUAUGCAUUAGAUUUAGGCACGUUUAAAUUUAUAGGGUAUCAUCAUCCGAUAAUGUUUUCGCUAAGGCUCUUAAAUUUAAUGUUGGUUAUUUCGAGUGUUUGGGCUAAGUAAUACACGUUUUAGAUUAUUUGAUAUCUAAUGUUUGAUUUGAUUGUCAUAUGCAAAAACAUAACGUCGUCGAACACCCAAACCCAUAUAGACCAAGAAAAAGCAUGAUGAGAAAAAUUGUCUGGCCGUCACCCAUAGUCCAUUCCACAAUCAAUAGAAACAUCUAGGGAGUAUCUUUUUCCUUUUCUUUCCCGUCCCCUUAUAUUUUUAAUUAUGCUUUAAGAUAUUAAGGACAAUAUCUAGUUUAAGUUUAGGGUGGAAAAAACUUUAAAGCUUUGGUUUUUCGUAUUUUUUUGUUCGUUUGUCUUGUGUGUUUAUAAAUAAAUAAAUAAAAAUUGUUUUUGUGUGAUAAAAAAUAUCGUUAAAUUUUUUUAUUUUUUUACUUUUGGCUGUGUGCUUGUGUUAGUUAGACAGUUUAGUUAAUAAUGAUGAUUAAAUUUGAAAUUUGAUGUUGAUUUAUGAACUAUAGAUAGGGAGCAUGCUAGAUGGAUUGAAAAUUAAACUUGCAAAACUUGAUAUUAUAUACGCACUAAAAUUGAGUUUGACAUUAUGAUGAAAUGAGUUGAUUCAUGCAUUUGAUAGAUUGAUUUAGUUAAACAUAGAUGCUUUACGCAAACCAUACUAAUUAUAUAUCCUUAGACCAAAUUUAGCACAAUUUGGAGUUUACUGUUGUAGGAAAAUACGGAUAUGAAUGUGGAUUUCUCUUGUGAAAAAGUUUGUGUGGAUUGUCUUAGCUUAACAAGAUAAAAUUGGGUGAAAGUCUUAAAUUGAAAGUCAAUUUUUUCGAAUGGUUGUGUGGUAAGGGGCAUUGCACUGAUCAAAGCAUAUAUUUUUAAAUUUAAAACUUCUCUUCGAAACCUUUAUUACUCGAUUAAUUAAGCUUGUAAGGGUAUCUUAAAACUUGGUGCCUUAAAAUCAUCUGACUUGAGAGUCAUCAACCUAAAGCCUGCUAUAUGAGUAAUCUAAAAAGUUUAAGGAGGAGACAAAAGAAAAAAAAAAUUUUUUAAAAAUCAGAAAAAGUAAGUGCAUGAAAAAAGCAAAAAUACUAAAUGCCUUGUUAUGCCCCAACACUUGUUUGAGAGAAUUUGACUUCUAAUUAAAUGAUGACAGUCGAAGCAAUCAAAUAAUUGGAGAAUUCUAGUUUAUUGACGUGUUGACUUGCAACUAGUGACGUCUAUCUAAAUUGGAGAGGAACGGGAUAGUAAUAAAAAAUUCAAUCUUGGAUCACAAGCUGGGAAAAGAGUGAAAAAGAAUAAGUUUGGGGGUGUGUGAAUCUUACAAGAGAUUAAAGGAUAUAUUUGACCAUAAAAUCUUACAAUAAAAUCUGAUAGAGUGACUAACAUAAUGAAUUUUAGCUAAGGGAGACAAAAAAAAUGUUUUUAUAGCAUUUAAAAAGAAUAAAGCCUCCUGUCCCGUGUCGGGGACGGGGGAAAAUAGGGACACCACAUGGCGAUAGGCGUCACAUGGCUCCCUUGUCCCUGUCCCUGUCUCCAAUCCGGGACAAGGAGUAGGGUUGAUUUAAUAAUUAGAAAAAGAAGUUUGGAUAAGUCGUGGACCACCUUAAUAACCUCAAAUCAAUAGCAUGUUAUUUGCCAUUGUUGACUCCUAUGAAAAGGUCAAUUUGAACUAGCAAUGGUCAUCUUCACCCAUAUGGAGGUAUCGGUUAAGGUCCACAAAGGCGGCUGGAAGGAAGCUUUACGUGCCAGACUUUUUUGUUGAGCAAAUUUGGAACACAAAAUCAUCAAAGUGGAAUGGUCCAAAACCAUAACCACCACAUAGUACUAAUCCAAACUUCUCUAUUAUUGCACAAACUCCACUAGUGUAUUCACCAUUCUAAAAGUGACACAUAUUUUCGUUUUUUAGCUUAUGUAUUUAACACACCUUUUGCACAAUACUCAUUUUUUAUUAGUCAGUAACUAAGACAAAUUUCAUUUAAAAUUGAGUGGUAGUGAGACUUGAACUCGGACCCUUCACUUGCUAUGCUACCAUAUUAAAUAACACUGACAACGUUGUGACUAAAGCUAAGUUAAAAUUACUUAUUGAUUAAUAAAUUAUUUAAGAAAUUACAACCUACUUUAUAGCAAUAGUGAAGUAGUAACACGAGGGAAUGGUGAAAAGGAAACCCCAUCGAGGAGUGAAAUGAAAUAUGAAACCAUAAACUCCCAAACAGUGAGAAGAGCCAGGUCUCUUAAGUCCAAUGAAGCAUACUCCUCACAUGACUUGAGUAAAUUACAGAAACAUCACUUGAGGUUUAUAAAAAACACGAAGAAAACAUUUAUUAUUUAAAAAUUGCAAAAAUCUUUAUUAUUAUCAUAAUAUUUCCAUUUAACUCCUUCUGUUUUCUUAUUUCUCUUUCCCUUAAUUUCUAUUUAGGGAAAAAAAGUUGUUUGAUUUUAAAGAAAAUUAAAUAGUUUAAUUUUAAAUUGAUUUGCAUUUAAAAAAUAAUACAAAGCAUCUAAUACAAAAGUGAAGUAAAAAGAAAUCUAACCAUUAAACGUUUGUUUCCAACUUUAUUUCAUUUUACUGUUACGUACUUCAAUUUUCUAAACUUAGUAUGUUAUAAAUUUUAAGAGUAUAAAAAAAUGAAAAAACUGAGAAAAUGCUAAUAAAUCGAACAGCAUAAAUAUUUGACGAUUUUUAAUUAGCUUUAUUAAAGGAUUAUAAAACAUGUAUUUAUAUUGAUUUGUUAAUUAUUUCUAAUCGGAUUUGAAAAAAAAAAGCUCUUUAUAAUUUAAUAAGACAAUAAAGAUAUUUAUAAUAGUACUUGUUUCUAUUGAAACUAAUCAUUUCAUCAAAAUCGAAAGAAUAAAGAGGAGAAAGUAUGGUACUCUGAAUAUAAUAUAAUACGGAUAUCAGAAGAGUUAAAAUAAAAGAAUUUCAAAAUAAUAUAAUUGAAAUGGUAAAAUGGUAAAUUACAUAUAUGCCUUUUGUCGAUAUUAACAAGAGAUUUUCAUAAUUUUUGAAAAGCGGAUGAUAAAUCUUUAAUAUUCGGUAACCUCAAGGGGGUAGCUAAAACUAGUUCUUUUAGUGCAACAACAAUGAUUAGUAAAGGAGAUUCUACCAAUUUCAACUGGAAAUGAAAUUCAAAUUGGGUUAUUAAGUUGGUAGAAACAAUUGAUAAGUACUCCACAAACUCAUUAGACUCGGUCUGCUCAUCGAUCCAAUUAAAGCAUCAUAUCACUAGGUUAGUAGUUCAACAGAUGAGUUAGUGAUUUAAUUAGUGGGUCGUUAUCAAGUCAAAAGUUUAUAUAUUAUAAUUUAAAAUUUUAUCUUGUUUGAUCGUGAUUAAAACUUAGAUUUUAAUUUUAGUCAAAGUCAAUAAUUAAUUUUAACUACAUAUUUUAUGGGUCCCACAACUUUUCGACCACACAUUUUAUGAAAUUUUAUCAAAAUUUAUAAAAAAAAUCUUAUUUUAAUCCCCACUAAAGAAGGGCUUAUCAUUUGAACAAUUAUAUUUUAUAAGUUCUUAAAUUUUCUUUCUUGUUUUAAAAUAAAAUUGAAGGCGUAACAUAUAUUUAAUCACACUAUUUGAUAGGGUCUAAAAUUUAGAUUUAAAUUCAAGUCAAAAUCAACAAUGAAUUUUAAUCACAUAUUUCAUGGAUCUCACAAUUUUUCAAUUUCACUUUCACCUAGUUUUAUUAAAAAUUGCUAAAUAUUUGAUUUUAAUCUUCAUCAAGCAAGCUAAACAAAUCUACUACUAGCGGUAAUACUUUUGUUUAGUCGCAGGUCUAACAGCUAACGGUUGAAGCCUGGUGAAAAGUGGCUUCCUCCAUCAACUUUGAGGGUCCUGGGUUCAAGGCGUGACAUGGCCCCUUAUACAUUAUAAAAAGAAUUGGCCAGUUUUGCAAAACUAGACUAGUUCUUGAUAAAUUUGAACUGUUCGACGGGUUUAAAACAUUUUAAAUGCUAAUUGAUCCAAAAAAACUAUUUGUAUUGGACGGGUUUUGUUCACUGAUUUUCUGAUCAAACUGACAAUUCUACUUAGAGUACUUUCCACAACUUCAAUCCAGAAUAUGUUCCUAUUCACGAAUUAAAGAAAUAAUUAUCAAGAUCAAAAUAAUCUUUGGUUUAGAUUUCAUGAUUCGAACUAAUUACCCUAAAUUUUCAAUAUUUGGUCAAUCAUAAAUAAUUAGAAAGGAGACAUGAAAAAAUGUCUUACAGUUGGCACAAUUCUACCAAAUUAUUCUGACCCAUGGAACAAUGCCAACCGUCAAUUUAAACAAGUACAAACAUGAAUUUUAUAAGUUAGAUCAAUUAAUUUUCUUCACAAAAAUCGGGAAGAGGAGGAAAAAUGGAGAACUGUGCAAUGGCUCUAUCUCCUUUCAAAUCAUUCAACAAGUCUACAAAAAUUCCAUUUAGGAAAAUCAGCUACAGAUUCAGCGACAAAUAUAGAGCAGUUUUGUGUGGGAACUCUACAAAAUCAUUCAUCAAAUCGUCCCAUAAUGUUCUCUCUCUAUAUUCUACUUCGAAUUUUAAUAAAAAAUACUCGACAUUGUUGUCUGAGACUCAAACAUCAUUCGAGUUCAAGGUUAAGUCAUCGGCCGCAGUUCCUGAAAGUGUAAGUGAUGCUGGAAAUAGCAAUGGCGUGUUCAAGACUUUGCAGCUUGGAUCAAUGUUUGCAGUAUGGUAUCUACUAAACAUCUACUUCAACAUUUACAAUUGAAAAACCUAUCGUUCGACCCAACUAACACCUAGAGGGGGGGUAAAUAGGUGUUCUUGCGGAAUUAAAAACUUUUUGAAUAAUUCAUGCAACAAGUCACACAAAUUAUAAUUUGUCUAGAUUAAUUCACGUGCUUUAUCUGCCUAUGUUGGAUUACCAUUGACAAGUAAAUAAAUUAAAGCGGUAAAAACACAAUAAACAUAUUGACGGAGAAACCCAACUGGGUAAAAACUCCGGGCACAAGCCAGUAGAGAUUCAUUAUUGUAGAAACCAACUUACAGCACGCCAGACAUCAUUGACACUCUCAAUUUUCUGACCUUCUUGCUGUAUGAACUCAAGACCCUCCUGGAUUUUGCAAAUCUGUGCUAAAUCCCAGCCUUGUAUAAUUUCUACCUCCCGUGAAUCGCCACGCACUCCAGCUCUUCAAGCAAAUCCUUCCCGGAUCUUCAAACUGAUGAUCUUCUGGAAGUUUAAUUGGAGUUGUCAGACAGGUAUUUUGGUGUUUAUGGAUUUGAUGUUUUUUUUUUUUUACUCAACAACCCAAAGAUUGGUAUGAGAACAAUGAAGGAUUUCUUUGGUUUUUGAUCCUUGGAGAGAAUGAUUUUGAUUUUUGGUUGCCAAGGAAUUGAAAGGAUAUUCAAAGUGUUUUCAAUGUGAAUUUUCGGGUUAAUGAACACGAAUCAGACGUUUGGUAUAUAUAGAGGUCGAUAUAUGGUAAUGUGGAGCGUCAAACAUUCGCGAGCGUUUAAAAUUAGAAUUCGCUAGCUAACACGGUCGCUCGAGCGAUGGCUCAGCGUGAGUCCAACGAAGUUGGUUCUGCAAUUGUGGCUCGAGCGAGGUCAGGGCGAGACUCUAGCGAAUCAAAGUGCCGCUUGCAUCUUCGAGGCAUCCCACACAACCCUAGACCUAGCCUAUAAACUUUAGUUAAUUGCAACUCUAGUCUCUGAACUAUUGGACAUUGACAAUUUGGUCCUUGACUUUACAAUUUUGACAAUUUGGUCCUUGGUCACAGAUUUGCCAAUUACAUAUUUUCCUAACAAACUCCCCCUUUGGCAUUCUGUGACAAAAACACAUUUGACAGUCAAGGAUAAAAAACAAAUUGACUCCAAACUACCAAUCUAUUCUAUCACAUCAGCAAUAUCUUGUUGAACCUAUUUCCUGAAAAACAAAACUCAAAUACCACGUGAAAAAGCAUGUGAAAUGGAAACGGUAAAUAUAGAGAAGAUAUAAAUCAUAUAUCAUUAACCAGAUUAAGAAGCAAUAAUAAUGUAUGUCUAAAACACCAAAAACAGACAUUAAGAUUGCCAAAACAUCAAAAACUUAAUCUAGUUAUAAAAUGACAUAUAUACAUCAACUUUAUAUCACAGUUAUCAAAAAAUAAUUAUCUGCUCCAAUAUCUAUGCAGCUCCAAUAUCUAUGCAAUCUACUCCAUAUCAACUCAAUCAAUCUACUCCCCCUUUUUGUCACAAAGGGCCAAAGAAAAGCGAAAGCAACAAAAUGAACUAAGAAGCAGCAUCUCCAGCACUGGAAGAAUCAGAACCACUCUCAGCACUCGUGCUCUCCUCCAAAUGAUCUCGAAUCCAGCUCAACUGACACUGACAGACAGCAAGAGCAUGGCGAAACGUAGACAUCUUGGCUGACUGACGCUCUGAAGCAGCACGUAACUGCGUGAUCUCAAAUAUCAUACGAGCCUGCUGCUCGAUCAGUGUAGACAUCUGACCCACAAGCGUCACCAUGGGAUCAACGGGCAGAGAAGCCACCCUCGGAGCAAAAGUAGAUGUCGAAGCAAACGCAGAGCUGAGAGGCAUAACAGAAGGAUAAACUGGACGAGGAGGGAGAAACACACGGGAGCCCCCUGUAAGAAUCUCAGUAAUAGGAUCAAAGGGCUCCGAAGGAUCAAAAACAUCAGUGGUCGCAGCCGGAGCAGUAGAGGAAGAUGAUAGUACAUGGGAUCGACUCUGAUGAAUGGUCUGCUGUCCAAUCGGACGUCCUAUGCGACAAGUCGAACCCUCCGGAAAAGAGGCACCCAAAGACAACGCAACCCGAUGAAUCAAACAAGCAUAAGGCAACCCGAUCCGACCCCCAGGAGUAUGAAAGGAAGCCAGAAUAUUCUGUCACACAAAACUAGGAAAGUCGAUCGAGUCCCCAUGAAGAACGGCAUACAGAAAAUGGGCACGCACCAUAGGUAGAGAAGAGGUAUGGGCAACAGGCCACAGGUUUGUGCACACUAUGCGCAACAAGACCUGACGAUCAGUAGGCAAUGACCCCGUGGCCAUCGCCGUAGGCCCACCGAUAGACGGGGUGUUCAAGAGCGUAGACCGAACAAGAGUAUCGGCCGGAAUAGAAGCAGGUAAAAUAUAGGGAUACGUCGGAUGGGUAAUCUGAGGUAUACCUAAGGCAUGAGCUAUAGCCGAUGGAGUAACUCUAAACGAAUGACCUCUAAGAGUAACCCUAAAGGACGAGCCGUCUAUAUCAUGAAUAUUCGCGUAGAAUUCCUGAACGAGGAGUGGGGGAGGAGGUGAAAGACCAAUGAGAAGGGGCUCCCAACCUCGGGAAACAAAAAUGGCGGCUAUAUCAACAGGAAGGUCAGAUAAGAUUACCUCACGCUCCACGAAAACGGGGCGUAAGGAGAACUGAGAAGUGAAGAUUUCCUGAGCUGUAGCAGAAAUGAAUCUGGAACGACUAUACGACGUCGAACCACUAGCUGGCUGUGCAGAGGAUCGAGAACGCUUACGGGCCAUCUGGCAUUUGUAGAGACAAAACUAAUAAGUAAUAUGAAGAAUGCAUGUGAUUCGAUGCAAUGUGGAAUGAAACACCACACACACAAAAGAGGCACAAUAGAGAUGCAUCGACAAACGUGAAUGACCCUAAGCACAAACGAAGUAAGAUGAAGAUAUAGACCAAAAACAUAUGGGAACACACCUAUCAUGGCACGUGAUGACAAAGAACCAACGACGGAAAGGAAAGAAAGAAAUGAGAUGCGCAGAAAAAAAGGGAAACAAAGAGUAAAAUAGGUAAGGAAUUUCAUCGAGCAUGUGGCGUGCAUCACUUUGUCACACAAUUCCAAGCACAUGUGAGAUCCAAUCACCCAUCCAAUCAUAGUCCCUCAAACUAGAAAUGACGUACUUUAAAAUGAAACAAACCACACAUCAAACGGAUUAACGGAAUGCAAGAACGAACGAAUUGAAAAUGGAUGAAAAAUAUGUAAAUCACAUAGUUCGAAGAAUGAAGAAAUCAACAAUGCAAUGGAAAUCGUGAUGCACAAUGCGGGAAAGAACUCCCAAUGAAACACGGAAUGUCGAAGCCACUAUUAAUUAAGUAACAAUCAAGCAAGAAUACCAAAGUAAGCCAAACACACGACAAAGAGAAGGAAAACGAAAAAAAGAAAAAAAAAUUACCUCAAUAUGAAGUUUGGCAAAGGAAAUCCGAAAACAAAUAUGUUAUGAACCGUAGAGUGAUGUUAUUAGAGGAAUAUGGGGAUGAAAUAUGGAGGAAAUCACGAAGAAAAACAAAGGAGAAGAGAAAAAGAAGAAAAUGCGCGAAAAAAAUGAAACAGGGCCGUUUUAAAAUAGGCCUGUCGCUCGAGCGAGGGUCCAGCGAGACUCGGGCGACAGGCAAACUGCUUUUGUCGCUCGAGCGAAGACCAGGCGAGACUCGAGCGAAACACCAAAUGUCAAAAAUAGCACCAAAAAUUUGAAUUUUGAGAAAAAUAACAUAAUCUUCAAGAAAUGACGAAAUUAGCCCCAAAUCGUGAAAUUUCAAAAAUAAGUGAACUACGUAAUAGUAGAAAAUAAUCCAAAAAAUAGCAUGAAACCACAUAUGCAAUCAAAACCAACAAUAAGCAUAAAAUCAAAAACUCGACCACCAGCACGUAGACAAAUCGUUAAUCCACACAUAGUUCAGAAUCCUGUGUAGUAAAGUGUAUACAGAACAUCAACGUGAAAAGUGCCACGUAGGCCAUGCAAGCUAGACUCAAAACCUUAAAUUAGUGAGAAAGGACACGUGAAAACAACCCGACAAAGGUGAAUGUCGACCAAAUGACAGUCAAAUUCAAUUCCACGAGGACCUAUAUCAAAUACUAUGAUUGUCACAAUUUUACUUUCCCUAACUGUAUGAUUCCAACUUUUUUUUUUUGUUUAUUGUUUUCAUUUAACAAAGAACUUAAGUGCAAUGCCAUCCCAUUAGACAACAUAAAUGACCCCUGUAACGAACUUUUGGCCGGUGACUCCCAAGUCAGACGACCAUAGGGCACCAGGUUAGAAACCCCUCAGGCUUAAUUGUUCGAGUCAAAUAGGCCCCGAAGAUAGCCAUAAGUUCAACAAAGAACAAAAGUAAAACUGGGGAAAGACAAUAUUGAUUAGGUUACACUCAUCCCAGAUCAAGUCAAAUGUACAUACAACCCCAAUCAUAGAAGAACACCAUCCCAAGUCUCACCCAUGCGGUCAAGACUCACUUACAGGACUACAGUGUGUGUUGUGUGAAAAUGAAUGACGAGCCAUAUACCCAGAACUCCACAUUGAAAAAUGAACAAAGAUGGAUCCUCAGAUUCAUACACAUGUUGGAAAAUAGAAUUUGAUCUUUAAUGCAAAUGCCAGAAUCAUUACAUAAAAGUCCCAAAAAAAAAUUUAUUCUAUUUUAUUUUAUCUGGUCUUUUUUUUUUAUUAAAACACACAUAUAACACAUAACAGAAGACUAAACAAAACAAAAGAAAUACAUCACACACACACAAAUCACACGCAAGAUAUGAAGUGAUGAGGUACAUAUGUGAUGAAUGCAUGAACAUGCAUGAAUCCAUGAUCAAAUAGGUGAGCAAACACCAACAACCGUCCGAAGCGACUCAAACCUCAAUCCAUCUAGUGGUUUCGAAAGUAGAUCAGCCAAUUGAUUAUCAGUAGAGACAUGGUCAAGAGAGACAACAUGUGAUUCAACAAGCUCUCGAAUGAAAUGAUGUCGUAUGUCAAUAUGUUUUGUUCGAGAGUGCUGAAUGGGAUUCUUAGAAAUAUUUAUCACACUCGUAUUAUCACAGAAAACAGUCAUUGUCCCUUGACUAAUCCCAUAAUCACUAAGCAUUUGUUUCAUCCAGAGAAGCUGAGUACAGCAACGCCCUGCAGCUAUGUAUUCGGCCUCUGCCGUGGAUAAAGAUAUUGAAUUUUGUUUCUUACUUAGCCAGGCUACGAGAUUGCUACCCAUGUAAAAACAACCCCCAGUCGUACUUUUCCUAUCAUCUGCAUUUCCAGCCCAAUCAGCGUCGGAGUAUCCAGCCAAAUCAAGAUUGGAAUUCCUAGAAUAGAAUAUCCCUAGAUCCACUGUACCACUGAUAUACCUGAUUAUGCGUCUAACAGAGCUUAGGUGUGACUCUUUUGGAUCUGCCUGAAAGCGAGCACACACUCCUACACUAAAGGCAAUGUCAGGCCUAGUAGCUGUGAGAUAGAGAAGACUACCUAUCAUGCUACGAUAUAGGGAAGGAUCUACACUCUUACCAGAAGGAUCACGACCUAACUUUAAGCUAGUACUCAUCGGUGUCCUAGUAUGCUUCUUACUAUCUAACCCAAAUCGCUUAACGAGAUCCUUAGCAUACUUAGAUUGUGAGAUAAAUAGUCCAUCCUCUGUCUGUCGUACCUAAAGUCCAAGGAAAUAACUUAACUUCCCAACCAUACUCAUCUCGAACUCUCUCUGUAGACACUCAGCAAACUCAAAUGCUAAAGACUCAAGAGGAGACCCAAAAAUGAUAUCAUCGACAUAAAUCUGAGCAAUGGUAAAAUUUUCUUCUAUAUGUCUAAUGAAUAAGGUCCUAUCUGCACCACCUCGAGAGAACCCAUGUUCUUCCAGAUAUGAUGUAAGUCUCUCAUACCAAGCUCUAGGAGCUUACUUCAAACCAUAGAGUGCUUUGUGAAGUUUGUAGACAUAGUGGGGAAAUUUUGGAUCAACAAAUCCCUUAGGUUGUUCCACAUAUACUUCUUCCUGAAGAAGUCCAUUCAAGAAGGCACUCUUAACGUCCAUUUGAUGCAACUUGAACCCUAAGGUACAUGCAACAGCAAGCAGAAUCCUAAUAGACUCAAGUCGUGCAACGGGGGCAAAAGUCUCAUCAAAAUCAAUCCCCUCAACUUGAGUAUACCCCUGAGCAACUAAUCUAGCCUUAUUCCUAGUUAUAGUACCUUGGUCAUCUGUCUUGUUCUUAAAGAUCCACUUGGUACCAAUAACAUUACAAUUUUCAGGUCUGGGAACUAAGAUCCACACAUUAUUCCUAGCAAAUUGAUUUAGCUCCUCAUGCAUCGCAUUCACCCAACACUCAUCACUAAGGGGCUCUUGAACUUUUUUAGGCUGUACCUGAGAAACAUAGCUAGUGUACGCUAGAUUGUUCAGUACUCUCCUACGAAGUCUCAUCCCUUCAUCUAGAUCCCCAAUAAUAUUAUCCUUAGGAUGACUAGACUUAACCCUAGUCGAUGGUUCCUUAGGAUUUUUAUCUAGAUUUUGUGGAAGUGUUUCCUUUUCAGAUGUUUCAGGUUUCUUACAAGAUGAUUCAAGCACAGGUAGCUCGGUAGGAUCACUUGAACUCAAAAGAUCACCAUCUUUAUCACAUUUUUCAGCACUCUCCCCCUCACUAACAGCAUCAUCUAUCACAACAUUUAUAGACUCCAUCACCACACGGGUACGUAAGUUAUACACUCUAAAUGCUCGGCUAUUCCUAGAGUACCCUAGGAAGAUCCCUUCAUCACUCUUUGAUUCAAACUUACUCAAGUUCUCUCUAUCCCGCAAAAUGUAGCACUUACUCCCAAAUACUCGAAAAUACUUAACAGUAGGCUUUUUACCCUUAAGAAUUUCAUAUGGGGUAUGAUCAGUCUUGGGUCUAAGGUAGACUCUAUUGAUGAUGUGGCAUGCAGUGUUAAUAGCUCCUCCCCAAAAGUGUAGGGCUAAUUUCUUGCCAUGAAGCAUGGCUCUAGCCAUGUCCUGAAGGACACGAUUCUUCCUUUCAACUACCCCAUUUUGUUGCGGAGUGAUAGGGGAAGAGAACUCAUGCAAUAUCCCUUCGUCUAUACAGAAACUCUCAAGAUUAAAGUUCUCAAACUCUUUUCCAUGGUCACUACGCAUCCUAGACACUUUGAGAUUCAGUUCAUUGCUAAGCCGUUUACACAGAGACUUUAUGAGGUCACAAGCAUCAGAUUUUUCCCUAAGCAAUUCUAUCCAAGUAAACCUCGAGAAGUCGUCUACCACGACAAGAAUGUAUCGCUUACCACCUAAACUCUCAGUCCUAGAAGGUCCCAUCAAAUCCAUAUGUACCAACUCCAGGGGUCUUUUGGUCAGAAUUUUAGUAGUCUUCUUAUGGCUCCCCUUAAGUUGUUUACCUAGUUGACAUGGUCCGCACACUACAUUGUCACUAGGAACUAUCUUAGGCAACCCAUCUAUCAAUUCUUUCUUAGCCAACUGCUCUAGACUCUUAUGGUUCAAAUGACCUAAUCUUUUGUGCCAGAGCUCACUCACAUCAAUUUUAACACUCCUACACACAUAGUUAGAAUUAGGUAAUACCCCAUAACAAUUGUCAGAUGUUCUAACCCCUUCAAGGACUAGCCCACCGGAUGAAUCAUACACGGUACAUCUCUUCUGCACAAAACUAACCUCAAAGUCGUCAUCACAAAUCUGACUGAUGCUUCACAAAUUUGACUUUAAACCUUCCACAUAAAGCACAUUAGAGAUCACAGGUAAACCAUGCAUUUGUACAAUACCUUUGCCAAGAAUAGGUGUAGAGCUCCCAUCUCCAAAGGUAACCAUCCCACCAUUACAUUCAUCAAGAGUAGUGAAUAGAGCUUUAUUACCACACAUAUGCCUAGAACAUGCACUAUCCAGGUACCACAUAUUAGAAUUUUGAGCUUUUAAGGCAACAUGAGCAACAAAACAGUUUUCUUGACCUGAAAGUCUUCCUAGAUCACCCUUUUUGACUCAAACCUUUUUAGAUGACAAAGUACUCUUAGUUAGCUUAGUAAGCAUCUCAGUCAAAUGAUUAACUUGAUUAGACAGAAAGCUAACCUGACUAGGAAUGUUUUGAUUUCUACGCUCAUUGCCUAACUUAUAAUAUUUAGGCCUAGUGUGUCCUGGAGGUCCACAAUGGUGACAGGUGGGAAUGAACCUAGGCUCAAAGGUACGUGUCUGUGGGUACCUAGUCUUGAUGUUCCUACGUUGUGAAUUUUCGGGUUAAUGAACACGAAUCAGACGUUUGGUAUAUAUAAAGGUCGAUAUAUGGUAAUGUGGAGCGUCAAACAUUCGCGAGCGUUUAAAAUUAGAAUUGGCUAGCUAACACGGUCGCUCGAGCGAGGUACUGGCGAGCCUCGAGCGACGUACAUUUCACUCGAGCGAUGGCUCAGCGUGAGUCCAGCGAAGUUGGUUCUGCAAUUGUGGCUCGAGCGAGGUCAGGGCGAGACUCUAGCGAAAUCAAAGUGCCGCUUACAUCUUCGAGGCAUCCCACACAACCCUAGACCUAGCCUAUAAACUUUAGUUAAUUGCAACUCUAGUCCCUGAACUAUUGGACAUUGACAAUUUGGUCCUUGACUUUACAAUUUUGACAAUUUGAUCCUUGGUCACAGAUUUGCCAAUUACAUAUUUUCCUAACAACAAUAAACAGGUUCCUUUUCUUCUUUCUGUUUGUCUUUACUUAUUUGAUCUUUUAAUAUUUCUUUUUUCUUUUAAUUCUUGUUACUUCGAAAAAUACACUUAGAAAAGAAUGGUGUGAUAUCAGUACAAGAAGUCGCACAAGGACAGCUGAACUAAAGUUGUUUUGAAUAUUUACAUUAAUGUAGCGAUAACCGGAGGAUUUACAGUGUCGUCCCGAAUACAUAUUUGUUUAAUGACAUGAUUUGUAAUAUUUGUAAUAGCAAAUAGUUGAUUACAGGUUCUGAAGGUUUAUCCAUUUGCAUUAACAGUAACGGCCUUCCAGUUUGGGUGUGGGACAGUGCUUGUUUUGUUAAUGUGGACGUUGAAUUUCCACCCUAAACCCAAGAUUAAUAGAUCUCAGGUAAUAUUUACGUGUACUAACAUAUUUUCUUAAUAUUUUGGUCUUGUUCUGUCAUAAAAAGUCAUAAAUUCAGGAGUUUAGUCCGUGUAGAAACUUCAAUUAUAAUCUAUAAAGCAUGAUUUGAAAGUGUUAAUAAUAAUAAUAAUCAUCAUCAUCAUCAUCGUCAUCAUCAUCAUCAUCUACAAAGUAUGUAUUGAAAGUGUUAAUAAAUUGUUUAAAUUAAAUAGUUAAAAUUAAAUGGUGAAUAAGCGGGGAUAGCAUCUGUUUGUAAACAAAAAUUGGAAUGAGUGUUUUUAUAAAUAAAAGUCAAACGUAUAGACCUUUCAAAAUUCUAGCAAAGAUUUGAAAAGUCAAAAUGUUUUUCCUAAUUCUUACUAUGGUAAACUAAGCCCUUGUUUGAUCCCCAUUACGUGGAAAAAUUAAUGGGGGGAAUAGUAUAUUUUUGAAAAACGAGUGGUUGAAAAAGAAUGAAAAGUUUUCGAUUUACGUGUAAUAUUAUUUUAUGAAAGAUUGUGUGGUUGAAAAUAGAAAAGAGAAAAAUAAAAUGUAAUAAAAUUUAACGUAAUGGGGCUCAAACAGGGGCUAAGAGACUUUAGCCGCUACUUCUAAAAUUCAUUUUCACUCAUAUAUUUUAUGAGAUCCACAAUUUUAUCAAUUUUCAACCAAAUAUUUCAUUAGUUUUAUUAAAAUUUACUAAAAAUAUAAUAUUUAUAUUUAUCAUAAUAUAACUUUUAGCUAAAAUAUACAUGAUUGUAAAUUAAACUUUGUUCUCGGUUUCAACUGAAAAUGAUCAACCUCUGUUUGAUAAUAAAUUUAAAAAUGGUUUGUAAAUUCUGUCAAACUUAAAUAUUAGUUUUAACAAUACAUUUAUAACUAUUGCUCAUAUGUUAUCAAACAUUUUGUGGGGAUCCAUUAAUAUUUCUUUUACUAUUUUUGUUUAAAAAUGAUUUAUAAAUUUGACAAAUGGAGGCUAAAUGAAUUGCGGUGUGGAAAAAACUGCUUAUCCCGGUUGCAAAAAUAAUUAUCUUUUCUUCGAGCAUUUUUUAUUUUUUUUUGCAUUAAUUAAUAUAAAAGCUUAUAUUUUUCAUAUCACAUCACCAUGUUAUGCUGCGUUUCUCGUUUCAAUUGUGACCUUACAUGAUUCUACAUAUGUCUGGUUAGUUUGCAGCGAUAUUUAUGCUGGCUCUGGGGCACACAAUAGGUAAUCUUUUAACAAAUAUCAGUAUUGGAAAAGUGGCUGUUUCAUUCACACAUACAAUCAAAGCAAUGGAGCCAUUUUUCACAGUGCUCCUUUCUGCUCUGUUACUUGGAGAGGUAUAUAUAAAUUUGCCGUUUUCCUGUAUAUUUUUGGAUAUUAUUAUUGUGGAUUUUGCAGUUAGAAGAUCUGGGUCGUGUUUUCUUGUUAAUGAUAAUUUUUACUUCUCUGAUGUAUAACAUUUUGUUGUUAAAAACAAAUUUUGCGUUUGUUUGGUUUGGACAACAAUUAGAUUUGUAGUUGAUUUUGAUAAAUGUUGAUGAAAUUGUUGGAUAUUGGUUAAAUAAAUUGAGAAUUGAAAAUCGAUUAAAGUUCGUAUCGAAUUCGGCCAAAUACUCAAAAGCUCGACUCAAUCCGUUUAGGCAAAAUUGUUUGCCACUUCGCCGCUUCGGAGCGCACAAAGAGAAUUUUGAUUUCUCUGCAUGUAUUGAAGGGUAUAUUUGGCAUUUCGAAAACCAAUAUCGGAUGAAUGAGAAAUUACGAAAAAGACCUCAACCAUUAGUGAAUAGACACCUUUUCAUAAAUGUGCAUUGUUUGGAAAUGGUGCAUGGUUUGGUCUCAACCAUUUCGUCCACACCCCUUCAUGGUCUAUAAAUAGGACCCUUUGGGUGUCCUAUUCCUCACAGUUUGAUAUGCAAAAACGUCUCUCAUCCUCUCUUCUAUCCAAAAUCAAAAUCAUUUCAUUUAUUUUGAUUUUCUUUCAUUUCAUCUGUGGAGUACAUAAGCCUACAUUGGGUUCGUUGUACUUGUGUUUUGGAGUGCUACAAACAUAAGUGUAGCCGUUGUAUCUUGGGAGUCGAUUGCCGAAAUCCGUAGGCACCGUUGCGGGGCAAAUUCGACUUAAGGACAAAGAGUCCAACUCUUGCUUCGGCUUUGUCACCAUCAUUAUACUUAUUUCGGCGUCACUAUUCACAAAAUUCUUCCAACAGAAAUGUGUGAUUCACUUCUAAGAAAUGAGGGCCAAAAAGGGGCUUAUGAGAGAUAAACAACUUUGUUGUCCCUCGAAUAACUCAAGCUUUUGUACCAAGAGCUCAACAUGAAAUUAAAGCAUGAAGUCCAAGUUGCGUUGCCACCUAUUUAAGAAAAUUGGGACAUAUUUAUGAUGAAAAAUGAGAGAUAUGCUACACAAACAGAAUUGGGGAUAGGAUUUUUAAACAGGUGGACACAUGUCAAAUACUGAUUGGACAGUUUGAAAAAAAAAAAAAAAGCACCAACCAACUGCCGACACAACCCCUGUCCCCAAAUUCUGUCACCUGCCCUGUUUGAAUAGCAUAAUGCUAAAUUUUUUUAAAAAAAAUCGACAUGAAUGUGAGAUGGUAAGCUUUUACACAUAAUUAUCACAUGUAUGACGUACAUGCUAUAAUAUUGUUUAUAAAUGUUGGAUUUUAGCGUGUAUAGAACCUUUGAUUAUUCUGUCCGAGCAUUUGGCCAUAAAAUUAAGGACAAAAACCUUUUUAUUUUUUUUGAAUGUUGAAAGCUAUGUAUAAUCCAUAUACCUUAUGGAUCAUUUAUUAUUUGAAGUCAUUUGACUUUCAGUUUGAUCACACAGAGGCCCUCUUUAUGGGUAGUUUCCUCCCUUCUGCCUAUUGUUGGUGGAGUGGCAUUGGCAUCAUUCACUGAGGCCUCUUUCAAUUGGUAUGAGCCUUAUAUUAUUCAGUUUUAAAAUUUAUUGGCAGUUACGGUGAAAUCUCUUCUGUGUCACGGAAUUUUUUUCAUUUGGUCACUAAACUUAUAAUUCACCUCACGUCAUCCACUCCUAUUAGUUAAACCAAUGGAGAAGUCUUCUGCAGCCGUUAACCUUUAACGGUAUUGUAAGAAACACUUCAACUGAAGUCGAAUUUUGAAAACACAUUUUUCCAAAUUUUUCCAAUAUAAAGAAUUAAAGGAGAGACUGAUUUGAUGAACCCGUUUGACAGAAAAAAGUUUGGCGACCUACGUGAGUUUUCACUUUUGCUGAUAAGUCAGUGACUGCCAAUGAAUUUUACCUGAUAUUGUGCUUGACCUUGGUGUCCUGAUAAUAGAUUUUCUGUUAACUCAGGAUAGGAUUUGGCUGUGCAAUGGCUUCUAAUCUAACGAAUCAAUCUCGAAAUGUGUUCAGCAAAAAAUUCAUGGUUAAGGAGGUAAGAGUUCAUUGUUAGUCAUUUGUUUAAUUCUUUCAUUAUACUGUUUAGCAUGAACAAGAAUUAUAUUUUAAGAAUGAUUUUUAGGAUAUAACAGAACCGGUUUUUGGGACGGUUCCUAAUUUUCUUGGUCAGGUCGGGUCAGACCGGGCCUCUAUAUAAACGAUGAUGGUUAUGAUUGCAUGAUAAUACGAUCUGAAAUCAACAAUAUAGUGCUAACCUGAUGCUGAUUCUAUCAGGAAACACUGGACAAUAUAAAUCUCUUCUCCAUUAUUACAAUCAUUUCAUUUCUUCUUCUGGUGCCGGUUGCCAUUUUGAUGGAUGGUGUCAAGUUUAGUCCAGCAUACCUGCAAUAUGCUGUAAGUAGUGUUUAAAGUAGCUGAAUUCUUAGCUUAAACUGCUGUCAUUCUGAAUUCCUAAAGUUUUUUAGUAUACAAUUUUCAUGUUUUGUUUAUUAUAAUUUAGGCAAGUCAAGGAUUGAAUGUCAAAGAGUUUUGUGUGAGAGCUCUUUCAGCUGGUUUCUGCUUCCAUACUUAUCAGCAGGUUAGGUCUCUAACAUUUGCCGAAAUUUUUCUAUUUUAUGAACGUUGUUUUCAGUUAAGUGGUCAGGAUGUGUCAUGUAUAUAGGCAUAAAGAUGUGUUGGACUAAAUUUACCGGAUGGAAUGGUUGAAAAUGAAUAUCAGAAAUUUAGAUAUUGGAUUUACGCAUACCAUAUAUGCAAUAUACCGUACUUAAGCAUACCAUAUAUUCUAUUUACCGUAUUUGUAGCUUACCUUAUUUGCAACAGCAUACCGUAUAUGCAAUAGCUUACCGUAUUUGCAUAUGCCUAUCUUGCAUAUACCGCAUGUGCAAUGAACUUGGUAAAAUAUAGCAAAUUAAAUUGCAAUAAAAUAAACCAGUUAAUCUGAACAAAACUAAUAUGGGCAUUUCAAAAUUCUUAAGAACCUGGUUGCUUUCGAUAUUAAUGGAACAAAGAGGUGAAAAAGGAUUCACUUGGUCGACCCAAAACUUAUUGGGAACUAGUCUUGUGUUUUAUUAUUGUUCAAUUAUAGCUGGCCACAAUUUCAAUUCAAUCCUUCCAGUGUUGACUUUAUCGAAGCUCUAUAAUGCACUGAGAGUACAUUUGACACGAGUAAUAAUAGAAUAGUAUAACAAACAAGAUUUUAAAAUUCUUUUGACACCCACCCUUCUGUCCAGUCUACGAACUAGUUAUUCUGAAUGCAACUCUACUUUAUUGUCAACAAUAAGUAACUUAAUCUGUUUCUGAUCGGCAGGUUUCUUAUAUGAUACUACAAAUGGUAACACCAGUGACACAUGCAGUGGGAAAUUGUGUUAAGAGAGUGGUUGUAAUUGUAUCCUCAAUUAUCUUCUUCCAAACUCCAGUUUCACCGACGAAUUCCCUUGGUAAAUUUCUUAGAAUCAAUCCUAAAUUAUGUCCUAAUUUCAUUAGUAACGUUAUUUCUUAUCUUUGGAGUCUGUUUCUCCAGUUUUAAUUUAGCCUUGGUAAUUCUGCCUGAUCUCAGGAACUGCUAUUGCACUUGCCGGAGUUUUUCUGUAUUCCAGAGCCAAGAGAAUCAAACCAAAUAAAGAACUUUCAUAGUGAUACAAUCGAGAUGCCUGGACGAGGACCUAGUUCGAUCUCAAGUGCUUGAAUCCAAUCGAGUGUAAUGAUUGGAUCUUUUCGAGAAUAUACUGAAAUUCUGGUACAAAAUGGUCAAUUGUAUGAUAUUACGAGUUGAGCAAAAUGAAGACUAAAUACAUUAUAUAUAAAUUUU
RNAcentral lists this long non-coding RNA (121299 nucleotides) under Olea europaea (common olive). RNAcentral's name for it is "long non-coding RNA (OEUR_LNC005700)". The record is from RNAcentral. Lineage: Eukaryota; Viridiplantae; Streptophyta; Magnoliopsida; Lamiales; Oleaceae.